RNAcentral lists this long non-coding RNA (101933 nucleotides) under Malus domestica (apple). RNAcentral describes it as "long non-coding RNA (MDOM_LNC008862)". Lineage: Eukaryota; Viridiplantae; Streptophyta; Magnoliopsida; Rosales; Rosaceae. The record is from RNAcentral.
UCACGGAUGCAUUGUUAAUUACCAUAACGCCUUUCAAGCAUUUCACUCAGAAAAAAGAAACAACUAUAAUAAAAUUGUGCAUGACGUCGAUUCAGAUAAUAUACAUGAGUUAAAAAAAGACACGUCCUAUUUGCGUAGUUCAUUUACCAGGUAAAGAAAGUACCUCAUCUCAUAACCGGUUUCCAGCUUCCUUGGAUAAACAGAUGUUCUUUGAGACUGCAUCGUACUCACUGGAGUUGCUUGUUUUGCUUGUUUCCUCUAGAUGAAGGGAUAGUCAAAUUCAUGAUUGCGCACAAGCGAUGUUUGGUCAAAAAGGUUGCUUUGAUCCAACCAAAUCUCUCUCGUAGAUGAGACGGACUCCGCACCUCUUCACCUCCAAACCAGAGCCCAAGGUUUUAAAUGUGAACUCAAGGUGAUGACAACUGUCUUGCCAUGUUGUACCAAAGUGUUCACCAGAUACAAAGGAUAUCCAAAGGUGCUCUUUCUCAAUUUGCCCUAAUUCUUCACUGCAGGCGAAGGAAGGACACCAGCCACCUACACCCAAAUUCCCAGGCUUCACUUCGCAACGAAGACCAUGUGCAGUGGUAUGGGUUCCGUAGUUCCAUUUACCAAGCAGAUUAGGUGGGAGUUGUCGAUGGACAGUGAAAACAGCACACAAUGCAUAUCCAAUCCACUCGUUCUUAUACCAGUGUCGAGGGAGCUCCAUGCUUACCACAGGCCUCUCACUUUGAUCACUAAACCACUCAGAAAUUUCACUGCCUGGAUAUAUAGCUUCAAAUUUAUUCCCUAUGUAAGGGAUUCCCUAUAUAAUACAAAAUUACAAAUAGUGAAGUUAAACAAUUGAUAUGUCCGUCUUAUAAUAAGUACAAUGCUUUUUUUUUCUUCUGUGUGUGUGUGUGUGUGUGUGAGAGAGAGAGAGAGAGAGAGAGAGAGAGAGAACCUCAAGGAAUCUCCUUAACGCUGCAAAUGCUACUUUGUUGCAGCCUUGGUCGUCAACCACUUCAAAGCAAUUAAUAAAACUGAAACAUGAUGACAGCCUUUCCUGUGAAUAACUGCCUUUUCCCUCAACACUGAAGUUCAAUUCUGCUGAAAUGUCCGGCAAUUUUUUAAGACUCUUACAACCACCCAAAUUCAAAAUCUGAAGCUUAGACAGCUCUGUGAUGCUCUUGGGAAGACUAACAAAACUGUUUUUACUUAGAUUAAGUGAUACUAUUGAGGACAAGCAGCCAAGAUUUUCCAGGAUUGUUACCUCCUCAAGAUUACAGUCACUGAGAUUCAGUACUGUUAAAGAAAGCAAACCAGAAUCAGUGGUCGGCAACAGCAAACUCAUUGGACUUGUCUUCUUUCUUCGCAUCGAUUUGCAACCACAAAGGGAUAACAAUUCAAGAUUUUCCAGGCGGGAAAUGGAGGAUGGUAGAUCAUUAAUAGAGGUACCGCCCACAUCAAGCUCCUUCAAACAAACCAUCUUUCCCAAGUUUUUUGGCAGUUCUUCAAGCUUUGAGCAUCCACUGAGAUUGAGACUUUUGAGGGAACGCAACUGGCAAGUACUGCUUGCAAGGGAACUGAGAUUUCUGCAAUCUCUCAGGUUUAAUACAGUAAGGCCAGUCAGACAUUCGAUUGAAGAAGGUAAUUGUUCUACAGCAGUCUUAUCUAAAUAAAGUUCCAACAAGUUUUCCAUAGGUCUCACAAAUUCUGGAACUUUAUUAAUUUUUGAACAACCAGAAAGAAUAAGAAUUUGAAGACUUUCCAUUUCAAAACAUUUGGGAAGGCGUUUAAGACUUCUGCAGUCUUUAAGAUUUAAGAAAAUAAGCCUUUUGAGCUCAGCAAUGGAUGGGUGGAUCAUCACCAAGUUUGUACAGCCUUCAAGAAUUAAUCUAUGAAGAUUUGGAGUAACCGUAAAGUCCGGGGUCCUGGUCAGGUUCUGGGAGUAGCUAACAUUGACGAAUUUCAGAUUGCCUAAGCACUGUUCAAAACAUUAAAGCACAAAAUUUAGUACUUCAUUAUAAAAAAAAAAUUAAAAAAAAACAACUUUUUAUGUGCUACCCAUAAUCUGACCUUUGUUCUAUUCCAAAGUUGUCCAACGCUGCUAUGGGACAAGUUAACUUCACAAAGUUGCUCAAAUUCAAAUUCUGGUGGGAGAAGUUUUGAAGGAUACCCACUCCAUUCAAGAAACUUUAAGGCAUUAGAAAGUUUUUUUGGCCCUUGGGCCAUUCGCAAAUUAUGAAUUCGGAGAAAUCUGAGAUUAUGCAUCGUUGAGAAGGCCUCCAAGUCCCGGCAUGCCUCUUCUAAUUUAGGCAAGUCUAAGGCUAUACCUUCAACCACAUUUGUUCCCUAACAACAGAGAAUUCAGAAUCAGUUCAAUAGACAGAAUAUAUAUAUUUUUUUAAAGAAGAAACGAUAACAAUUUAUUAAAACAAUAAUAUGAAUUACAAAAUAGUGGAUAAGAAAUCCUUGAUCCAGCAAACCUAAGACCUUUCAUCGUCCUUCAAAACCACUUACUGUAUUGUUCCUCAAUACAUGAAUGACAUCCUCAUGAAGCCACAACCUGCUUUGCUCUCCCGGAUCCACAACAGAGUCUUUGCGUACAAUUUGUUGUCCCAUUUCUUGUAUCAAGUCAUGCAUCAACACUUUGUUAUUUGAAAUAGUUACGAGAGAUCUCUCAACGAGAACUUCCAUCCCAACCAUCGCAUUAAAUCCAAAAUAAUCUAGUAUCUCUACCACUCGUUCCUUGUCCAUUCCUCGAAAGAAACAAGCAAUAUCUAGAAAUAUUCUUUUCUCGUCGUCCGGCAGUGCAUGAUAACUUGUUUCAAGCAUUUCAGAAAUUCUUCCAGUAGGAACAGACUCCAGUUUUUCCAAUGCAUUAUGCCACUCUUCCUGACUUUUGUGGAGCAAAUAGGAUCCCACAGUCUUGAGUGCUAAAGGAAGGUAUCCAGCUUUAUGAACCAACCGUGUAGACAGCUCCAAAUAAUCUUCUCGAAAUUCAUCAUUUUUAAAGGCGAUCUUCUUGAGGAGCUGCAAAGCCUCAUUCUCACUUAAUAAGUCAACUUUAUAUUUGCUAUCUACACCAUGCUCUCCUAGCAAAUUCACAUCUCUAGUCGUAAUGAUGACUCUGCUCCCCAAACCAAACCAUUCUUUGUUUCCAGCCAAUGAUUUCAGUUGGCCUAAGUUGACAACAUUGUCUAAAAUGAGAAGAACCUUUCUCUUACAUAGAAUGUUCUUUAUCAUUAUGGCUCCCUCGUUAACAUUUGGAACAUCUAUGUCUUGCCUCAAAGCCUCGUAAAGAAGUUUCUUUUGCAGUUGCAGAUCACCCUGUGGUGUUUGACUUACCCGACAAGUAAUCCAGGUGAAAAUUUCAAAUUCAUUGGAAAUGUUGUCAAAAAUCACUCUGGCGAUAGUUGUCUUGCCUAUCCCACCCAUUCCGCAUAUCCCUAUGAAGCGAACAUCAUUAGAUUUGUUGUCCAAAAGCCUAUUUAGUUCCUCUACUCUUGACUCAAUUCCCACUAUGUCCUCAAGAUAAGAUGGCACAGUUUGCAAUGUAUUCAAAACCCAUUGAACAAUUCGUUGGAUAAAUUGUGCCUCGUACCUAUGCAGAAGAAAAUAAAUGUCAAUCUUUCGGAAAUAUUUGAAAGAAUCCCGAGUGUAGUCUCUUAUGAGAGGACUAAAUGAAAAGCUAGCUAGCAACGAAAAUUCAUCUCUUUGGACAGCUUAACAUAUGUUAUCAUAAAUUACAGCAGGAAAGAAUACAAGCAUACAUAUUACAUAGCAAAAACUGAAAUAAAAUAAAAUUUAUUUGCUACUGAAAGGAACUACCCACCCAUCCUCGUCCUUGUAUAGGUCAAAUCCAGACAGAUUGGCUAAUUGACGAAGAGCAUCCCUCCAGGCGCGCACUUUGUCGAUAUUGUCUUUGAAACGUCCUUCAUGCUCGGCAAAAAAGUCACCGAAAUCGCCUGUCUGUUUUCGUACCUCGGAUGGGCUCACAUCAUAGAAGACAGGCAAAACUAUCUGGCGAGCCACUUCCUUGCAUUCCAUAAUUUGCUGAAGCUCAUCCAAGCACCAUGUUGACCUGGCAUACUUUCUUGAAAGAAUGACAAUUGAAAUUUUUGAACUUUUAAUUCCCCGAUAAAGUUCAUCAUCUCCAAAUACGACGACUCCUCGGUUACUCAGAGCAGCACGUAGUUGGUCUGCGAAAUUCCUGCGAGUGUCUUCGCCACUGAAACUGAGGAAGACAUCGUAAUCAGUUGUUUGCGCAGUCGCCGUGGAUCCCAUCGGAAUACUCGGCUUUCUUCUUUUUCUUGAUUGCGUGGUGGCGAUGGAUCCCAACGGAAAUCUCUGCUCUCUUCUUCCUUAAUGGAACCCCAGACCGAUCAAAUCCAGAUCUCUCGGUCUUCUAGCAUAGGAAUGGAAUAUGAAAUGUCAACGGCCAAUUGCAACCGUCCGAUGCGGAGCAGCAAAUCUCACCCGUCUAAUAAGUUCCAGUCGCCAUCCACUGUUGCUCUAGUUUCUCUCGUUUUAUUUUUAUUUUAUUUUAGGGAUGUGUUAUCCACACAUCCUUUUUACUUCUCUCACAUCCUUAUUAAUUUCUGUCAUUUGAUCUUCUUUAAUUCAUCCAAUCCGACGGUCGAAAAUUAAAAGGGUGUGAGAGAAGUAAAAAAGAUGUGUGGAUAUCACAUCUCUUAUUUUAUUUUUAUGUGUGGUCCAUUAUUAUUAUUGUUUUUUAUAGGAAAAAGAAAGUAUUAAAUAGAAGAACCCCUUACACAUUACACUCCAAAAGAAAAGCCAUAUUAGUUUCCAUUGGGAGAUAAGCAUCCCAAAUGCAAAGCUCCUUUCUCUUAAGCCCAACAGACGCUAUGGCAUUCAUAACAAAAUUUGCUUUCAUAAAAAUAUACCUUCACUUGAUAUCAUGAAAAUUUGUAGCACACCACCUGGGAUCCAUUAUUUUGAAUUAAGCACUUUUUUCGUAUUUACAAUACAACGUUUUUCACAGACAAACUUACCAUCUAAUCUUAAUUUCAAGCACACCCAUUAGUGCCAUCACCAUUUUCCAUUCAUAGCGGAUUCAGAUAAAGUCAUUCAUCUAUCACGAAAGUGAGAAAUUCAUUCUCAGAGUGAAGUGAAUUGAACUAUUGAAGUUCGUUUCUUCUUUUCUAUAUUUCCUUAUUUUUUUAGGUCAAAGUUUUAUUUGAACUUGUAAAAUUGUGAUUAGAUGGUGGGUAGUGAAAUGAAAUUGUAAUUAGAUACAGUUUCUCUCUUAAUUGAAAUUGUGAAAAGUUUCUCUCUUAAUUGAAAUUGUGAAAUGAUGGAAUUUAAACUCGGAAAAUUAGAGUCCACUUUUCAUGAAUUUUUCCGUGCGGCAAUUGUUGAUUUAUGCGCGUCAAGUAGCCAAGCAUAUCAAAUCCAAUUCCCAUCCUUCAAUUCCUGACUUGUUUUUCCACAUCCAGACAUACUAUAAAAUCGGUUUCUAGUUAAAUACACUUUUCUCUUUCUUUUUUUAUAGAAAAUCUCGACGGUACGAAGAGAAUUUUAUUGAUAUCGAAAGAAGAAGAAAAAAUGCCCCUAGUUAGGGAGACAUAAACUUAACCUCUCAUAACACAAGAAAAAAUUAUAAAAGAUACAUGAAAAAAGGAAGACAUAAACUUUACCUUUCUAGAAACAAAAACAACAAAGAUACAAGCAACAUCACAAGGUUAAGAUGAAAGACAAGAAGGUGAGACAAACUUGUAUGCCUAGAUGCACAUUUAUUUGAGAAGCGGAAGUUAAGAAAGCCAACAUAGUCUGAAGAACCGCCAUAGGAUUUGAAUCAUGCCAUACCAAAGUUGGAGAAGACAAGACCAUGUUAGCCAAAGUGUCUGCAACCACAUUUCCUUCACGAUAUAUGUGAGAGGAUAGAAUGUCAUCUUCCGAAUGCAAUCCAAACAAAUAGACUAUUGCGUACGAAAAGGCUAAUGAGGAUCAAAAUUAGUCGAUUGCAGAGUAGAAACAACACUAGAAGAGUCACUUUCCAGCCAAAGACAAUGUCGACCCCACUUAUAAGCAAACUCUACACCAAUAAUAACUAUUGAUAGUUCUGCAAAAAAAAAAAAGAGUUGCAAUGACAAUUCCUUGGCAGAAACCACCAUGAAACUGACCAUACCAAUCUUGAUAAACUCAUUCACAAGCAAGAGCAAUGGGUCGAUACUAAGCAAUGGUAGCAGCCAUGGACAGAGGGAGGUAAGUCCUGGGGGGAGGGCUUUAAACACCCAUUCUCCCUUUUUUUCCCUCACGUACUAAUGUUUAAGCCUUGCUGAGUUGCAUGUAUUUGGUUAAUUAGUACGAAUGAGCAUUAGAUUUCCAAUACAACAAUUAAAAACAAAAUUAGACAAUAGGGUAAUAAAAUUAGGCAUUUGUAAAAAUAAAAAAAUAAAAAAACUAGCUUUAUUUGUCCAAAAAAUGAGCUGAAAUUUUUAAGGUGCCCUCUCUUAGUUAAAUUUAUGGCUUCGUCCCUAGUAGCAACCCUUUCUACUUUAGGGGAUAAGGACCACAAAGUUGCAAUUAAUAUUUAGAUAAAGUCAGCCCCGCUUAAAAAAAUCUUGUACAAAUGCAAUAACAUCUAAAUCAACAAAUCCGAGCAUGAUUGAUAGAAAGAAGUAGGAAAAGAAUCACGUCCCGGAGCACUUGAGGGAUCCAUAGAAAAAAAAUGGCUUUUUUAAGUUCAUUAGCACAAGGUAAACAAGAAAGAGCAAGAUUUUCCUCUUCAUUAACCAUAGGUGGAAUUACACCACAAACAUCCUCAAUUCCAUUUGAAGUGAACAAAGAGUUAUAUAAAGACUGAUAAAAGUUUACCACAUGACUAGCAAUAUCAACAAGGGAAGAUAGCACAUUAUCACCAUCCAAUAGAGUAACAAUCCUAGAAGAAGAAAGCCUACCUUGAGCAUAAGUAUGGAAAAAAACAAUAUUACGAUCACCUUUAGUAAGCCAAAAAGUCACAUAUGAAGAGCAUCUAGGACAGUUGUCUUAGCCACAACUUCCUCAUUAAACCUCUCUUGAAAAUUCCCAUCAGAAAAACAGUAUUUUGGAUAUUAUGAAGUUUGUCCUUAGCAAUAGUGACAUAAAACAUAACAAACAUGGGACACCCGUAUGCAAUAGUUGAUUGCCAUCACUUAGCAACCAAAUUAGAAAAACUUGAAUGUAAAGUCCACAUGGAUUGAAAUCGAAAAGGUCGGGGGUCCUCCAAGAAGAGUAGCAAAAGCUGAGAAAACAAGACAAUUGUGACCAAAAACUACCUUUGGCAAAGCUGAACAAUUUGUAUGAGGCCAAGACUGUAACUAGUGCAAGAAGGUAAACCAAUUCCCACACACCCAUAUGGGUUUGCUCUCCAAUACAAGAGGAUAAACUAAUUACUCUCCAGUGCCAGAGGGUAAACUAAUUUCUCGACACCCAUCUGGGUAAGCUCGUCAGUGCAAGAAUGCUACAUAGCUCAAAAUAUUGAAUGCUUGAAUAUCAGCUAGGCAGCAAAUGGUCAGGGGGCAGUAGCCACUUUUGCACUUAAUAAUUCACUCAUCUGACACUUCAUCUUGAGCAGCUCCGAUCUUGGCAGUUCCAUCCUUGACUACUCCGUCUAUGGUAGCUAAGAAAUCAAACUUAAGCAGUUUCCUUAUUUUUGGCAAACAGCCCAUACGUGGCAGCCCAAACCGUUGGCCAUGCCACGCCACUUCCUCAGCCGAUGCCAAGCCAAUCCUUGGCUUUAAUUAAGCCGAGCAGCACAAGCAAUGGCCUCUGCCACACCUCCUCCUUGGGCCAUGCUAAACCGACUCCUGGCCCCUGUCAGUCGAUGUGUCGCACCACCCCAACGGCUGCCCCGUGGCAGCACCUCCCACAAAGAAGACAAAGAAAUCAACGGAAGACGAUUCUUUGCACGGGCAAGCAAAGAAGAAUGCUAGGGGAUGGGGAACAAAUAUCCUCUAGCUUUCUCUCUUUCUUGUAGGGAUAAAUAAUUGCUCUUCGAAGUUGAUUUAAUCCCCUACUUAAGGUAGGAUUAAAUAGGUAUUGGAGGUGAUUUAUUUCCCUUUCCUAAAAGAAUAUAAUUCCAAGUCCAAGAGAAAGUCUACAUCAAAGUUGGAGAUUUCUACACCUGCUGCCCUUUCCUGCGAGCAGCCCAGUAGGUAUUAAGGCAUUUGUGUAGCCAAAAAUAAUCACAAGGCGACACAUGGAUUUUUGGGAAGAAGAAGAUAAAAAUACCCUUGAGGCAUACUAAGAUUCUUACGGUCAAGCAACAGACACUCAUCACUCAACCAAGUCAAAAUUGCCAAAAAUAGGUAACAAUUCAAAGCCUAUUUCAUCCAUCCUCAUCAAAUCAUUUCUACAAGAUAAUUCCCAAUUCAUUCCUUUUAAAUUAUGUUGAUUGGCUAAUUAAUAGAUUUAUUACCUAAUUAAUCUAUUAAUAGCCAAUUAAACCACCAAUUACUCCCAAAAAACACACAUAAGGUCGGUCACCUUCUCUCCCAAGGGGGCCAGCCAUGCCUUAUAAUUUCUACCUCAUUUUCCCCUUUCAUUAGCUAAUCAAUUAGGCAAUUAUUCUAUUAAUUGACUAAGUAAUUAGUUAAUUAUUCCAUAACUCCCAAUUUAACACAAAUCAAGAACCUAGCCCACAAAGGGAGCUAGAUGGCCAGUCCUCUCUCAUCCAAGGAGGCCGGCCACUCUCCUAUUUAAACCCCAUCAUUCUCCUCAAAGUCCACUUCCAACUCUCUUGCUAAAAUUCUUUAAAAAUUCUCAAACACUUUCUCUCUAAAUUCUAACUUUGAUAUCAAAGAUUCUCUGACCAAAGCUGUCACAGCCCGUCCCGGAAUUAUAAAUACCGAGGACAUGAAAUUACAAAAGUGACCUUAAACGGGAUUAAGGUGCGUAAAUUCGACAUUUAGUUUUAUCUAAAGUUCCUAAACUAUGGUUAAUUAGAAUGUUAAUUUAUGUUAGGGACUAAAACUAGGUUGUAAUGUUGUGUUUGGGAUUUAGGUAGGGCCUCAUGCCCUGAUUCCCUCCCCAUUUUCCGUAUGCACACUCUCUCUCUUCCUCAGACCUUCACACUCUCUCUCUCACCCUCUCUAACUCUCGGGCAACCACCUAAACCACCUAAAAUCAACACCAACGCCGGAUUUAAAACCACCAUUGCACUCCUGAGGACUUCACGAUCACGUAGGUACCAGUUUAAGGUGAGUUUCAUUUCGAAAACCCUAGUUUCUAAAGACACCGUGAUUAUGUAUUGUUCAUGAUCUUUGAAGUGGUUGUGUUUUAGGCCAAACUAAGAUCAUAGUGAGCUUUAGGAAGUCCUAAGGAAGCUCGGAGUGGGUUGGUUGGAAGUUUUGGACGUCGGAAUACCUAGUUCGACGUUUGGCCGAAUUUCGUGAAAUUUUGGAAGGUAUGAUCCCGUGGUUUUUAGUGUUUAAAACCCUUCCAACGUGAUUGUACAUGUUAAAUGCUUCAAUUUGGUAUAAAAUUCGAGAAAAUUGGACGAAAAACGAGUGAGAAUAGUUAAAUAGAAUUUUUUCCCAGUUUUCCGGUGACCGGAGUCCGGCGAGGGUGAAUCGGAGAAGACGACGGCAUAUUCCGUUAUUUUUAACGGAAUAUGCUAACGCCGUUAGUUAACCUUAACGGAAACCGUUAGUUUUUAACGAAAUAUUCCUAACUGCCGUUACUGUGCCGUCAGCAUGCAUGUCACGUGGCCGCGCGUGGGGGGCGCGUAGGUCCGUGCCAUUUCAGGCGCGUGGGGGCGCGUGAAGGGUCAAAAAAUUAUUUUAAAAAUAUGGGGAUGAUCCUGAGAUUGUGUAGGUCAUCGUGGUAUAUUCAUAUACCCAAUUUGAGCAUCGUAUGAAGAAUUUAUUUACCUAGUUUGGUUUAGGUGCGUUAAUUGUGCGUUAAAUGACGUUUUUAGUUAUUUCACUUCUAGGUGGUACUUAUAACGAGGACGAGCACAUCCAGGGGCGUCAAGGGGGUUACGACCCGGCGACAUACCAGUGAGUGGGCAUUUGUUUUUAUAUAUAUACCUAUAUACUCGAUUUCCCCAGAAAUCAAAAUUAAAUGAAAAGUAUAUUGAAAUGAAAUGAAAUAUGAUUUGAUUGCCAUGCAUAGAAUGUUAUGAAUAUUAUGAACUGUCGUAUGAUGCAUAUAUGUAAGAUGGUGUUGUGGACGCACAAGUGAGUAUCAGGUGAGUAUUUAAUUACUGUUAUGACGAUGAUGAUAUAUAUUGAGCUCAUAUCCUGCACCAUGGUUUAGUGCUUAUAGUAUUCACCGCAUCGCACGCUGGCCUUGGAUCCAAGUAGAUGCUGGUCGCACAGUCCACGCGGAGUGGGUGCGACGGGCCAGUCGUAGAGUGUUAGUGAGAUUUCGACUGGUGGGUGACCUUAGAUUAUGUGUACAGAUGAUUGAUGAGAAAAGCACUAGAGCGUAAUAUUAACCAUUAAGUCGUAUAGACUACAUUAGGUGGUUCCGACUUAUGUGCAAAAGGCCGGACAGGUCACAGAGGUAACUCCGGCAGAGUGAGAGUGAUAGAUUUUGAGCUCUAGGUUCAAUCGUUCAGGACCAUUAGAGGGCCUCCGAUUGAUUACUUUCUUUUACCUAAUUUAUAUUAUGUCAAUGCAUUCAUACUAAACUGUUGAAUUUGGCAUGGUACAUUCUUUAUUGAAUCUGUUAUAAGAUUGAUGAUCGAGAUGGUUGAGAUUUAUAUAUGCUAUAUACUAUUUUUCUGGGAAAGUAUACAGGUUUUCAAAAAGGGGUUAUAAAUGUGGAUUUAGGAAAUGAUUUGGAAAAGCUUUAUUUUCGCCCACUCACGUUUUCUGUUUUUCGCCCCUCCAGGUUCUAGUUGAUAGUUGAGGCGUUGGUGGCCUACGAGGACUACUUCGGCGUUCUGACAUACUAAAUAAAUGUAGGAUUUCACCCGAGGGUGUUGUAAAUUAGUUAUGGUCCUACUUGACUGCACCUAGACGCUUAUGCUUUGUUUAUGUGUGUUUAGUACACUCUUAGGCACAUAGAAUGCUAGGUUGUUAAUAACUGCAAUUAGUGGUUUUCGUUGACUCGUAUAUUAUUAUUUAAUCGUUUCCGCUUGCGUUUAUGGUUACGUCACGCUCACGUGACGGCCAGCACGUCCUAGUCUUCGGGUUAGGGUGUGUCAAAAGCCCCCCUCCCACAAUUCAUCGUGGGCAUGUGAGGCUUUUGGCCUUGACCAAAUGUGUUAAUUGUUUUGUAAGUGUAAUUUUGUCCAAGAUCAAAGAGGAGGAAAUUUGCAUCCACACAACCCCUUCAAACCGCACCAAAAAAUCAAAACAUCCAUUCGAAACCUCAAUUUCUGAAACCAAUUUCAAGUUCGAUUCAAGUUUCAAACAAUAAUCAAUACAUCAAAUCCAAAAUUUCUCAACCCAAAAACUUCAUUUGAAGACGAAAACCUGAAAACAUUCGAGAUGUAUAUUUGCAGAAUCCAAAUCAGAGAAACACAGGUAUGAACCUAGAACUUCUUAUAUUCUUGAUGAUUUCUUACUUUGAUUUACUACAUAUGUAUAUUUGCAUUUUGAGAUUCUAAAAAAUAAAUUAUAUUUCCAAUUCAGAGUAUUCUGAUUUGCAUCCAGACGAAAAUGAACAAAAAAAAAUUGGGAAAUAAAAGCAACAUAGAAGAAAUAGAGGUACAUACUACAAAAUUUCUAAUAUUCUCGAUGAAUUUACAGUAAUAUGUAAGUUUGCACGAUUCAUAUUCAUUGAAUGGGCAAUGUUUCUGCAAAAUGGUAUUUUUUUUACUUCACUUUGAUAACGCUUGUUUUCUUAUAACCUUUAAAUAGUCUUUUCUUGACCUCAUAUGUUGAUUACUUAAAUAACUUAAAUAAAUAUAAUCAACAUUCUAUUACAAUGGUUCCAUAAAUAGUACAGUUUUUUUGUUUCUAUUUGAUUAACAAUAUGGAUCCAUAAUCAAUAUGGUGUUUUAGUUUAUUCUCUUAAAUAACAUGCCCUAUUAUGGAUCCAGAAUCAAUAUAGUGAAAAAGAAGGACAUUAUUGAAGCGUACCAAAAAUACUCUAAGACGAAACUCCUGAAGGGCGAAAGCUACUGCUUUAAUUAUAUGUGCACAUCUCAUCCAAUCCCUCUUAUUUGCAACCUCCGUAACAUACAUCACAUGGAACUUUAUAACAAUUUGUGGGGCAUUGGACCAAAUCAACAAAUAUAAUUGAGCAAAAGGAGUGAGAGACUACUUGUUCAAGAUGAUUGACAAAUCCAAGAAAAAGAAGAAAAAUGGAGGAGAAUUAGCAACAACAAGCGGAUGCACUGUCAUUAUUUUGGUAAAAAAUUAGAACUAAAGUUUUAAAAGCAUGAAUUCUGUCUUAUAAAUUUCACAAGAAACUAAUUCAAAGUUCUUAUUUCAGCAUUAUUAGAUUUAUUUUCACACCAAUCUUGUGGAGACAAUAAGUAGACGAGAAAACAUGAUUCCUGCCAUUAGAAGAUGGACAUAACCUACAAAGCAAUUCUUGAACUUUCGAUUGCCUUGCGGAUUAGUGAGUUAUUGGGUUCUGCCCCAUAACGUACAUCUUUGUGUCUACAUACGACGACUCCGUUUCUACUCAGAGCCGCAUAUAGAUGGCUCGCGAAACUCAUGCGGGUGUCUUGGCCACUGAAACUGAAGUAGACAUCGUACUCAUUUGUAUGCGUGGUGGCCAUGGAUCCCAACGGAAAUCUCUGCUCUCUUCUCUCUCUUCUUUCUUAUGGAAACUCAGACCGAUCAAAUCCAGAUCUGAGAGUCUUCUAGCAUAGGAAUGGAUAAUGAAAUGUCAACGGCUAUACAAUCGUCCGAUGCGCAGCAGCAAAUCUCCAUUAUUUUGACUUGAACUACAUAUAAGUAUUGUUUUUUUUUGUUAGAUACAUAUUAAUAUUGUUCAAAACUACAUAUUAAUAAAAAAAAAUUGUUCAUUAAAAAAUAGUAGAAAGACUAUUUAGUUUUUUAUCUCAAUAAAAAAAAUAAAGGAAAACUAAUGAAAAUGGCUUGAAAACUCUGAGUUUUAAUGAUAAGGACAAAAUAAAGAGUAAAGUGAAUAGUACCAGAAUUGACUUUUUAGUGUAAAAAUAUGGUUUUUCGUUAAAGUGAACAGUACCGGGAGCUUUUCGUUAAAGUUCCCAAAAAAUAAAGACAGUAACGUAAUUUUACAAAAUAAAAUUUUACUUUUUUGUUUAAACAUCACUUACAGGUACUUUUAACAUUUUCAAAUUGCCAAAACUCGGUAAUGUCUACAAGAAACAAAGAAUAAUUAGAUCCAGAAAACUCAAACAAGGUAAUGAAAUAUAUUCUAACAAGCAAGGUCAAUAAUAAUGCAGAUGUAGGUGUAUACCUUUUUUUCAUUCCAGAGCUGUUUAAUUCUACUAUGACACAUACUAAGUUCAACGAGCUCUUCCGGGUUGAAUUCUGAUGGGAGAUCUUCUAGAGGAUAAUCUAUCCAUUCAAGAAAUCUCAAGGAAUUAGGGAGACUGUUGAGUCCUUCAGGAAGGUGCACGUUAUGGACUUUGAUCAAUCUAAGAUUAAACAUCUGAGAAAAAGCUUCAGGAUGGCAUUUGACCUCUUUUGAUUCAAGCAAGUCUAGGACAAUGCCUUCAACCGUCGGUGUCCCCUGAUAACCAAGAACAAAACAACAAGUGAAUUGCAGUAUAAUAUGCACAUUAUAAGUAAAGGAAGAUGAGUAAAACAAACUUUUUUUUUUACAUGCCUCUUAAUUGUUAGAUUAAUUUAUAUUUGACGUAUUAGAUAAGCUCUUACCGUUUUUUCCUUCAAAACAUGAAAGAUGUCCUUAGAAAGCCAUAAUCUGCUUCGUCCACCAGGUUGUUUAGAUUGUUGAACAACAAUUGUUUGACCCAUUUUUUGUAACAAAUCAUGCAUCCACACCCUGUUAUCUGAAAUUUUUAUCAGAGACUUCUCCAUAAGGACAUCUAUGUCAAUACCUGGAUUAAAACCACAACUGUCAAGUAUUUCAGAUACUCGAUCUUUGUCCUCUCCUUUAAAGAAACAUGCGAUGUCAAGGAAAAUCUCUCUCCCUUGCGGAUCUAAUCCCUCGUAACCUGUUAUAAGAAUCUUCAUAAUUUUUUCAUCCAAUGUGAAAUCACCCUCUAGUUUGCGCGAUUGACUGCUCCAUGCAUCUAGAUCUCUUCCAUACAAAAAAGACCCCAAGACUUCAAGAGCUAAUGGAAGGCCACUGGCAUAGUCCACAAAACUGUCAGACAGAGCCUUAUAACUUUCAGGCGGAUUCUCUCUACGGAAGGCUCUCAAGCUAAAAAGUUUAAGAGCAUCAACUUUACUCAGCUCCGGCACCUCAAAUACUUUUUUUACACCAUGUGAAAUUAGCAAGCGUUCAUCUCUAGUGGUAAUAAUGAUUCUACUCCCCUGACGAAACCAAUCUGGUUUUCCACAUAGCUCUCUUAAAUGGUUACUAUCGUCCACGUCAUCAAGAAUGAUGAGAACCUUUUUCUCAAGUAAGAAACUUCUCCAACUGGCAGCUUCACCGGCAUCCCAGUCUUGUAUAUUUUUUUUCAUAAGGCUAUUGGAAAGCUUCCUCUGUACACUGGCCAUACCGUGUGCCUUAGAAUCCUCUCUAACUCCGCCAUGAAAGCUUUUGGCUUGAAAUUUAUGACGAAUCCUCUCAUAACAUGCUUUGGCAAGGGUUGUCUUACCUAUCCCACUCAUCCCCCAUAUUCCUAUAAAGAGAACAUCAUUUGACUCUAGUUCUAAAAGCACAUCAAGUUCCUUCAGUUUCGAAUCAAUGUCAACUAGUUUUUCUGCAGGCUCCAAUGAUAAAGGUCCUACUUCAUUCCGUACAUUUUCAACAAUGUUUUGGAUGAGCUCUGGUUCUUCUCUACAAGAAGAAAAAAAAGACAAUGUUCAAGAUAUGACCUAAUACACAAAGAAAUAAAAGAGCCACGGACUAUUUUGUUUUCGUCUACCUGAAGUCAUAGUACCAAGUGGUCUCUGCGUCCAUUUAUAAGAGGGUGGUUUGGUAUUGAACCAAAUUAGAGACGGUUUAGGAAAAGGGGAGGACAAAAAAGCGCAGCAGUAUUGGAUUUCAAACAUAUGAAUUCUUAACUGGAUCAAUUUUUUCCCCUUAUACUCUCAAAUGGACCAAAUAUAUGGUAAAAAGAAAGGCUCUCUAGGAUGGAACUUUAAACAAAGUCUACAAGGACACGAUGUUUCCUCAUUAAGUUGUGCAGUUAUGGGAUUAAGUGGUUAUCAAGCACCUUCAUCACUGUGCAAAAAUUAAAUGAUAUGAAUUCUACGAUUUUCCUAAAACUUAUCAAAUAUUUUUCAUGCAUCAGGCUUUAGCCGAAUUGAACUGGACUUUAGCAAAACUCAACCGAAUUAUAGAAAAAUAGCAAGAAUGAAGGGUCAAGUGCUGAUUUGCGAAAGCUUUUGAAUUGAGUGAAAGAGAAAAAAACAAGUAAUGCCAACCUAUUCUUUGAAGUACACCCUUUGAUUUUUGCCACUUUUGUUAAGGCAGCUUUCCAUCGUCCCACCAUCUCUUUGUCAUCCUUAUACUUCUCUUCGAGUUCAGUGAAGCCUUUCCCAAAACUCCCAGACCUAUCUCCAACAUCGCAGGGUUCCACUUCGUAGAAAACUGGUAGAACUGCCCCUCUCUCUUCCAUGCAUUCAAGAAUCUUUACGAGUUCGUUCAGGCACCAUUUUGAAGAAGCGUAGUCUGGAGAGAUGACAAUGAUGGCAAGCCUCGACUUUUCAAUUGCCGAGAAGAGUUCAGAAACUUUCCUUCGUAUUUCAAGAUCUUUGUCAUCAAAGAAAGUUCUUGUAAUUCCUUGUUCUUGCAAUUUAUCAAGUAGAUGGGCGGUAAAACCUAACCGCGUCUCACCCCUAAAACUCAAAAAGACAUCAUACUUCCAUUCAAGAUCUGAAGGAACAGAUGAAGUGGCUCGUUGGGUGGUCGAUGCCAUUGAAUACACGCUAACUGGAAUGGUGGUACUAGUUUUUCAAGCAAAAACAUGACCAGAAAAACAAUUCAGCAUUCAUAAUAUUAUAUUAGCCAAUAACAUGAACAGAAAUAACCAUGAAUCAGAAAGAUGAGCAAUAACCUGGGUGUAUGUAGAAAACCAAGUCACAGAUCAAGUCAGAGGGGUCAUGAGAGGACCUGAAGAUCCGUCAGAAAAAAGGAAACACUGUCUCUCUGUACUUGCUACAAGUCUCUCUGUAUGUCGUCGUCAACGGAACUUCACCGCGUAAGCUUGAUGGACGUGAUUCAACUGCUUCUUCUAUCCGACGGUCAAACCGCGUAAGCUCUAUUUUACCUCUUUUUUAUUUUUAUUUUUAUUUUAUUCGUUUGGUGAACUGUAAGCUCCAUUAUUUUAUUUUUGUGUGGCUCCAUUAUUAUUUUUUAAGAAAAACUAAUGAAAAUGAUUUUAAAACUUUAAGUUUUAAGAUAAAAUAAAAGGUAAAGUGAAUACUACCAUGAUUAAUUUUUUAGUGUAAAAAUAUGAUUUUUCGUUAAAGUGAACAAUACCGAGAGCUUUUCGUUAAAGUUCUCUAUUUUUUAUACUAAUGCAGAGCACACCAUUGUUGAAUGUUUCUAACAAACACAAAAUUUAACUGCAACUUCUUUUUCUUCCAGAAACACAAAAUUUAAUUUUCUUUAAGUUGACCCAGUGCGUUCACUUAGACAACGGUGUUGUUUGAAUAAAAAUAACUCUUAAAAAAAUCUUUUUUAUGGCAAACCAGAAAUACACCUGAAGUUUCUUGAACUACAUUAUCUGGAAUCAACACACUUAAAUUUAUCUAGAGUGUUAUAAACUCCUUUAAAAUAUUGAUGGUCCAAACCGAUCAUUUUGAAGCGCUAACUUAUUAGUAAGCAAAUACGUUUCUAGCUACACGUUGGAGCACAUUUUGCAAGAUUCAUGAUGAUCCAAACCGAUCAUUUUGAAGGCCACCAUUGAAUAAGGAUUAUUCGUGUAAAAUCUCACUCAAAUUGAGCAUUGCUUAGAUAUCUAGCUAAUGGCAACAAUAUAAGCAAACGAACAUGGUAAACAAUAAAGAAAAUCAAAGGGCUCAAUCAUUCCAAUUUAGGUAAUUUUUUGCAAGAAUGAUUUUGUAUUGAUUUUUUUUUUCUUCAGAAAACUAUUAAUCAUCAAAGUCCCAAGGGAGGGCGAACAAGAAACCAAAUCAGCAGGCCAAACAAAGGACCGUGGGCACUGCCGUUACUCUUAAGAAUGGAAUGGCAGAAAAGAAUUUUCUGUAUUAAUUCUCAAUGAAUAUACAAGCUGCGCUAGGGUUCUUAUACAAACUGCAAGAAUACAAUCACAACUUCUAACUCCUACAAAUCAGCUAAGUAAAUAUUUGUACAAAGGGAAAGAAUAAAUCACUGAUAGUCAAUGAUUAUCAUGCUACCAAAUAGGAAGGAAACUAAUCAUAUCUCAACACUCCCCCUCAAGUUGGCGAGUGAAUGUCAAAAACUGCUAACUUGCUCAGCAAAAAACGAAAUUGAUCUUUUCCUAAAGGCUUCGUCAAUAUGUCUGCAACCUGCUUUGAAGAUGGAACAAAUUUGGUGACUACCUUUCCUUCUUGAAUUUUAUCUCGAACAAAAUGGCAGUCAAUCUCUAUAUGGCGUGUCCGCUCAUGAAAAACAGGAUUAGAGGCAAUGUGAAGAGCUGCUUGGUUAUCACAAUGUAAAAGAGCAGGACCCAUAUCUUUAAUGUGUAAAUCACAUAAAAGACUUUGUAACCAGGUGAGCUCACAACAGGUAGCAGCCAUUGAACGGUAUUCUGCUUCUGCAGAAGACAAUGAGACUGUCUUCUGUUUUUUGCUUUUCCAUGAAAUUAAAGAAUCUCCAAGGAAAACACAAUAUCCGGUAGUAGAACGUCGAGUUACUGGACACCCUGCCCAAUCAGCAUCACAAAAAGGCCUUCAAUCUUAACGAACUUUGUGAGGAAAACAAAAUACCUUGGCCUGGAGUGUUCUUCAAGUAUCUCAAAACACGUAAAGCUGCAUCAUAGUGAGGCUUGCGAGGAUGUUGCAUGAAACGACUUAACGUGUUUACUGCAAAAGUAAUAUCAGGCCUGGUAAUAGUUAAAUAUAUCAAACGUCCUAUCAAUCUCCGAUAGAUGGACGGAUCAUGAAGUAAAUCUCCUUCAUCAGGAAGUAGCUUUAGAUUCUGUUCCAUGGGGAAACUAGCUGAGCGUGCUCCCAAAAAACCAACAUCUUUCAAAAUGUCCAAUAAAUAUUUUCUUUGAGAAAUAAAGAUCCCCUUUCUUGAACGAGCAAUCUCUAUUCCUAAAAAAUAUUUAAGGGCUCCUAAAUCUUUGAUGCGGAAGCGUUUAUUCAAAAAAGAUUUAAGAGAACCAAUAGCCGUCAUGUCAUUACCAGUGAUCAAGAUGUCAUCAACGUAAAUAAGGAGAGCUGUGAACGAUUUGCCAACUUUUCUUGUAAAAAGGGAAUAAUCGGCUUUGGACUGUGUAUACCCAGCUGCAGAAAUGGCUUCAGAAAAUUUAAAAAACCACUGCCGAGAAGCCUGCUUUAAUCCAUACAAAGACUUGUGAAGGCGACAUACUAAAUGCUCCCCCUGUCGCUGAAGACCAGGAGGUGGAACCAUAUAUAUUUCCUCAAGGAGAUCACCAUGGAGGAAAGCAUUGUGGACAUCCAUUUGAUGGAGAGACCAGCCACUAGCAGCCGCAAGAGCAAGGAGACAACGAAAGGUAACCAACUUGGCAGUCGGGGAAAAUGUAUCCUGAUAAUCAACACCCUCAAUUUGAGUGUAACCCUUGGCCACUAAACGAGCUUUGUAACGCUCAAUAGUGCCAUCAGACUUGUGCUUGAUUUUGUAGACCCAACGACAACCAAUAGGGAUCUUGCCAGGGGGAAGAGCAGUCAAAGACCAAGUGGCAUUAGCUUCGAGAGCCUGAAUCUCCGAGGCCAUAGCGUCGCGCCACCGAGGAUCUUUAGCAGCCUCUGCAUAUGUGUUAGGUUCAAUAGGAAGAGUAAUAUUGGCAAUAAAACUUUGAUAAGAUGGAGAAAGAUGUUGAUAAGAAAUAUGCUUGCAUAAAGGGUGACGAGUACCUUUGGCAGAAGAACCUGGAGUCGAUGCUUGGAGUGGGGAAGACGAGGAAACAUGAGAGCAAACAUAGUCAUCAAGAUAAGUAGGGGUACGUUUAGGCCUAUCAGAAUGUCGUAUUGAGGGGGGUGCAAGAGGGAGACCAGGUGACGGAGAAGGACUAUCGGUGACGGUGUGGUCUAGGAGAGGUGGAGCAAGGGAGGUGGAUGGAGACUCAAUGGCAACAGGAGGGGCGGAAGGCUCAAUGACGACGGGAGUAGGUGGCAUCUCAAUGGCAUCAUAAGGAGGAGGAGGCAAGACAGGUUCAGGAGGUUGGGUUGAAGAAGUGGUGAUAAAAGGAAAAUGAGACUCAUGAAAAAUGACAUCGCGGCUGGUGAACACUUUGUGAGUAGAAAGGUCGUACAACUUAUACGCUUUUUGACCAAAGGGAUAUCCUAUAAAGACACAUUUUCUGGCUCGUGCAUCAAAUUUAUGAAGAGGGUGAACAUUAGUGGCAUAGGCUAAACAUCCAAAAAUACGUAAGUGUGCGUACGAUGGAGGAUGACCAUAAAGAACCUCAAAAGGGGAUUUAUUUGACAAAAGUGGUGUGGGUAAGCGAUUUAUGAGAUAGAUGGCAGUAAGGACACAAUCUCCCCAAAAAUACAAAGGUAAGUGACUUUGAAAACAUAGUGCCCUAGCUACUUGCAAAAUAUGACGAUGUUUCCGCUCGACUACUCCAUUUUGUUGUGGAGUAUAUGUGCAAGAACGUUCAAAAAUCACACCGCUCUCGGAAAAGAAAGAAUGUAGGGACAAAAACUCACUACCAUUAUCAGUUCGGAUUUUCUUAAUUUUGUGAUGGAAUUGAGUUUCUACAUAAGAAAAGAAAGUCUUAAGCAACUGUUGUGUUUCAGAUUUAUUUCGCAUAAAAAAGAGCCAAGUGGUGCGAGAAAAAUCAUCAACAAUGGUUAGGAAAUAUCGAGCCCCAUUAUAUGUAGAAAUUUUGUGCGGUCCCCAAAUGUCACAAUGAACAAGCUCAAAAAUGUGUUUACUGGCAAUAUGACUUAAUGGAAAAGGCAAUCUAGUUUGUUUUGCCAAAGGGCAAACAUCACAAGGUUUAUUUAAAUGAGAAGAAACAUCUAACAAUUGCUUAGCUAAAAGGUGGAGUCGUUGUGGAGAGGGAUGACCAAGACGACGAUGCCAUGAAAUGGAAUUAAUGCAACUGGAUGACGGUGAAGUGGUGCAGCGAUUGUUUGGUUUGGUGAGAUAGUAAAGACCGCCACGUUGUCUACCCCAUCCAAUCAUCUUUCUCGUCUCCAGGUCCUGGAAGAUACAAAAAUCCGGAAAAAAAGUUAUGGAACAUCGAAGGGAUUUUGUUAAACGACUAACGGAUAUCAAAUUAACCAAAAAGGAGGCAAUUCGUAAAACGUUAGUUAAGGAAAGUUUGGGAUCAAAAGUAAAAUUGCCAAUACUACUAAUUGAAACCCUUUCACCAGUCAGAAGUUUUACUGGAGGCAAAGACUUGUUCACAGUAGAGUUCGAUAAGGGAAGUGCCGUAACAUGAUCUGUAGCGCCACUAUCAAUUAUCCACUCUUGUGAAUGAUGGGGAGACAAACCUGUGACGGCAUUGGUCUGUGCUUCAGAUGGUAGAUUUCCAGCCAUCAUAGCAAAGAGUUGUUGAAGCUGCUCAGGAGUGAAAGUCAUCGGUGUUGCUGAGGUAGAUGAAGAAGUGGUAGAAGUUGAAGCUUGAACAUGGUUGGUCGCUGGUUUUCCCUCCUUACUGCGGCCCUUUCCCUUGUUCUUUUUAUGAAGACGAUGGUCCUCGGGAUAUCCAUGGAGUUGGUAGCAAGUCUCCUUAGUGUGGUGAGCUGUGUCACAAUAAUCGCAAUGGAGCGGUUUGCGAUUCCCUUGGCUGCCACGACUUUGUUGAUUGCCGCGACCACCUUGAAUGGCCAUGGCUACUCCUUCCAGACUUGGUUGUGGGACGGCUGUAAUUCCAUGUUGCUUCUCCUCUUGAUUAACCAUGGAAAAAACUUUGAGCACCGAAGGCAAUGGCUUUACAAGCAGAAUCUGACCUCUCACUGCUGCAUAUGAAUCAUCAAGCCCCAUUAAAAAUUGCAUAACCUUAUUCUGCUCAUCUUUCUCGUUACGGUCGUUCAUGGCACCACAUGAGCAAUUUUUAUGGCUGCCAUAAGAAGAUAACUCAUCCCAUAAACCCUUCAAUUGGGAAUAAUAGUCAGACACAGACAUCUGAUUUUGAGUGAGAUAUGCAAUGUCACGCUGAAUCUCGAAAAUUCGUGGGACGUUGUCUUGCGAAAAACGAGUCUUGAGGUCCUCCCAAACAUCAUGUGCAGUGUCGGCAUAAACCACACUGUUGGAUAACCCAGAACUCACAGAGUUUAAAAUCCACAUGAGAACCAUGUCAUUACAACGCUGCCAAAGAGCAGCUUCAGUUGCGUUCUUGUCGGACGGCUGCUUCACAGACCCAUCAACAAAACCAAAUUUGUUCUUUGCGCUAAGAGCAAUGCGCAUUGAACGAGACCAUGUGCUAUAAUUGUUUCCAGUAAGUAGAGUGGAAACAAGAUGCAUCCCUGGAUUAUCAGAGGGAUGAACAUAGAAGGGGCUUGAGGGAUCGUUCGACGCCGCAACCGACUUGGAGUCUCCCAUAGCCAAAAAAGAACGACUUUUCUUACAAGAAAAAUCGAAGGAAAAAACGAGGAGAAACCAAGAAAAAAAACGUCCUAGGAUCUUGGACUCUCUGGUACCAUCUUAAGAAUGGAAUGGCAGAAAAGAAUUUUCUGUAUUAAUUCUCAAUGAAUAUACAAGCUGCGCUAGGGUUCUUAUACAAACUGCAAGAAUACAAUCACAACUUCUAACUCCUACAAAUCAGCUAAGUAAAUAUUUGUACAAAGGGAAAGAAUAAAUCACUGAUAGUCAAUGAUUAUCAUGCUACCAAAUAGGAAGGAAACUAAUCAUAUCUCAACAGUUACAGACUUCUAACAGAACGCAAAGAACCUUCCGACGUAUGCCUCGACCUUCACCCGGCAACGAUUUCUGGCGAGCAACCGGGCAAGAAGACAGAUGCUGCAUCUCCAGAGACAAUGCUACUUGUAAAGAGGAGAGGACUAACCCACAAGUUAUGACAAACCUACCAAUAUUAAAUUUCAAUAUCUCGAGUCCAUGUGGAUGGUACGACAAUUUGAUCCAUACAUACAACAAAGACACACACAAGAAAGAAAAAUUUGGCCAACCGUUAAAAACAAACUGAGAUCAAAGAAAUCAAACAAUAAGGUACAUCAAUACAUUAAAUUAUAUGCAAUGCCUGCUGACAUCUCGGAAAUAUACCAACUAAACAGCAUACAACAACAACAACAACAACAACAAAGCCUUUUCCCACUAAGUGGGGUCGGCUAUAUGAAUCCUAGAACACCAUUGCGCUCGGUUUUGUGUCAUGUCCUCCGUUAGAUCCAAGUACUCAAGUCUUUUCUUAGGGUCUCUUCCAAAGUUUUCCUAGGUCUUCCUCUACCCCUUCAGCCCUGAACCUCUGUCCCGUAGUCACAUUUUCGAACCGGAGCGUCAGUAGGCCUUCUUUGCACAUGUCCAAACCACCGGAACCGAUUUUCUCUCAUAUUUCCUUCAAUUUUGGCUACUCCUCCUUUACCUCGGAUAUCCUCAUUCCCAAUCUUAUCCUUUCUCGUGUGCCCAUACAUCCCACGAAGCAUCCUCAUCUCCGCUACACCCAUUUUGUGUACGUGUUGAUGCUUCACCACCCAACAUUCUGUGUCAUACAACAUCGCUGGCCUUAUUGCCGUCCUAUAAAAUUUUCCCUUGAGCUUCAAUGGCCUACGACGGUCACCCAACACGCCGGAUACACUCUUACACUUCAUCCAUCCAGCAUUUUAUGGUUGAGAUCUCCAUCUAAUUCUCCGUUCUCUUGCAAGAUAGAUCCUAGGUAGCGAAAACGGUCACUUUUUGUGAUCUUCGCUAGAUUGCUCCGGUCAUUAGUGUGGAUAAGUAUAUAAAUGGAUAGAGAUAGGAAAGCAAACAUAAGAUGUACGUGGUUCACCCAGAUUGGCUAAGUCCACGGAAUAGAGGAGUUCUCAUUAAUUGUGAAGGGUUUACACAAGUACAUAGGUUCAAGCUCUCCUUUAGGGAGUACAGGUGAAUGAUUUAGUACAAAUGACAUUAGGAAAUAUUGUGGGAGAAUGAUCUCGUAACCACGAAACUUCUAAGUACCGGAGUGUGGUAUCGUCUUAACUUUCCUUAUCAUUCUCAUAGGUAGAUGUGACAUCUUCUCUGGAAGUACUCUUCCUCCAUCCAGGGGUGGUAUCUGUAACUGGUGGAGAUGCACAAGGUAAUGUAUCAAUGUCACUUGAAGCUUACUUGUAGUUUCAGGCUUGGUCAAGCGCGAUACAAACCAUGUAGUAGGAGUCCCCCAAGUCGCCGAGCUAGGGGAUCUGCUGAAAGAGGUAACAGACAAGGUAAACAAUCAGAGCUCCGACUGAUUGUUCACAUUCUCCCUAUCUUGCAGGCAACAUGAAGGAUAAAGAGAAGAAAAAUGAGAAGAGAUGAUAUGGGAUACUUUUGCUUUUGAAGAAGUAACUUUCCACAGGCUUAUUCUUAAAUUGGGCUGGAGGGUUUUCUGGUUUCCUCCAGAGUAUAAGGCCGACUGAAGAAUUUGAAGGUCAAAACAAGUCCAUCAAAUCUAGAGUACGUUCGACCCUGCUGAUAUGGGAUACUUUUGCUUUUGACAGAGUAGUGGAUGUAUCGGCACGUGUGCUGUUACGCUUGUCUCCACAUGCUUCCUUGUAUCCUUCUCACUUGCCCUAUCUGUUCCUCAGGCAGAUGCGGUAUCUUCCCUAGAAGCAUAAGAUGUUGAAGAUGAGUACUCGAGAGCAAUGCCAGGUAAGUAAUCAGGUAAGGGGUUCCAGGCAGUCAGUUCCUGGCUGGAAGCUUGAUUCCAAGUGCUGACUGAUUGCUCUCUUUCUCCUUGUCUUGCAGGUAAGAACAAGGCCAAAGGAAAAGACAGGGAAAAAGCAUGAUAUGGGAUACUCUUGCUUUUAACCCUGAUGAUAUGAGAUAUUCUUGCUCUAGUAUAGCUUGUUUACAGAGGUAUUAUCGGGGGGAAAGAAAGCUGAAUAUUUCGAAAGGCUUCAUUGGGAGUGCCCUCUCAGAUAAGAGGAAGGGUUGAGCAUUUUUGCAGGUCUGCCUGUCCGUUGGGGAUGGAGGUCGACAUAUAUAGGAGUCUCCCUAACAUCAAGUAAUAAUGUUAUUCCUUUACCCUGCUUGGUCAUAGCACGGUAGUGGGAGCUGCCAACUUCACAAGUUUUAACUCUGUCAGAGCAAUUUGAAAAAGUGGUCUGUGGUAUCUGGAAAGCUGAUGUUGUGUGUGAAGAUUACAGACAAGCUUUAUCCAAGGAGAUCCGGCUCUUGAAGUUGGGAAAGUGGUGCCUCUUCGGUUUUCGAACAAGCAAUCCUGUCGGGGAUCUGGCUCUCGAGAUUCGGAGAACGAUGCCUCUUCGAUUUUUGAGAAAGCAAUCCUGCUGGGGGUCUGGCUCUCGAGAUUCGGAGAGCGGUGUCUUCGAUUUUUGAGAAAGUAAUCAUGUUGGAAGUCUGGCUCUCGAGAUUCGGAGGGCGGUGCCUCUUCGAUUUUAGAGCAAGCAAUCUUGUUGGGAGUGUUUUCUCGAAUGUGAGUAAAGGUUGGGCAUGUUUGCUAGUCUACCUUGCCACGAAACACAGAGGUUAACACACAGGGAAUUUCCAAUUAUCCAGCAGUGGUACUGUUCUCUUACCCUCUCUUCGAUUUUUGAGAAAGUAAUCAUGUUAGGAGUCUGGCUCUCGAGAUUCGGAGGGCGGUGCCUCUUCGAUUUUGGAGCAAGCAAUCUUGUUGGGGGUGUUUUCUUGAAUGUGAGUAAAGGUUGGGCAUGUUUGCUAGUCUACCUUGCCACGAAGCACAGAGGUUGACACACAGGGACUUUCCAAUUAUCCAGCAGUGGUACUGUUUCUUUACCCUCUCUUCGAUUUUUGAGAAAGUAAUCAUGGUGGGAUUCUGGCUUUCGAGAUUCGGAGGGCGAUGCCUCUUCGAUUUUGGUGCAAGCAAUCUUGUUGGGAGUGUUUUCUCGAAUGUGAGUAAAGGUUGGGCAUGUUUGCUAGUCUACCUUGCCACGAAGCACAGAGGUUGACACACCGGGACUUUCCAAUUAUCCAGCAGUGGUACUGUUCCUUUACCCUUGUGGGUAAUAAUAUGGUAGCUAGGCCUUCAAAAUUUAUGUGUCUAAACUUUGUUAGUGUUGUUUCUUUGCUAUUCUUUUACCCUUCUUGGUCAGAGCGAUGUAGUGAGAGCUGUAAGCUUCACGUGUCUCAACUUUGUCAGAGAAUUUUGGCAAAGUUAUAUGUGAUACCCAUGAGCUACUGUUGCGUGUGGGAAGUGGGUGAUUGAACAGUACGAUUCAUGUGCUUUCUACCUCGCCAGAAAUCUUCGACAGAAUGCCCAUAAUUUCCGCAAAGCUGAGUGUGCGUGUGACAGGUGCUGACAAGGCUGGAAAAGUAGUCUCAACUUUGUCAGAGAACUUUGGCAAAGUUAUAUGUGGUACCCAUGAGCUACUGUUGCGUGUGGGUAGUGGGUGAUUGAAUAGUACGAUUCAUGUGCUUUCUACUUCGCCAAAAAUCUUCGACAGAAUGCCCAUAAUUUCCGCAAAGCUGAGUGCGUGUGACAGGUGCUGACAAGGCUGGAAAAGUAGGUGCCUCUUCGAUUUCUGAGAUCGGCCCUCGUGGUCUCUGAGCAGCCCAGCUUUUGAGAAAGCAAACCUCUUCGAUUUUUGAGAUCGGCCCUUGUGGUCUAUGAGCAGCCCAGCUUUUGAGAAAGCAAACCUCUUCGAUUUCUGAGAUCGGCCUUCGUGGUCUUUGAGCAGCCCAGCUUUUGAGAAAGCAAACGCCUCUUCGAUUUCUGAGAUCGACCCUCGUGGUCUCUGAGCCGCCCAGCUUUUGAGAAAGCAAACGCCUCUUCGAUUUCUGAGCAGGCGCCUCUUCGAUUUCUGAAGCUUCGUCGAGUGCAGAUUUUUAUAGGGGCUGACAUUAAGUUCCAAAGCACACUUGAAUAUCCACCAGUAGAAGCUCCAUUCUUGCACUUCUAAGAUCUUGAUUUGUCCGACCUUUUCUCUCUUCAACACCUUUGAAAAUGUCUGGCCCCUCCGACCGUCGUUUUGACUUGAACCUUGUUGAAGAGGCAACCCCGCCUUCUCUAGACAACAUAUGGCGCCCAUCCUUCGUCUCCUCUACUGGUCCUCUUACCGUUGGGGAUUCCGUGAUGAAUAAUGAUAUGACCGCUACGGGUGUGGCCAGGAAACUUCUCACUCCCAAAGAUAACAGACUACUUUCCAAACGGUCUGAUGAGUUGGCUGUUAAGGAUUCUCUGGCUCUUAGUGUUCAGUGUGCAUGUUCUGUGUCUAAUAUGGCCCAACGCCUAUUUGCUCGAACCCGCCAAGUUGAAUCAUUGGCUGCUGAAGUGAUGAGUCUCAAACAAGAGAUUAGAGGGCUCAAGCAUGAGAAUAAACAGUUGCACCGGCUCGCACAUGACUAUGCUACAAACAUGAAGAGGAAGCUUGACCAGAUGAAGGAAUCUGAUGGUCAGGUUUUACUUGAUCAUCAGAGUUUUGUGGGUUUGUUCCAAAGGCAUUUAUUGCCUUCGUCUUCUGGGGCUGUACCGCGUAAUGAAGCUCCAAAUGAUCAACCUCUGAUGCCUCCUCCUUCUAGGGUUCUGUCCAGUACUGAGGCUCCGAAUGAUCCCCCUCCGGUGCCUUCUCUUUCUGGGGCUCUACCGACUGCUGAGACUUCUCCUAAGCAACCUUUGUGAAGGCUCCCUCUUGUUUGUUUAUUUUGACUCAAGUAUAUGUACAUAUUUGUAACUUAUCGGGGAUAUCAAUAAAUAAGCUUUCCUUCAUUUCAACGUAUUGUGUUAAAUCACCAAAGCCUUCUUCGCUAAGUUCUUUGAAUUUUCUUUUGUUGAAGCUUGUAUGUUGAAGCUUUGUGAAUGGAGCAUGUAGGUUGAGGUAGUGUUCCCUUAAUUUCCCGAGCGAUGACAACUUCUCGGUUGGAGACUUGGAAAAUCCAAGUCACUGAGUGGGAUCGACUAUAUGAAUCUUAGAACGCCAUUGUGUUCUGUCCUAUGUCAUGUCAUCCGUUAGAUCCAAGUACUCUAAGUCUUUUCUUAGGGUCUCUCUCAAAGUUUUCCUAGGUCUUCCUCUACCCCUUCGGCCCUGAACCUCUGUCCACAAACCAAAACCGAAAAAGUUCCUACCAAUAUUUAUUUAGCAACAUGUAAUCUCAUGAUCUCAUGUGUAAGUGAGGAACAAGGUCCAGAGCCGGACUGACCGAUACGCUGAUGGGGCACAACUCAAAAUGACCUAUUCGGAUUUGAAGAAGAUGACUUGGCUUUUGCAAAAUCAACUAGAUCCUUGAAAAGAGCAUCUUCCUGUUUUACUUGUUUUGUUGGGGUAGACGAAUUAAGGGAGAGAUUCUGAGUCUGUCCCACUAAGUUGUCAUAAGAUGAACCAGAUCCACUGCCUGGAACGCCUUGUUUCUCAAAAAACUGUUGUCUCUGGUUAUACCUGGAAGGCGGAGGUGGAAGGCUGACAGGAGAUUGACCAUUGCCAGGAGACUGAGGAUUCCCCAGAGACUGAGUAUCCCAAGGAGCAGGAGGUAGCCCAUCUAUAGAUUUGCUUCUAGGAGCCGGUUCAUCAUAUACAGGCUUUCCAGUGAAUAUAGGUGAUGGAGUUGUGUUUUGGGAAGAAGGGUGUGAAGGUGAUAGUGGAGUCAAUCGUGAGGUGGAGCUGGAAUGAACUGGAGCGGCAAAAGAUGUGGAUUCUGAUGUUGCAGAGGAUCCUUCAGAUUUGUAGGCUUCUCCACUGAGAUAAUCAAUCACACCAGGACCUAGAGUGAUUGGCCUUUGCGAAGACGGUGGAAGAGGAAGAAGUGGGCUGACUUGCACAGGUUCAGCCUUGGCAUUGGCUGAUCUCUGGCCCUGUCCUUGUGAAUUAUCUCUUGAUGACCUGCAAUGCAUCUUACCGAAUUUUACUAAGAGGAUAAGAAUAUUAAAAGUAAAAAACUAACAGAACUUGCAAUAUUCAUAUUCUGAAGCGCACACAUACAAGUAAAAUUGGUAGAAACAAAAACAAGUGAGAAUGAAAUGACAAUGCAAAUAAAACUUAGAAGUGUUCCUCUAACAAUCACCUGUGCGCUAGUUGGGAAAAUUCAUCCUCAGACACAUCAUCCUCAUGGUUCACAUUCACAAGUGGCACAACUGAAGAUUCUGCUCCUCUUACUGUAGUUGUAGUUCCUUUCACAAUAUCGUCAUGCCGAGAAAUUACACGCUGCAGAUCAUCGUUCAGUGCCAAUCCCUGACAUAGAAGCUCCUCAUCUCUGAGAGGAGAGCAACCACAACUGUCACUAUUGCAUCAAAUGUAUGAGUAAAACUCAAAUCCAUAUCAAAUCACUUACGCAGUCUCAUUCACAAGAAGCCUGACACGCUUUUGGUAUGAACGGCACUGAUCAACAAGGUCAACAAUCACUUCUUCCUUCAAACCCUGCCAUAGUAUUUCAUUUUGACCAUUUAUGACCAUUAAAUUUGCACACAUUAAAAGCCCGGAUGGUAAUAUUACGAUUUUGGUUCAUUUUUUAUUUUUAGUAAAAGCCGAAGAGGAAUUGUAUGGAGAAAAUAGGGAGAAAGAAAGGGCUCAGAUGGAUGAGCAUUAAAAUGAAUAUGGAACGGUAUUUAAACCACAAAUUAAAUCAAUCUCAACUAUUCUAUUUUCUCCUUCAAGUUUUUAUUUCACCCAUUCCCCUUCAAUCAUCCAUACCUCCUCCCUUCUACAAGCACAAGAAAAGUGCAGCCCUUAAAGGUACUAAUUUGCGAGUAAUUAACCACCUAAUUCCAACUCUGCUAAAAGUCCCAACUUCAAAAAAUUUUACAAUCACAGUAAUUGACACCUCUGGAUAGCUAGCCUUAUAAAUAAAGUUUUGUUAUCAAUAUAUCUCCUCAAAUAAUUUACAUACAGUGCAUAAGUAAGGAAAAGUAUGGACCAUAAAUAUUCUCCACAAUUGACCAUAUACAACUUUCAGAAUUUUCUACUGUGGGCACAUAUGAAACUUUCACCGCUAGAGAACUCCACACACAAAAACAAAAAAAUAGAAUCAUUGGCCUCUCAACAAAAAAAAAAUUCUAGAAAAACAUAAAUAAGAAAUUAUCCUUUAAUAAUACCUUUUUGGAAAGAAAUUAAUCAGAAGUAAAAAAAUAAGGUAGAAAAUAUAUUACCUCAGGAUUCUUAGCAUCCAAGGCAUUAAGCAUUUCCAUCAACACAUCUGCAAUUCCACGAGCAUACUGAAUCUCUGGCAAGCUGAUUAAAGACAGUUCCAAUCAGGAUGGAUCUAUCAUAGCUUCAAUAAUAAUUCAGACAAUUUUUACCAAAAAUAAAAAAGCAUCCCAAAGCAUAAAAAACAGAUAGCAUCUGUUACAAUAUCAUUAUGUUGGAAUUGUCUGUAUAGGUAAUUAUGGGGGAUUCGGGAAAGAUGGAAUAACUAUACAACAACAACAAAGCCUUUUCCCACUAAGUGGGGUCGGCUAUAUGAAUCCUAGAACGCCAUUGCGCUUGGUUUUGUGUCAUGUCCUCCGUUAGAUCCAAGUACUCUAAGUCUUUUCUUAGGGUCUCUUCCAAAGUUUUCUUAGGUCUUCCUCUACCCCUUCGGCCCUGAACCUCUGUCCCGUGGUCACAUCUUCGAACCGGAGCGUCAGUAGGCCUUCUUUGCACAUGUCCAAACCACCGUAACCGAUUUUCUCUCCUCUUUCCUUCAAUUUCGGCUACUCCUACUUUACCUCGGAUAUCCUCAUUCCUAAUCUUAUCCUUUCUCGUGUGCCCACACAUCCAACGAAGCAUCCUCAUCUCCACUACACCUACGUGUUGAUGCCUCACCGCCCAACAUUCUAUGCCAUACAGCAUUGCCGGCCUUAUUGCCGUCCUAUAAAAUUUUCCCUUGAGCUUCAGUGGCCUACGACGGUCACACAACACGCCGGAUGCACUCUUCCACUUCAUCCAUCCAGCUUGUAUUCUAUGGGUGAGAUCUCCAUCAAAUUCUCCAUCUUUUGCAAGAUAGAUCCUAGGUAGCGAAAACGGUCGCUCUUUGGUAUUUCCUGAUCUCCGAUCCUCACCCCUAACUCAUUUUGGCCUCCGUUUGCACUGAACUUGCACUCCAUAUAUUCUGUCUUUGAUCGGCUUAGGCAAGGACCUUUAGAUUCCAACACUUCUCUCCAAAGGUUAAGCUUCGCAUUUACCCCUUCCUACGUUUCAUCUAUCAACACUAUAUCGUUUGCGAAAAGCAUACACCAAAGAAUAUCAUCUUAAAUAUUAAGUUUGUGAUCUUCGCUAGAUUGCUCCGGUCAUUAGUGUGGAUAAGUAUGUAAAUGGAUAGAGACAGGAAGCAAACACAAGAUGUACGUGGUUCACCCAGAUUGGCUACGUCCACGGAGUAAAGGAGUUUUCAUUAAUUGUGAAGGGUUUACAUAGUAUAUAGGUUCAAGCUCUCCUUUAGUGAGUACAAGUGAAUGAUUUAGUACGGAUGACAUUAGGAAAUAUUGUGGAAGAAUGAUCUCGUAAUCACGAAACUUUUAAGUACCGAAGUGUGGUAUCGUCUUCACUUGCCUUAUCUGUGUCAUAGGUAGAUGUGGCAUCUUCUUUGGAAGUACUCUUCCUCCCUCCAGGGGUGGUAUCUUUAACUGGUGGAGAUGCACAAGGUAAUGUAUCAAUUUCACUUGACGCUUACUUGUAGUUUCAGGCUUGGUCAAGCGCGAUACAAACCAUGUAGUAGGAGUCCCCCAAGUCGCCGAGCUAGGGGAUCUGCUGAAAGAGGUGACAAACAAGGUAAGCAAUCAGAGAUCCAAGCAAUCAGUCCCAUAUCAGAAGUUUGAUUUCGAGUUCCGGCUGAUUGUUAUCAUUCUCCUUAUCUUGCAGGUAGCAUGAAGGAUAAAGAGAAGAAAAUGAGAAAAGGUGAUAUGAGAUAUUUUUGCUUUUGAAGAAGUAACUUUCCAUAGGCUUAUUCUUGAACUGAGCUGGAGGGUUUUCUUGUUUCCGCCAGAGUAUAAGGCCGACUGAAGAAUUUGAGGGUCAAAACAAGUCCAUCAAAUCUAGAGUACGUUCGACCCUGCUGAUAUGGGAUACUUUUGCCGUUGGCAAAGUAGUGGAUGUAUCGACACGUGUUCUGUUGCGCUUGUCUCCACAUGCUUCCUUGUAUCCUUCUCACUUGCCCUAUUUGUUCCUCAGGCAGAUGUGGUAUCUUCUCGGGAAGCAUAAGAUGUUGAAGAUGAGUACUCGAGAGCAAUGGGGUUCCAGGCAGUCAGUUCCGGACUAGAAGCUUGAUUCCAAGUGUUGACUGAUUGCUAUCUUUCUCCUUGUCUUGCAGGUAUAACAAGGCCAAAGGAAAAGACGGGGAAAAAGCAUGAUAUGGGAUACUCUUGCUUUUAACCCUGAUGAUAUGAGAUAUUCUUGCUCUAGUGUAGCUUGUUUGUAGAGGUAUUCUCGGGGGGAAAGAAAGCUGAGUAUUCCGAGAGGCUUCGUUGGGAGUGCCCUCUCAGAUAUGAGGAAGGGUUGAGCAUUUUUGCAGGUCUGCCUGUCCGUUGAGGAUGAAGGUCGACAUAUAUAGGAGUCUCCCUAACAAGGAGUAAUACUAUUCUUUUACCCUGCUUGGUCAUAGCACGGUAGUGGGAGCUGCCAACUUCACGUGUUUUAACUCUGUCAGAGCACUUUGAAAAAAUGGUCUGUGGUAUCUGGAAAGCUGAUGUUACGUGUGAAGAUUACAGACAAGCUUUAUCCAAGGAGAUCUAGCUCUCGAAGUUGAGAAAGCGAUGUGAGGAUUACAGACAAGCUUUAUCUAAGGGGCUCUCGAAGUUGAGAAAGCAGUGGCUCUUCGGUUUUCUAACAAGCAAUCCUGUCGGGGAUCUGUCUCUCGAGAUUCGGAGAACGGUGCCUCUUCGAUUUUUGAGAAAGCAAUCUUGCUAGGAGUCUGGCUCUCGAGAUUCAGAGAGCGGUGUCUCGUCGCUUUUUGAGAAAGUAAUCAUGUUGGGAGUCUGGCUCUCGAGAUUCGGAGGACGGUGUCUCUUCGAUCUUGAAGCAAGCAAUCUUGUUGGAGUGUUUUCUCGAAUGUGAGUAAAGGUUAGGCCUGUUUGCUAGUCUACCUUGCCACGGAGCACAGAGGUUGACCCACAAGGACUUUCCAAUUAUCCAGCAAUGGUCCUGUUCUUUUACCCUUGUGGGUAAUAAUAUGGUAGCUAGACCUUCAAAAUUUAUGUGUCUAAACUUUGUUAGUGCUGUUUCUUUGCUAUUCUUUUACCCUUCUUGGUCAUAGCGAUGUAAUGGGAGCUGCAAGCUUCACGUGUCUAAACUUUGUCAGAGAUUUUUGGCAAAGUUAUCUGUGGUACUCGUGAGCUGAUGUUGCGUGUGGAAAGUGAAUGAUUGAACAGUAACAUUCACGUGCUUUCUACUUCACUAGAAAUCUUUGACAGAAUGCCCGUAAUUUCUGCAAAGUUGAGUGUGCAUGUGACAGGUGCUGACAAGGCUGAAAAAGCAGGUGCCUCUUCGAUUUCUGAGAUCGACCCUCGUGGUCUCUGAGCAGCCCAGCUUUUGAGAAAGCAAGCGCAUCUUCGAUUUCUGCGAUCGACCUUCAUGGUCUUUGAGCAGCCCAGCUUUUGAGAAAGCAAACGCCUCUUCGAUUCCUGAGAUCGGCCCUCGUGGUCUCUGACCAGCCCAACUUUUGAGAAAGCAAACGCCUUUUCGAUUUCUGAGCAGACGCCUCUUCGAUUUCUGAAGCUCCAUCGAGUGCGGAUUUUUAUAAAGGCUGGUAUUAAGUUCCAAAGCACACUUGAAUCUUCACCAGUAGAAGCUCCCUUCUUGCAUUUCUAAGAUCUUGAUUUGUCCGACCUCUUUUCUCUUCAACACCUUUGAAAAUGUCUGGCCCCUCCAACCGUCGUUUUGACUUGAACCUUGUUGAAGAGGCAGCCAUGCCUUCUCUAGACAACAUAUGGCGCCCAUCCUUCUUAUCUCCUACUGGUCCUCUUACCAUUGGGGAUUCCGUGAUGAAGAAUGAUAUGACCGCUGCGGUGGUGGCCAGGAACCUUCUCACUCCCAAAGAUAACAGACUACUUUCUAAACGGUCUGAUGAGUUGGCUGUUAAGGAUUCUCUGGCUCUCAGUGUUCAGUGUGCAGGUUCUGUGUCUAAUAUGGCCCAACGCCUAUUUGCUCGAACCCGCCAAGUUGAAUCAUUGGCGGCUGAAGUGAUGAGUCUCAAACAGGAGAUUAGAGGGCUCAAGCAUGAGAAUAAACAGUUGCACCGACUCGCUCAUGACUAUGCUACAAACAUGAAGAAGAAGCUUGACCAGAUGAAGGAAUCUGAUGGUCAGAUUUUACAUGAUCAUCAGAGGUUUGUGGGUUUGUUCCAAAGGCAUUUAUUGCCUUUGUCUUCUGGGGCUGUACCGCGUAAUGAAGCUCCAAAUGAUCAACCUCCGAUGCCUCCUCCUUCUAGGGUGCUGUCCAGUACUGAGGCUUCGAAUGAUCCCCCUCCGGUGCCUUCUCUUUCUGGGGCUCUGCCGACUGCUUAGACUUCUCCUAAGCAACUUUUGUGAAGGCUCCCUCUUGUUUGUUUAUUUUGAUUCGUGUAUAUGUACAAAGAAGAUAAAUGAUUUGAAGUCUAUUGUUCAAUUUCUUAUUAGCACAAAAUUCAAUCAAGCAAGGAUGAAUUCUUUCAUAAAUUACAGUUACGGAUCAUGACAUUCAACAAGCAGUAGCUGAAAUAAUUGUACAAGCAUAAAAAAUAUAUGCCGAUUGACAUCUCUUACUAAAGAUUAAGACCCUAGGACUGACGGGACUUAUAAUAGUAAGGAUGUAAGAGACAUCCUCAUGUCAAGGGGAGAAUUGAUGAAUACUUGACAAGGUUAAGGCCUUUCAGAUAUAUAGUCAAAUUUUUCUGCAGUAUUAAAGCAUGCACAACACAUUCAAAUUUGAUAAUGAGAAAGGUAUAAAAUUUUUUUUUUUUUGAAGAAGUUGAAGAAAUAAAAAAUGAAAGAGAAACAAUCGAAUCGCCAAUUUAUGCAGUACAACAUAUGUAGAACAUGUCAUACUGAGGGUUUUAAUCCUGGGACAUUUUCCAAUUGCCUACAAAUAUUUUUAACCUCUCUCAUGCAAUCAACACGCAAGUUUAUAGUUGUGACAAACAUGCAUGUGAAGGAAACAAUAAUUGUUUGAACAGGGAAUAAAUACCAUACUCAAAAGGCCCAAAAAUGUAUGUUUCCAAGAAAACCAUAUUCUCAGCUAGUACCUAAGGCCCGAUGCAUCCGACUGGAGAGAAGCCUGAAUGGCAGCAUCAUCAUAUGAUGUAACAGGAGAAACUACUGGCUGGGUCUGGGGCGGAGUAAAUAUUGGUACACUGUUCUCUUCUCUUGGUGGAAAUUCAACUCCUGCAGACUGUCGGUUAUUCAUUAAGAGAGUUAGGGUGGAAGAAGAAACAGAAUAAAGAGAAAAUAAUUAAAAUCCACAGUUAUACUAAAUAUUGAAUAGCAAGCUUUCCCAUAACUGUAGGAUUACAUCAAGGCUCAUCCUUAAGUCCUUACCUUUUUGCGUUGGUAAUGGAUGAGUUAACAGGACAUAUUCAAGAUGAUAUUCCUUGGUGUAUGCUUUUCGCAGACGAUAUAGUGUUGAUAGACGAAACUCAGGAAGGGGUAAAUGCAAAGCUUAACCUUUGGAAAGAAGUGUUGGAAUAUAAAGGUCUUCGCCUAAGCCGAUCAAAGACAGAAUAUAUGGAGUGCAAGUUCAGUGCAAAUGGAGGCCAAAACGAGUUAGGGGUGAGGAUCGGAGAUCAAGAAAUACCAAAGAGCGACCGUUUUCGUUACCUAGGAUCUAUCUUGCAAAAGAACGGAGAUUAGAUGGAGAUCUCAACCAUAGAAUACAAGCUGGAUGGAUGAAGUGGAAGAGUGCAUCCGGCGUGUUGUGUGACCGCCGUAUGCCACUGAAGCUCAAGGGAAAAUUUUAUAGGACGGCAAUAAGGUCGGCGAUGCUGUAUGGCACAGAAUGUUGGGCGGUGAAACAUCAACACGUACACAAAAUGGGUGUAGCGGAGAUGAGGAUGCUUCGUUGGAUGUGUGGGCACACGAGAAAGGAUAAGAUUAGGAAUGAGGAUAUCCGGGGUAAAGUAGGAGUAGCCGAAAUUGAAGGAAAGAUGAGAGAAAAUCGGUUACGGUGGUUUGGACAUGUGCAAAGAAGGCCUACUGACGCUCCGAUUAGAAGAUGCGACUAUGGGACAGAGGUUCAGGGCCGAAGGGGUAGAGGAAGACCUAGGAAAACUUUGGAAGAGACUCUAAGAAAAGACUUAGAGUACUUGGAUCUAACGAAGGACAUGACACAGGAUCGAGCACAAUGGCGUUCUAAGAUUCAUAUAGCCGAUCCCACUCAGUGACUUGGAUUUUCCAAGUCUCCAACCGAGAAGUUUUCCUCACUCGGAAAAUUAAGGGAACACUACCCCAACCUACCUACAUGCUCCACUCAGAAAGCUUCAACAUACAAGCUUCAACAAAAGAAAAUUCAAAGAACUUAGCGAAGAAGGCUUUGGUGUAUUUAACACAAUACGUUGAAAUGAAGGAAAACUUAUUUAUUGAUAUCCCCGAUAAGCUACAAAUAUGUACAUAUACAUGAGUCAAAAUAAACACACAAGAGGGAGCCUUCACAAAGGUUGCUUAGGAGAAGUCUCAGCAGUCGGUAGAGCCCCAGAAAGAGAAGGCACCGGAGGGGGAUCAUUUGGAGCCUCAGUACUGGACAGAACCCUAGAAGGAGGAGGCAUCAGAGGUUGAUCAUUUGGAGCUUCAUUACGCGGUACAGCCCCAGAAGACGAAGGCAAUAAAUGCCUUUGGAACAAACCCACAAAUCUCUGAUGAUCAAGUAAAACCUGACCAUCAGUUUCCUUCAUCUGGUCAAGCUUCCUCUUCAUGUUUGUAGCAUAGUCAUGUGCGAGCCGGUGCAACUGUUUAUUCUCAUGCUUGAGCCCUCUAAUCUCCUGUUUGAGACUCAUCACUUCAGCCGCCAAUGAUUCAACUUGGCGGGUUCGAGCAAAUAGGCGUUGGGCCAUAUUAGACACAGAACCUGCACACUGAACACUGAGAGCCAGCGAAUCCUUAACAGCUAACUCAUCAGACCGUUUGGAAAGUAGUCUGUUAUCUUUGGGAGUGAGAAGGUUCCUGGCCACCACCGCAGCGGUCAUAUCAUUCUUCAUCACGGAAUCCCCAACGGUAAGAGGACCAGUAGGGGAGACGAAGGAUGGGCGCCAUAUGUUGUCUGGAGAAGGCGGGGCUGCCUCUUCAACAAGGUUCAAGUCAAAACGACGGUCGGAGGGGCCAGACAUUUUCAAAGGUGUUGAAGAGAGAAGAGGUCGGACAAAUCAAGAUCUUAGAAGUGCAAGAAUGAAGCUUCUACUGGUGGAGAUUCAAGUGUGCUUUGGAACUUAAUGCCAGCCCCUAUAAAAAUCUGCACUCGACGGAGCUUCAGAAAUCGAAGAGGCGCCUGCUCAGAAAUCGAAGAGGCGUUUGCUUUCUCAAAAGCUGGGCUGCUUAGAGAUCACGAGGGUUGAUCUCAGAAAUCGAAGAGGCGUUUGCUUUCUCAAAAGUUGGGCUGCUCAAAGACCACGAAGGCCGAUCUCAGAAAUCGAAGAGGCGCUCGCUUUCUCAAAAGCUGGGCUCCCCAGAGACCACGAGGGCCGAUCUCAGAAAUCGAAGAGGCACCUACUUUUCCAGCCUUGUCAGCACCUGUCACACGCACACUCAGCUUUGCGGAAAUUAUGGGCAUUCUGUCGAAGACUUCUGAGGGAAGUAGAAAACACACAUGAAUCUUACUGUUCAAUCAUCCCACUUCCCACACGCAACAAUAGCUCAUGGGUACCACAGAAAAACUUUGCCAAAGUUCUCUGCCAAAGUUGAGCACGUGAAGCUUGCAGCUCCCACUACAUCGCUCUGACCAAGAAAGGGUAAAAGAAUAGCAAAGAAACAGCACUAACAAAGUUUAGACCCAUAAAUUUUGAAGGUCUAGCUACCAUAUUAUUACCCACAAGGGUAAAGGAACAGUACCACUGCUGGAUAAUUGGAAAGUCCCUGUGUGUCAACCUCUGUGCUUCGUGGCAAGGUAGACUAGCAAACAUGCCCAACCUUUACUCACAUUCGAGAAAACACUCCCAAUAAGAUUGCUUGCUCCAAAAUCGAAGAGGCACCGUCCUCCGAAUCUCGAGAGCCAGACUCCCAACAUGAAUACUUUCAAAAAAAUCGAAGAGAGGGUAAAGGAACAGUACCAUUGCUGGAUAAUUGGAAAGUCCCUGUGUGUCAACCUCUGUGCUUCGUGGCAAGGUAGACUAGCAAACAUGCCCAACCUUUACUCACAUUCGAGAAAACACUCCCAACAAAGAUUGCUUGCUCCAAAAUCGAAGAGGCACCGCCCUCCGAAUCUCGAGAGCCAGACUCCCAACAUGAUUACUUUCUCAAAAAUCGAAGAGACACUGCUCCCCGAAUCUUCGAGAGCCAGACCCCCAGCAUGAUUGCUUUCUCAAAAAUCGAUGAGGCAUCGUUCUCCGAAUCAAUCGAAGAGGCGCUCGCUUUCUCAAAAGCUGGGCUGCUCAGAGACCACGAGGGCCGAUCUCAGAGAAAUCGAAGAGGCACCUACUUUUCUAGCCUUGUCAGCACCUGUCACACACGCACACUCAGCUUUGCAGAAAUUAUGGGCAUUCUGUCGAAGACUUCUGGUGAAGUAGAAAGCACAUGAAUCUUACUGUUCAAUCACCCACUUCCCACACGCAACAAUAGCUCAUGGGUACCACAGAUAACUUUGCCAAAGUUCUCUGCCAAAGUUGAGCACGUGAAGCUUGCAGCUCCCACUACAUCGCUCUGACCAAGAAAGGUAAAAGAAUAGCAAAGAAACAGCACUAACAAAGUUUAGACACAUAAAUUUUGAAGGUCUAGCUACCAUAUUAUUAUUACCCACAAGGGUAAAGGAACAGUACCACUGCUGGAUAAUUGGAAAGUCCCCUGUGUGUCAACCUCUGUGCUUCGUGGCAAGGUAGACUAGCAAACAUGCCCAACCUUUACUCACAUUCGAGAAAACACUCCCAACAAGAUUGCUUGCUCCAAAAUCGAAGAGGCACCGUCCUCCGAAUCUCGAGAGCCAGACUCCCAACAUGACUACUUUCUCAAAAUCGAAGAGAGGGUAAAGGAACAGUACCAUUGCUGGAUAAUUGGAAAGUCCCUGUGUGUCAACCUUUGUGCUUCGUGGCAAGGUAGACUAGCAAACAUGCCCAACCUUUACUCACAUUCGAGACAACACUCCCAACAAGAUUGCUUGCUCCAAAAUCGAAGAGGCACCGCCCUCCGAAUCUCGAGAGCCAGACUCCCAACAUGAUUACUUCCUCAAAAAUCGAAGAGACACUGCUCUCCGAAUCUCGAGAGCCAGACCCCCAGCAUGAUUGCUUUCUCAAAAAUCGAAGAGGCAUCGUUCUCCGAAUCUCGAGAGCCAGAUACCACAGACCACUUUUUCAAAGUGCUCUGACAGAGUUAAAACAUGUGAAACUGGCAGCUCCCACUACCGUGCUAUGACCAAGCAGGGUAAAGGAAUAGCAUUACUACUUGUUGUUAGGGAGACUCCUAUAUAUGUCGACCUCCAUCCCCAACGGACAGGCAGACCUGCAAAAAUGCUCAACCCUUCAUCAUAUCUGAGAGGGCACUCCCAACGAAGCCUUUCGAAAUAUUCAGCUUUCUUUCCCCCCGAUAAUACCUCUGCAAACAAGCUAUACUAGAGCAAGAAUAUCUCAUAUCAUCAGGGUUAAAAGCAAGAGUAUCCCAUAUCAUGCUUUUUCCCUGUCUUUUCCUUUUGGCCUUGUUUUUACCUGCAAGACAAGGAGAAAGAGAGCAAUCAGUCAGCACUUGGAAUCAAGCUUCCAGCCAGGAACUGACUGCCUGGAACCCCUUACCUGAUUACUUACCUGGCAUUGCUCUCGAGUACUCAUCUUCAACAUCUUAUGUUUCCAGGGAAGAUUCCGCAUCUGCUUGAGGAACAGAUAGGGCAAGUGCGAAGGAUACAAGGAAGCAUGUGGAGACAAGCGUAACAGCACACGUGCCGAUACAUCCAUUACUCUGUCAAAAGCAAAAGUAUCCCAUAUCAGCAGGGUGGAACGUACUCUAGAUUUGAUGGACUUGUUUUGACCCUCAAAUUCUUCAGUCGGCCUUAUACUCUGGAGGAAACCAGAAAACCCUCCAGCUCAGUUCAAGAAUAAGCCUGUGGAAAGUUACUUCUUCAAAAGCAAAAGUAUCUCAUAUCAUCUCUUCUCAUUUUUUCUUCUCUUUUAUCCUUCAUGCUGUUGCAAGAUGGGGAGAAGGUGAACAAUCAGUCGGAGCUCUGAUUGCUUACCUUGUCUGUCACCUCUUUCAGCAGACCCCCUAGCUCGGCGACUUGGGGGACUCCUACUACAUGGUUUGUAUCGCGCUUGACCAAGCCUGAAACUACAAGUAAGCUUCAAGUGAAAUUGAUACAUUACCUUGUGCAUCUCCACCAGUUAAAGAUACCACCCCUGGAUGGAGGAAGAGUACUUCCAGAGAAUAUGCCACAUCUACCUAUGAGACAGAUAAGGCAAGUCAAGACGACACCACACUCCGAUACUUAGAAGUUUCGUGAUUACGAGAUCAUUCUCCCACAAUAUUUCCUAAUGUCAUUUGUACUAAAUCAUUCACUUGUACUCACUAAAGGAGAGCUUAAACCUAUGUACUUGUGUAAACCCUUCACAAUUAAUGAGAACUCAUCUAUUCCGUGGACGUAGCCAAUCUGGGUGAACCAUGUACAUCUUGUGUUUGCUUUCCUAUCUCUAUCCAUUUAUAUACUUAUCCACACUAAUUACCGGAGCAAUCUAGCGAAGAUCACAAAAAGCGACCGUUUUCGCUACCUAGGAUCUAUCUUGCAAGAGAAUGGAGAAUUAGAUGGAGAUCUCAACCAUAGAAUACGAGCUGGAUGGAUGAAGUGUAAGAAUGCAUCCGGCGUGUUGUGUGACCGUCGUAGGCCACUGAAGCUCAAGGGAAAAUUUUAUAGGACGGCAAUAAGGCCAGCGAUGUUGUAUGACACAGAAUGUUGGGCGGUGAAGCAUCAACACGUACACAAAAUGGGUGUAGCGGAGAUGAGGAUGCUUCGUGGGAUGUGUGGGCACACGAGAAAUGAUAAGAUUGGGAAUGAGGAUAUCCGAGGUAAAGUAGGAGUAGCCGAAAUUGUAGGAAAGAUGAGAGAAAAUCGGCUCCGGUGAUUUGGACAUGUGCAAAGAAGGCCGAAUGACGCUCUGGUUCGAAGAUGUGACUACGGGACAGAGGUUCAGGGCCGAAGGGGUAGAGGAAGACCUAGGAAAACUUUGGAAGAGACUAUAAGAAAAGACUUAAGAGUACUUGGAUCUAACGGAGGACAUGACACAAAACCGAGCGCAAUGGCGUUCUAGGAUUCAUAUAGCCGACCCCACUUAGUGGGAAAAGGCUUUGUUGUUGUUGUUGUUGUAAGCUUAUAAGUAUUGCUGGCCAAAAUGAUGGAAAUGUUAUUUUGGACCUAUUAAACAUCAUCAAAAGGUAGAAAGGUAAAUGCGUUGAAAUCUAAUUGUGUGAAAGCUGAGGCGUAGUUGCCUCUUUUGUCAGACAAGGCAAGGCAUAAGCCUCUCGGACAUGAAAUCUUAUAGGAAGCAAAUAAAUAAUGCAAUACUAAUAAGUUGAAGUGCUAGUGAGUAACUGAAGUAUAAUAAGAAAUCCCAAUAUGACCACAUAUAAGUUAUAACAGUCAUUCAAGCAUAACAACCAAUCACAAAAAUAAAAUACUCAAUUGGUCAUACAAAUAUUCAAAACCCCAAAAGAUAAACUCAGUUCACCACAAUACUUGUGAUGAAUAGAAACUAACAUCACUAUCAUACUGGUCCAACAGACUGAUGUGAUAAGGGACGCAUAGCAGUGACUUGCACUAGAGGAGAGUUUGCAAGAUCACUAUUACUUCCAUUGUUCACAACAUUUACUAUCAUCUGUCAAAGCUGAAGGCACUUGGGCUGAACAUGUUUACCCAUUAAUCUUAACUUAACUAGGUCAUAUAAUUAAACAGAAAUGUUUAAAAACAUGGCCUAUUAAGCAACUCAAAAGAAAGAUGACAGCAAAGAAUGUCACUGAUUGGACCGGGUCAGACUGGUGAUAUCAUAAAUAUAUAACAACAUGAUUCUAUUCUCUAUAUACUAUAUCCAUUCUUCGACAAAUGAAAGAAAUAUCCUAUAAGGCAGUUUUAAAAGGAAAUACUUUUUAGAAGACGGUCUACUUUGAUUAGUAAAUUGAAAAUUAGUAAGAUAGUUCCAUGGGAACACAGCACAAGUACAAAUGCAGUGUACAUAGUACAGAUUACAAACAAAAGCUUAACAUGAGUAUAACAAAGAUGUGAUAAAACAAUUACCCUCAAUUCAUUAUAUGCUGCAUAAUACUGGGGAAAUCUUCCCCUUGGUCCCCCAAAAGCUUCUUGCCAUGUAUCUAUCAAAAUAGUAUCUUUUCCCUAACAUUCAAGUCUGGCUGCAUAAUGGAAUUAGAAUAACAAAGCAGAAAGAAAGUUAGUAUCCUAUUCAUGCACAAACUGGAAAGAAAAAAGGAAGCAACAAGUUAGUGAAAACAGAAAACAAAAGGUUGGGAGAGAAAUGCAGCACCUUCUUCUUUACUAUUUUGACCAUUUCAUGCAAGAUAUCACGCUCAACGAUCUGCUGAAAAACAUUCUCACCACAGUUCUUGCUCACAGUCUCCAAUGCCUGCAUCGAAUAAUAAAUUAGGAGAAGGAAAAAGACACCAUUGCUCAGAAAUGGCUUGUUUUGUGCUGAUGAUAGGCUAAUGCAAGGCAAUCAUUGAACCACAACAGGUCCAUCAUAAAUCACAAAUUUAUUGACAUUUUCACAUGUAUACAUAUUUUGGGAUGGGAAGGGUACCACAAGCUUUACAUCAUGAAUUUAAAAUUUUAAAAGAAAGAUGCAAAAACAUGACAAGAAAUAACACAAAAAAUACUGAAAGUCUCACAAAGAAAAGGAAUAGUACUAACAAAAAGAGCCAGGAGUUGUAUUUUUGGAUUUUUGCUGCCCAGGCGCUUCGUAUCUUCAAGGCCUCUUUUGCUUGCCUGAAAGUUCAAACCAGUUCAUUGGCAAAACAAAGCAUUCCGAAUAUUUAAAUUAGGAAAGAGAUUCUAUGGGAAAAAUAAUCCACAACAAUAGAAAAUAAAGAGGAUAGUCUUCUGCAGAGUUUAAGAGCUAAGAAAUGUCCAACAUAUAAAAGAAAGCCCGAUACACCAAGAUGCUCAUGGAAUCUAUUUGAAAAAUAAAUUACUCCUUCUACGAAGUUUCCAGUUCAUCCCAAAUCAAUGUAGCGAAAGCAUUCUACUACCCUGUCAAUUUUUUAAAGUGUUACUUUUCAGGAGGACAUGAUUUCCUUAUGAGAUGAGCCACAUCUCCCUUUCAGGAGGAGAUCUCCUCUUCUACCAGGAGCCAAGUAUUAAACUUCGUGUGUAUGUGCGUGCACAUGUAUAUAUGAAUACAUAAUAAGCUCUGAGCACUUUAAAGUUUCAACCAACGACUACGAUAUCAAUAUUUCAGAAAAGAUUCAACGUACUCAACAAUUUAAGAAAUGCGAACUCUAAACGGGUGGAUAUACCUAUAUAUAAUAUUCAAUCUAAAAAAUGAAAUUGAGGGAAAACAAAGUAAUCAUACCCAGGGUCAAUAUUGAUAAUAUCACAUAAUUUGCCCAGUCUGGGCCAAUCAACAUAUCACUUGUUGCCCUCUCUGCACAGGCCGCACCAUUACCAGCCAUGUCGUAAUCCCCUUCACGCAAGUCUUUUUCCUUAAAACUUCCUAAAUCAGAAGCCAAAAACAAGUUCAACUACGCGCAAUUCAACAUUUGUGAUGUAAAAGAACUUAAUAAAUGCUAGAAACGGAAGAUCAUAAGACACCUGUAUCACUAAUUAGCUCGAUGUCAGUAAUCUUGUUCAAUUCCAAAAGUUCCACAAAUUAUUUCUUACCCACCAAGACAAAACCUAUGAAAAUCCCAAUUUAAUUACGAUAAUUGAAAACAGCGGAACUAUACAAAAUUGAUCCAGAAAAUAUUAAAAACCCGAAAUCGCAAACAAAUAGGGUCUAUAAACAAAUUCAACUAUCUGCUCAUCCCCAUCACAAAUACGUAUCCCAAAUCAAAAUAACAAACAAUCAGAUCGUCAACAAUGUACGCUUAACACCAAUACAAGUCCCACAUCAAGAAACCCACAAAAAUUUGUGCCCAUAAAACACAGACAAGCAAACCCAAUUGGAUAUUAGUACUAAAAUUGAAAAUCAAAAUUCGAAUUAGCAAGAUAAUGGUCCUGUGCUUAAAGUUAAACCCAGUUGACAAAACGAUCAGAGAAUAAGGGAAAGGAAUGAGAGAUUUAUGCGACCAAACCAUUGCUGAAUGUUUACUUGCUUGAUGCUGCGUGGUUAGGCUUAGUCGACCUCACUCCAUCUUCAUUGCUUUGCUACUUGAAAUGAGGGAUUCCAAACAUAUUGGCGAAGCCGGCCAAUGUACCCUUCAAUCUGUUGGAAAUUCAAAUUAAAAGUCAUGUGAUGUCUAACUAUCUGUCCAUGUGAUGCUAGCUUUUCUUUCCAUGUUGUAUCCCGCAAAUAUAAACAUCAUUACUCCUCCAUCUGUUAACCGAAAGCUGAUUUAAAGACAGCAUAGAUGUGGGCUGCUGUGUGCUAGCCGAAAGGUUGUGUUUGCAAGCUGGAAGGAUGCAAUGCAUGUGUGUGCCAACUAUCCAAAGUUGCUGCAUGUGUUUGAAAGGGUGGAAGGAUGGUAAACACCAUCAUUCAUUACAUGUUGUUGUAUUGUUUAUCAAUUUCUGUUUUGUAUAAAUAGGCCUUCUUGCUAGGCUUUAGAACAUCAAUUCCAUUCCAAUUCCUUUCUCAUUUUCAGCUUGUAAGCUAUUGGUUUUGUAAACUCUCUUUUCAUAUAUCAAAGUCCAAGUGUUUUGCCGAAGCUUGUCCCUCCUUUCUCUAUUUCUUUGUCCAAUUUUAUUGAGAGUGCAAAGUGAGAGGUGUGAUAGAGUUUGUAAACUUAUCAUCCACAUAUUUUGGUAUUGAGUUAGUAAACUUUUCAAUACCAACAAUUGGUAUCAGAGCCAGAAUACCAUUCUGGCAAGUGCAGCAGUUAUGGCAUCCAACUUAGUGCAGCUCCAAGUUCCCACAUUGAAGAAAGAAAAUUAUGAAAGAUGGUGCAUCCAAUUCAAAGCAUUGUUUGGAUCACAAGAGCUAUGGGAAGUUGUCAGUAGUGGGUAUGUUGUACCCACUACCGAGCAAGAAGCCACAUAUACUGCAGAUCAAAGGAACACUCUCAAGGAUUUACGAAAGAAGGACCAGAAGGCGUUGUAUCUUCUCUAUCAAGGAUUAGAAGAUUCAACGUUCGAGAAGGUUGCAGAAGUAACAACGAGCAAGCAAGUAUGGGACACACUCAAUACAAUCUACAAAGGAGUAGAUCGAGUCAAGAAAGUGAGGUUACAGUCACUUCGAGUAGAUUUUGAAACUGCUCACACGAAUGAAGGGGAGAGCAUCUCCGACUAUCACUCAAGGCUCAUUGUGAUGGUAAAUCAGAUGAGGAGAAAUGGCGAGAGACUCGAUGAAGUACGAGUUGUGGAGAAGAUACUCCGGUCACUUACAUCUAAGUUUGAGCAAGUGGUGACUGCCAUUGAGGAAUCUAAGGAUUUGGAGGCGAUGAGCGCAGAUGAGCUACUAGGAUCCCUCCUAGUUCACGAGCAACGCAUUCAGAAGAAUGCAAGCCCCACAACACUAGAGCAAGCUUUGGAGUCAAAAUUGAAAAUUGACAAACCAAAUAAAGGUCGUGGGCAGUGGAACUCACGUCGUGGGAGUUCAUCCAACCGUAGCCGAGGACGAGCCCGAGGAAGAGGUCGAGGCUAUGAACAAAACCGAGGUCAAUCUCAAGAGUGGAGAUAUACCCAAGGAAAGGCGUAUAUCCAAUGUCACACUUGCAAGCAAUAUGGACAUUAUGCAAAUGAAUGUUCAUAUAAAAAUGGUGAGCAUGUCAACAUGGCAGAAUCAAAUGGAAAUGCUGGUGAGGAAUUUACAGUCUUACUAGCACACCAUGAUAUCAGUAGCCAACAAGAUGUUUGGUAUUUAGACUCUGGUGCAAGCAACCACAUGUGUGGAAAGAAAGAGUUUUUUGCAGAACUCAAAGAUGGGCCUUAUGGAUCUGUGAGUCUUGGUGACUCUUCAAGGUUACCAGUUGAAGGCAAAGGAAAGAUCAAAAUCAUCCAGAAGGAUGGUAAAGAAGAAUACAUCUUCGAUACCUACUACAUACCAGGUAUGAAGAGUAACAUUCUGAGCAUUGGUCAACUGCUCCAGAAAAGGGUAUGUUAUACAUAUGGAGGAUAUGUUUCUCACUCUCAGGAAUGCAAGGAGAAAGCUUAUUACAUGUGUUCAAAUGUAAAAAAACCGAAUGUUCCCGUUGAAGUUGAACACAAAGAUUGGGAGUUGCAACAUCGAUGUAAUGGAAGAUGAGUCAUGGAAAUGGCAUCUUCGAUUUGGCCAUCUUCAUUUCAAUGGCCUAAAGUUGUUGUCAAGUGGAGGAAUGGUUCGUGGUCUACCCCAGAUUGAAGCCACAUACAAAGUAUGUGAAGGUUGUGUGCUUGGCAAGCAAGCACGACUAUCAUUCCCUGUUGGUGAUACAUGGAGAGCAAAGGCACCACUGCAGAUGGUACACACGGAUAUAUGUGGUCCAUUGGAUCCUAUGUCUUAUGGAGGUAAUAGGUAUUUUAUUACUUUCAUUGAUGAUUUUAAUAGGAAGACUUGGGUUUAUUUUCUCAAGGAGAAAUCGGCUGCCCUAAGAAUCUUCAAGGAGUUCAAGGCACUCACAGAGGCUGAAAGCAACCACAAGCUUGUGGCUGUGAGAUCAGAUAGAGGUGGAGAGUACACCUCUAAUGCUUUCCAAGCAUACUGCAAGGAGCAAGGAAUUAGGCAUCAACUGACUGAUGCCUAUACCCCACAGCAAAAUGGGAUAGCCGAAAGAAAGAAUCGAACCAUCCUUGACAUGACAAGGUCCAUGCUUAAGGAGAAGAAUUUACCAAAAGAAUUGUGGGCAGAAGUUGUAGCUUGUUCGAUUUAUUUGUUGAAUCGAUGUCCAACAAAGAGUGUCAAAAGGAUGACACCACAAGAGGCUUGGAGUGGAUACAAGCCGAGUGUUGCACACCUAAGAGUUUUUGGUGUGUUGCAUAUGCUCAAGUUCCAGAAGCCAAGAGGAGAAAGCUCGAUGAUCGAGGUGAGAAGUGUGUGUUUGUGGGCUAUAGUGAAGAGUCCAAUGCAUACAAGCUCUACAAGCCACUAACUGGCAAACUAGUGGUUAGUAGAGAUGUCAUCUUCAGUGAGGAAGAGGCAUGGAAGUGGAACAACAAAGAAGUCAGUAAAGAGAAGAUCGUCUCCACUGAUUUUGAAGAACCAGAAGUUGUACCACCUGUUGAGCAAUAGCUUGCUUAAACAAUCACAACAACUCCAGUGCACAGAAUUGCAAGGAGUGGUCCUACAUCUAGUGAAGAAAGCAGCUCCUCAACUCCAGUGAGGCUAAGAAGUCUUACCGAGAUAUAUGGACAAGAAGAAGAAGAAGAAACCAACCUUUUCUGCUUGUAUGCAGACCACGAGCCUCUCUUAUUCAAUGAAGCUGUGGAAGAAGAUCGUUGGAGAAUAGCCAUGGAGGAAGAAAUCCAUGCCAUCGAGAAGAAUGACACUUGGGAGUUGACAAAGCUCCCACCAAAUCAGAAGGCUAUUGGUAUCAAGUGGGUGUACAAGAUCAAACGCACUGCAGAUGGGAGUGUGGAUCGAUACAAAUCAAGGCUUGUAGCAAAAGGCUACAAAAAAAAGUACGGAGUGGACUAUGAUGAAGUCUAUGCUCCAGUUGCAAGACUUGACAAGGUAAGAUUGCUAAUCUCUCUUGCCGCUCAUCAUAAAUGGAAAAUUUAUCAACUAGAUGUCAAGUCAGCCUUCCUUAAUAGAGUUCUUGAGGAAGAAGUGUACGUGGAACAACCAGAAGGCUUUCAAGUACAAGGAAAAGAAGAUAAGGUGUAUCGUUUGAAGAAGGCGUUGUAUGGCCUCAAGCAAGCACCACGAGCUUGGAACUCAAGGAUUGACAACUACCUUCACCAAAAUGGAUUUCAGAAAUGUCCAUACGAGCAUUCAGUUUACAUGAAGAAUGGUGCAAAAGGGGAGUUCUUAAUUAUUUGUCUCUAUGUAGAUGACUUGUUGUUUACAGGAAACAAUGAAGCAAUAUUUUGUGAGUUCAAGCAAUCCAUAUUCAGUGAAUUCGAGAUGACUGACAAUGGAUUAAUGUCAUACUUUCUUGGCAUAGAGGUGAAGCAAGAAAGUGACGGUAUCUACAUCUCUCAACAAAAGUACAUGAGAGAUAUAUUGGAGAAAUUCAAUAUGGAUAAGUGCAAUAUUGUCAACACUCCAGUUGCAACUGGAUUGAAGCUGUCUAAGGAAGGAGAAUGUGAGUUUGUAAACUCAACCGUGUACAAAAGCUUGGUUGGAAGCCUAAGGUACCUUACAAUCACAAGACCUGAUAUAGUUUAUGGUGUUGGACUCGUGAGUCGAUACAUGGAAACACCAAGGGAGUCUCAUUGGCUGGCUGCCAAGAGAAUUUUGAGGUACAUAAGAGGUACUCUAAACUAUGGUUUAUUUUAUAAUUUUGGUGAAGAUGCAAAAUUAUUUGGUUAUUCAGAUAGUGAUUGGGGAAGUGACAAAGAUGAAAGGAAAAGCACAACUGGCUAUGUGUUUUUUCUAGGAUCAACAACUUUCUCAUGGACUUCAAAGAAGCAAUCAAUUGUUGCUUUGUCAUCAUGUGAAGCUGAGUAUGUUGAUGUAGCCUCAACAGUGUGUGAGGCAAUUUGGUUAAGAAAUCUAUUGAAGUCAGUGUGUCAUCCACAAGUGGAAUCGACUGUGAUUCAUGUGGAUAACAUGUCUGCAAUCAAGCUUGCAAAGAAUCCUGUUCAACAUGGAAGGAGCAAACACAUUGAUACCAGGUUCCAUUUUCUAAGGGACCAUGUGAAGCAAAAGACAAUUGAGCUUGUCUAUUGUCACACGAAGGAACAAGUGGCAGACAUCUUCACUAAGCCACUACCAGUUGAAUCAUUCCGACUACUACGUGAAAUGCUAGGCAUGAAGGCGUUUUAAUUUGAGGGGGCAUGUUGGAAAUUCAAAUUAAAAGCCAUGUGAUGUCUAAUAACUGUCCAUGUGAUGCUAGCUUUUCUUUCCAUGUUGUAUCCAACAAAUAUAAACAUCAUUGCUCCUCCAUCUGUUAACCGAAAGCUGAUUUAAAGACACCAGAGAUGUGGGCUGCUGUGUGCUAGCCGAAAGGUUGUGUUUGCAAGCUAGAAGGAUGCAAUGCAUGUGUGUGCCAACUAUCCAAAGUUGCUGCAUGUGUUUGAAAGGGUGGAAAGAUGGUAAACACCAUCAUUCAUUACAUGUUGUUGUAUUGUUUAUCAAUUUCUGUUUUGUAUAAAUAGGCCUUCUUGCUAGGCUUUAGAACAUCAAUUCCAUUCCAAUUCCCUUCUCAUUUUCAGCUUGUAAGCUAUUGGUUUUGUAAACUCUCUUUUCAUAUAUCAAAGUCCAAGUGUUUUGCCGAAGCCUGUCCCUCCUUUCUCUAUUUCUUUGUCCAAUUUUAUUGAGAGUGCAAAGUGAGAGGUGUGAUAGAGUUUGUAAACUUAUCACCUACAUGUUUUGGUAUUGAGUUAGUAAACUUUUCAAUACCAACACAAUCUACCACAUCGCUAAUGGAUUGGGUCGCUAUUUUAUCCAACUCUUCCACAUCGCCCUCGUACACCAAACGAGUGCCGCAACUCUUCACCAAGCAGGGGCCUGAGCUUUUGAAAUGAAAAAUUAACUGACUGAAACUGUUUUGCCACUCUGUACCAAAGCUUAUACCACGAGACACAUAGAUCAGCCAAAUAUGAUCUGACACGGGCUGGACAUCCAAAGAUAGGAGAGGCGCAGGGUACUCUUCCUUUCCAUUGACUUCCAAAACACCAGAGAGCUCCCAUCCGCUCCCAUAAACUUCAAAUACAGCGCACAGAGCAUAUCCCAUCCACUUGUUAUCACGCCAUUGCCGAGUUAGGUCAACGCUUACUUCUGAUCCCAUACUUUGACGAGUGAACCACCUAGGAAUUUCCUUUCCAGGCAUGACAAUUUCACAUCUAUCUCCUGCAUAAGGGACUCCCUGUACAGGUGAAACAGUGAUGUUAAGCAAUGAGAGAGAGAGAGAGAGAGAGAGAGAGAGAGAGAGAGAGAGAGAGAGCGAGAGAGCACCUUAAGAUAUCUUUGGAGCAUAGUAAAUGUAAUAUGAUUGUAGCUUUCUUUCUCAAGCAUUCCAAAGCAAUUGAUGAGAUUGAAGCAUGACGAAUUCAAUCUGUCCAAAUUUGAGGGACAUUCCAGCAUUUCCAGUUUAGUACAAUCAUCUGCAGUUACUUGUAGUAAACCUACAUCUGAUGAAAGAACUGGAAGGUGUUGAAGCUUCCUGCAACGACUCAAGCAUAAAUUCUCAAGUUUAGAGAGUUGGCUAAUGCUUGUAGGAAGAUUAACAAAAUUGUUUCCACUUAAGUUCAAUGAUACCAAAGAUGAUAAGCAGCCAAUAUCAUUGGGGAUUGCUCCUUCACAAAGAUUGUGACCACUUAAGUCUAAUUCCAUUAAAGAACAAAGGCCUGAUAGAGGAGGCAAGAACAAACUGAUGGGAUGAUGACGGCUCCCUGGCAUUAAUCUUAAAAGGAGCGAGAUAAGCCAUGGUCGUUGUGAUGGCCCUUCCAUUCCAUGAAAAAUCAAUGCUUUAAGGUUUUUCAGAAGGGCAAUGGAAGAUGGACAUUCCUUUAUAGCAGUUCCACUUAAAUUAAUCUUCUCCACAAACUCUAAUUUCCCGAGGCUUUCUGGCAAUUUGGCAAGAUUUGAGCAUCCAGAAUCAUCAAGAAUUUUAAUAGCCCUCAAAUUUCCAAUGGCACUAGGAAGACAUUUCAGAUUUUUGCAAUCUCUCAAGUCCAACAAAGAAAGGCUGGUUAGAUGUUCAAGUGGUGAAGGUAUACAUUCAAUACCAGUCCCAUCUAAAGAAAGCUUCCGUAAAUGCUCCAUAGGUUCCACAAAAUUUGGAAUCUUUUUAACGCUUGAGCAGCCAGAAAGAACAAGAACUUCUAGGUGCUCCAUCUCAAUCUCAUCCGGAAGAAGCUUGAGACUUUUGCAAUAUUUAAGAGUCAAGAAAGUAAGCUUUUUGAGAGUUCCUAUGGAAGAGUGAAUCUCAUCUAAACUUUCGCAUCCUUCAAAGUCUAAUCUCUCAAGAUUCUGAAUCCCUUCAAAAUCAGGGGUUCUAGUCAAACUUUUGGAAUGACUAACUUUAAUGAUUUUCAACUUGUCAAAAUUCUGUAAUGUUUACAAGAAAUGUAGAAUAAUUAGAUCCAGAAAACUCAAAUAAGGUAAUGAAAUAUAUACUUUAACAAAUAAGGUAAAUAAUAUUGUAGAUGUAAGUGCUUACCUUUUUUCCGUUCCAGAGCUGUUCAAUUCUACUAUGACACAUGAUCAGUUCAACAAGCUCAUCCGGGUCGAAUCCUGAUGGGAGAUAUUGUAGAGGAUAACCUCUCCAUUCAAGAAAUCUCAAGGAAUUAGGGAGACGGUUGAGGCCUUCAGGAAGGCGCAUGUUGUGGACUUUGAGCAAUCUAAGAUUAACCAUCUGAGAAAAAGCUUCAGGAGGGCAUUCCACCUCUUUUGUUUCCAGCAAGUCUAGGACAAUGCCUUCAACUGUUGGUGUCCCCUGAUAACCAAGAAUAAAAAAACAAGUGAAUUGCAGUAUAAUAUGCACAUUAUAAAAGUAAAGGAAGAUGAGUAAAACAAACUGUUUUUUUUUUUUUUACGUGCCUCUUAAUCGUUAGAUUAAUUUACAUUUGACGUAUUAGGUAAGCUCUUACCGUUUUUUCCUUCAAAACAUGAAAGAUGUCCUUACAAUUGUUUGACCCUUUUUUUGUAACAAAUCAUGCAUCCGCACCCUGUUAUCUGAAAUUGUUGUCAGAGACUUCUCCAUAAGGACAUCUAUGUCAAUACCUGGAUUAAAACCACAACUAUCAAGUAUUUCAAAUACUCGAUCUUUGUCCUCCCCUUUAAAGAAACAUGCGAUGUCAAGGAAAAUCUCUCUCCCUUGCGGAUCUAAUCCCUCGUAACCUGUUAUAAGAAUCUUCAUAAUUUUUUCAUCCAAUGUGAAAUCACCCUCUAGUUUACGCAAUUGACUGCUCCGUGCAUCUAGAUCUCUUCCAUACAAAAAAGACCCCAAGACUUCAAGAGCUAAUGGAAGGCCACUGGCAUAGUCCACAAAACUGUACGACAGAGCCUUAUAACUUUCAGGUGGAUUCUCUCUAGGGAAGGCUCUCAAGUUAAAAAGUUUAAGAGCAUCAACUUUACCCAGCUCCGGCACCUUAAAUUGUUUUUCUACACCAUGUGAAAUUAGCAAGCGUUCAUCUCUAGUCGUAAUAAUGAUUCUACUCCCCUGACCAAACCAAGCUGGUUUUUCACAUAGCUCUCUUAACUGGAUACUAUCGUCCACGUCAUCAAGAAUGAUGAGAACCUUUUCUGAAGUAAGAAACUUCUCCAUCUGGCAGCUUCACCGGCAGCCCAGUCUUGUAUAUUUCUUUUCAUAAGGCUAUUGGAAAGCUUCCUCUGUACACAGGCCAUACCGUGUGCCUUAGAAUCCUCUCUAACUCCGUCAUGAAAGCUUUCGGCUUGAAAUUUAUGACGAAUCCUCUCAUAACAUGCUUUGGCAAGGGUUGUCUUACCUAUCCCACCCAUCCCCCAUAUUCCUAUAAAGAGAACAUCAUUUGACUCUAGUUCUAAAAGCACAUCAAGUUCCUUCAGUUUCGAUUCAAUGUCAACUAGCUUUUCUGCAGGUUCCAAUGAUAAAGGUCCUACUUUAUUCCGUACAUUUUCAAUAAUUUGUUCGAUGACAUCUGGUUCUCUACAAGAAAAAUAGACAAUGUCAAGAUAUGACCUAAUACACAAGGAAAUAAAAGAGCCACAGACUAUUUUUGUUUUCGUCCACCUGAAGUCAUAGUACCAAGUGGUCUCUGCGUCCAUCUAUAAGAGGGUGGUUUGGUAUUGGACAAAAUUAGAGACGGUUUAGGAAAAGGGGAGGACAAAAAAGCGUAGCAGUAUUGGAUUUCAAACAUAUGACUUCUUAACUGGAUCAAUUUUUUCCCCUUAGACUCUCAAAUGGACCAAAUAAUGGUAAAAAGAAAGGCUCUCUAGGAUGGAACUGUAGGCAUAAACACAGUCUACAAAGCCUCAAUGUUUAGUCAUUAAGUUGUAUUGGGAUUAAGCGGUUAUGAAGCACCUUCAUUACUGUGCAAAAAGUAAAUGAUAUGAAUUCUUCGAUUUUCCUAUAAGUUAUUGUAUCAGGCUUUAGAAGAAUUGAAUUAUAAAAAAAAUAGCAAGAAUGAAGGGUCAAGUGCUGAUUGCUAAAGCUUUUGAAUUGAGUGAAAGAGAAAAACAAGUAAUGCCAACCUAUUCUUUGAAGUAGACCCUUUGAUUUUUGCCACUUUUUGUAAGGCAUCUUUCCAUUGUUCCAAAAUCACUUCGGCAUUCUCACUCUUUGUCAUUCUUACACUUUUGUUCGAGUUCAGUGAAGCCUUUCCCAAAACUCCCAGACCUAUCUCCAACAUCGCAGGGUUCCACCUGGUAGAAAACUGGUAUAAUUGCCCCUCUCUCUUCCAUGCAUUCAAGAAUCUUUACGAGUUCGUUCAGGCACCAUUUUGAAGAAGCGUAGUUUGGAGAGAUGACCAUGAUGGCAAGCCUCGACUUUUCAAUUGCCGGGAAGAUUUCAGAAACUUUUCUUCCUAUUUCAAGAUCAUUGUCAUCAAAGAAAGUUCUUGUAAUUCCUUGUUCUUCCAAUUCCUUAAGUAGAUGGGCGGUAAAACCUAAGCGCGUGUCGUCGCCCCUAAAACUCAAAAAGACAUCAUACUGCCAUUCAAGAGCUGAAGGAAGAGAUGAAGCGGCUCGUUGGGUGCUCGAUGCCAUUGAAUACAAGCUAACUGGAAUGGUGGUAUUAGUUUUCCAAGCAAAAACAUGACCAGAAAAAUAAUUCAGCAUUCAAAAUAUUGUAUUAGCCAAUAACAUGAACAGAAAUAACCAUGAAUCAGAAAGAUGAGCAAUAACCUGUGUGUAUGUAAGAAAAUGAAGUCACAGAUCAAGUCAGAUCAAGUCAGAGGGGGCAUGAGAGGGGCUACAAGUCUGUCUGUAUGUCGUCAAGUCCAAUCAAUGCUUAGGUACACCAAGUUGCCUAGUGGCCGUCGUCGUCUAACGAAACUUCACCGCGGAGGCUUGAUGGACGUGAUUCAACUGCUGCUUCUAUCCGACGGUCAAACCGCGUAAGCUCUAUUUUCCCACUUUUUAUUUUAUUCGUUUGGUGAUUCAACUGCUCCAUUAUUUUAUUUUUGUGUAGCUCCAUUAUUAUUUUUUAUACUAAUGCAGAGCACACCACAGUUGAAUGUUUCUAACAAACACAAAAUUUAAUUGCAUGCACUUCUUUUCUUCCAGAAACACAAAAUUUAAUUUUCUUUAAGUUGACCCAGUGCGUUUACUUAGACAAUCACCUGUGCACUAGUUGGGAAAAUUCAUCCUCGGACUCAUCGUCCUCAUGGUUCACAUUCACAAGUGGCACAUAAAAAUCAGGUGUUGAAAUUAGAGAUAAAAUGUAGAAGAUACUGUCGGCAAAAGCAAAUAAUUUUUGUUUUGUUUUUUUUUAUUUUUUUGUUUUUGUUUUGUUUUUAAUAUAACCUAAGAAAUAAACUGCAGCUAGAAAUUGAAAGUAAUGAAAUAAAAAUGAAAGAAAGUAAAGAAAAAGUUACUUUAAGUCUGUAGCUAGACGUCGCAGAAGCCCGGUGGCUAGAUCACUGGUUCCUUCAGAGUCAAAGACUCGCUUGUACCAAACUUCUUUGGGAAUGACUUUAGUAGAGACUUCUUGACCUUGAGCACACAACCCCUGCCCUCUAGUUCAAUGUCCACAUUACUGUUUUGAAAAACUUGCUUAACCAUAUAAGGUCCCUUCCACCGAGACUCUUGUCUCCCUGGAAUUAACUUGAAACUGGAAUUUAACAACCACAUCUUUCUACCAGGCUGUAUUUUUGCAACUUUUUAUUCUUUCCCUUGAUAUUUGGAUGUUUUUGGUCAAUCUGGUGGCCUAGAUAGUUGUCAAACAAAGUUGGUUCUGCUUUUGAUUUUUACACUUCAACCGCCCGAACUUUUUGCUGUUGCACUUUACUAUCACACUCACGAAUCACAUCUUGAGUCUUUAUGAGCAGAUGGUUAGUUAAUGAUCUGGUCAUAAAUUUGGCCUUAGGUAAACCAUCUAAUGCAUCAACACGCAUGCAUUCUUUCUUGUCACUUGGAUGUGUGAUGACUUCAAACAAAUUGAAAACAACUGUUUGAUCUUCAACCCGUAGUGUUAAUGUUCCUGCUUCAACAUCAAUAAGAGUUCGGGCUGUUGCCAUGAAGGGUCGUCUCAAAAUGAUGGGUGUUGUCAAAUCUUCAUCCAUGUCCAACACCAUAAAAUCAGCUGAUAAAUAUAAAUUGUCAACCUUAACAAUAACAUCUUCGAUGAUUCCUCUAGGAUAGGUAAUUGAACGGUCAGCCAAUUGAAUAAUGUUGGAGGUUGGCUUCAGCUUGCUUUCACCUAAACGUUUAAAAACAGAAUAAGGCAUUAAGUUUACACUAGCACCUAAAUCAAUUAACGCACUUUAAAAAUCAAAAUUGCCAAUAGUACAGGGAAUAGUAAAACUCCCUGGAUCUUUCUUCUUUGGAGGCAAUUUGUGUAGUAGAACUGCACUGCAUUGUUCUGUGAGCACAAUUUUCUCUGUUUCCACGAGCUUUUUCUUCUUAGUGCAAACAUCUUUCAAAUAUUUAGCAUAAGAAGGAAUCUUGUUAAUCGCUUCCCACAAUGGUAAAUUAUUUGAACUUUAGCCAAUGUCUGUAUGAAGUCUUUUAACUGCUGAUCCUUAGCCUUUGGUAUUAACCGUUCUGGAUAUGGUACUGGAGGAUUAUAAACACGCUCAGAAACCUGUUUUGGGACAGUUUCUGCACUGGUCAGAUUCUGUUUUGAUGCAGAAUUGGCAGGUUCUACCCUUGUUUUUGCAGAUUCUGUAGAAAUUUUCACUGCUGGCAGAUUCUGUUCAGUGCCAUUUUCACGGUUGUCAUAACUUUUACCACACCUUAAAGUCCGUAUUGCACAACAAUCCUCUGUACCUCUUGGAUUAUACAUCAUUUGACUAGGAAACCUUCCUUUUUCUCUGUCUGAAAUCUGUGCAGCUAGCUGCCCAAAUUGUAACUCUAAACUUUUAAUUGAUGCCUCAAUAUUCUGAAAUCUUUGAUUGCUGCCUUCCAUGAAUGUUUGUGUUGUUGCUGCCAGUUUAGUCAUUUGAUCCUCCAAUGAUGGUUUGGAUGGUACAAAAGGUUUUUGUGCUUGUUGGAAUGGUCUUGCAUUAUUUUGAUUGUCACCCCAUUUGAAAUUAUGAUGAUCAUUCCAUCCUGGAUUGUAAUGAGUUGCAUAUGCAUCAUUCCUAGGCCUUUGAUAACUGUUCAUCAUAUUAACAUGUUGCUCGACAAGCUCUGGGUAAGAUUCUUUAUGUGGACAGCCCAAUAUGUCGUGUGUAGCCAUGCUGCAGAUAGUGUAGAUUGUUGAUGUAGGUUGCUGCUGCUGUGUAGAAUUUGCUAUCUGUUGUAAAAUAAUGUCAAACUUUGCAUCAAUUUUUUUCUCCAUUUUUUCCAUUUGUGCAGACAUAUUAGAGGAACCUGCUGAUAACUCAAAAAUGCCCCUUUUUUGUGAAUGUUCUGCUGCCCACUCUUGAGAUUCUGUAGCCAUUGUAUCAAAUAAUUCAAAUGCUUCUCUUGCAGAUUUAUUUGACAAUGAACCCCCAUCUGAUGCAUUAACAUGACUUUUAGAUGUAGGAUUAAGCCCAUCAAAGAAAAUAUUCAUUUGUUUAUCUGAAUCAAUAUUAGCAUGUGGACACUUUAUAUACAUUUCUGUAUAUCUCUCCCACGCUUCAUGAAAUUCUUCGUUUGGCUUUUGAGUGAAUGUCAUAAUCUCCCGCUUGUAAUUUAAUGUCUUGGAUGCCGGAUAAUAUUUGUUCAGGAAUUUUGUAUGCAAUUGUUGCCAAGUAGUAAUGCUAUUAGCUGGUAAAGUGAACAACCAAGUUUCUGCCUUAUCCUUCAAAGUAAAAGGAAAAAGACGUAACUUAAUAGCCUCGACAGAAAAACCCCUGAUCAAAAUAUUUUUGCAACCCACGAUGAAUUUUGCAACAUGUAAAUUCGCAUACUCGUUAGGCAGCCCACAAAAAGUAGGUAAAAUUUCAAGCAUAUGGUGCUUGAUCUCAAAUGAAUCACCAUCUUCAUGGGCAGGAUACACAAUACAAUUAGGAACAUCAUUGACUCAGGCAGCCAAUGACUCUCUGAGUGGCCUGCCUGCAGCAGGCAAUUGCAACGCCAUUGUGAUUUUACUGCCUACAAAACCAGCAAACAAUUCCUGCAGGAAUGUGCCUUGCACUGCACAGUCCCAAACCAAAUUAUUUUCUCUCCCCUGUCUAUGCAGUGUGCGUUCGGGUUCUGGACCAAACUGUGCAAUCUGGGCAGUUCCUGAUCUAGUUUGGACCAUGCAAUUUACAGAAUCUACAAUCACACAAAAGCGUUAAAAUAAUUUGAAUUUUUUGUUGUCUUUUUUUGACGAAAAAUAAUAUAAAAAAAAAUAAUCAGAAAAAGUUUAAACAAAAAUUAUCUAAAAUAGUCCCCGGCAACGGCGCAAAUUUCUUGAUAGGAUUUUUAACGUCUAUGCAAAUAGGGUCAAAAUCACAUGAAAUACUUGCAAGAAUACAAGGAUGUUGUAGUAUAGAUGCUCAUGCACGGUCGUUUUCCUCAAUGAUUAUUUGGAUAAUUUAUGUAGAAACAAUUCCUAAUUAAAUAUUUAGAGUUAAAACUUGAGAAAAGAGAGUUUGAGAGUGGGUAAUAUUAAAAGCGAAUUUUAAGCAAAAACUAAUAUAAUCAAAGAAAAGAGUUUUAAAUACCAAUUUAUAAAGGCACCAGGGUUCCACCAUCACCUAGCAAUUUUAUGUAUUUUUACCAAUUACUUAUAAUUUAGACAUGCCACUUCGAAGGUUAGGUUUUCCUAAUACAUAUUCUCCUCGUGAUAGUCAAGCAAGAACAUAUAUCUAACAUGCAAUCCGUAUGUGAUAUUCAGAUCAAAUAUGAAUAUGCAAGACUCAUUAAGUUUUAUGAAAACCUUUUGAAGAACCAUGCAACCCCUAAGAACGUGAUAUUCGCCUUAGAUGAAAUUACAAUUAUCAAUCACAAGAAGCAAUACUCAAUCCUCCGGUGAUAUUCCGACCGAAUUGCAUCCAAUUACUUGUCUAAACAUCCUAAUAGUGGCCAGUCAUCAAGAUAAUUAGAUAGUUUAAAACAGUGAUCAAUAAUUCAAAGUGUGCAUGCAAUCAAUCAUAAGCAAUUAAAUAAAAAUUACAUAUUCAUGCUAAGGCUCAAGGUUUCGCCCUAGCAAAAGGAAUUAGUUAUGCAUAUUCAUAAUUGAAAUCAUAGAGCUUAUUAUUAAAAAUAAAAGGAAUGAAAGCACCUUAAAGUAGAAAAUCUCCAAGAACCCUAGCCAAGUUCUUUGUCUCUAAAGUUGAAUAAUAAUAAGCGUAGAAAAAAACUAUAGACGGCCAAAGCAAUAUAUUUGCUCAGCCCUUACAAACCCUAAGACAUAGGUUUCUUAUUCCAACUAGGAAACUAAAAAUAAAAUAAAAUAUCUUAGAAAAUAAAACCCUAAUUAAACUAGGAAUCUGCCAAGUACUUGUCCAGCCACGUUUUAGCCUCAGAUCUCCUCCAAAUCCAGCCCAAGAUAGCUUGUUUUAAAUAAGAACGUUCCGAACAGAUCUCCAGAAGGCCACGAAACCAUUCGAGGUCAUCUUGGGCUCCAAAAACGCAAUUUAAGCCCAGAAACGUCAUUUUUCAGCACCGCGCAUCGCUCCUUUAUUUUAUCGCCAAAAAAUAACCGCUUGAUGGAAAAAUCCCAAUUUUUGAUACGAUCAAGCUAAGUGACUCACGAACGUCUUCCAACUGGAAUUACUCCAAAAUUCGUCCAUUUGACCACGUUUUGCUUCAGAGGAAGUCGAAAGUCCUAUAUUGAAAAUACAAUUCAAAGUAUCAAAAUUCUUCUAAAAUAUGAACCAAAAUAUACCAAGAAUAGGGUUAAAUAUAUAAUAUAAAAUUCACUUAUCAAAGCUCCUCAUCUCUGAGAGGAGAGCAACCACAACUGUCACUAUUGCAUCAAAUCUAUGAGUAGAACUCAAAUCCAUAUCAAAUCACUUAUGCAGUCUCAUUCACAAGAAGCCUGACACGCUUUUGGUAUGAACGGCACUGAUCAACAAUCACUUCUUCCUUCAAACCCUGCCAUAGUAUUUCAUUUUGACCAUUUAUGACCGUUAAAUUUGCACAUAUUAAGAGCCCGGAUGGUAAUAUUAUGAUUUUGGUUCAUUUAUUAUAUUUUAGUAAAAGCCAAAGAGGAAUUGUAUGGGAGAAAAGAGGGAGAACAAAAGGGCUCAGAUGGGUGGGCAUGAAAAUGAAUAUGGAACGGUAUUUAAACCAAAAAGCAAAAUCAGUCUCAACUGUUCUAUAUUUCUCCUUAAAGUUUUUACUUCGCCCAUUUCCCUUCAAUCGUCCAUACCUCCUCCCUUCUACAAACACAAGAAAAGUGCAGCCCUUAAAGGUACUAAGUUUCGAGUAAUUAACCACCUAAUUCCGACCCUGCUAAAAGUCCCAACUUAAACUUUUUUUACAAUCACAGUAAUUGACACCCAAUUACUAGCCUCCUCCACCUCUGGAUAACUAGCCUUAUAAAUAAAGUUUUGUUAUCAAUAUUUCUCAUCAAAUAAUUUACAUACAGUGCAUAGUAAAGAAAAGUAUGGACCAUAAAUAUUCUCCACAAUUGACCAUAUACAAGUUUCAGAACUUUCAACUGUGGUAAGAGUCCCAUAUGAAACUUUCACCGCUAGAGAACUCCACACACACAAAAAAAAAACAUAGAAUCAUUGGCCUCUCAACAAAAAUAUUUCUAGAAAAACAUAAAUGAGAAAUUAUCCUUUAAUAAUACCUUUUCGGAAAGAAAUUAAUCAGAAAUCUAAAAUAAGGUAGAAAAUAAUAUUACCUCAGGAUUCUUAGGAUCCAAGGCAUUAAGCAUUUCCAUCAACACAUCUGCAAUUCCACGAGCAUUCUGAAUCUCUAGCAAGCUGAUUAAAGACAGUUCCAAUCAGGAUGGAUCUAUCAUAGUUUCAAUUAAAAGGAUGAUUUUUGCAGCAGAAGAACAACAUUGACACCAUUCAAAUACAAACAUAUAAGACAAUAACAUAUGUUUCAACUCUUCUUCCAGCCUUGAAAUAGAUUUGGAUGACUAAGAACUCCUACUCUCAAGCCUUUGGUGACACGCCCCGAUCCCGAUAUUCCCAAAAUACCAGGAUAAGCACAUGCUGGUUGACACCUGACGAAAGCCAUUUAUUGAAUGCAAAUGUUGAGAAUAAGGAAUAAAUAAGACUUAGAAAUAUAAAAGAAUAAUGAAUAUGCAUUUAAGGAACGCGUUCAGAGAAUACAACUAACUAGAACACUAAAAGAAAUAAUAUAAAAUUCAAAGAAUAAAAGAAUGGGUCCUACACCGAGAGGACUCGAAGAUGCCGAUGCGGAAGUGCCUUGACGUCAGGAUUGUAUGUCUCGAUUCUAAGUCCUGAAGGGGGCGCAAAACAAACAUGAGUGGACCAAGUUGCUAUAUAUAUAUAUAUAAUAAAACAGUUAUCAACAUACUAACCCCCAGGUUUUAUGAAAACACAUAUAUAUCAUGAUAAACAUAUGUUUUCCGAAACCUAGCAUGUCGUGCAAUGUCUCAAAUCAUAACUUGUAUAUAUAAUAAUCACUAGUGAAUUGUCCGAUAACCCCCAGGCCCCAUGCCGACUCCCCGUCUCUGAGCAGACAGUCAAAGGAAAAUACACUUCAAGUCCCAUGCUGGCUCCCCGUCCCUGUGCUAAAUAGGCAGAGGAAACACACUCCAGGCCCUAUGCCAACACCAAACCGUCACCAGGGACGGACCAGAAUCUAUCCCUACGUCCCGUAGCGGAAAUGACCACUAGGUAAGUACAAAAUCAUUGAACAUAUAUAUAUUGAAAAACAACUUCAUAGUAUAAAGUCAUCCAUCAUCUAUACUAUAAAGAGGUGUUCGAAACAUGUUCUAAAUAUUAUAUCGUCAUCCAUCGGAUAUUUAUAAGAACACGGGUUAUAGGAAAAAUAGGAAUAAUUCAACUAGCCUCAAUAAGCAUAUUAUCUCAUAAAACGUUUCAUAAAACGUAGUCAUCAAAUCAUGUUUUUCAUGUAUGCAUUUCUACUAUCAAAACAUGCAUUUUUAGAAGGGGUCCACUCACAGAUACUUAGCCGCCAAAGAGCCACGCAAACUAGCAAACACGGAAACGCCACAAUAAUUGCUCCUAAGCACGUAAAUGGUCCAAUUAAUAAAACUAUACUCAAACGAUUUAAUUUGGGAAAACAGACGUCGAAAACGGAUUCAGAACAUCAAAUUAUCUUAAGAAGGGUCCCGGAUAAAUUUCGUAAACGUCAAUAGAAUAUUCCAAAGAAUAUUCCUUGACGGAAUAUUUUCUGAUGGAAUAUUCCACAAAAAGGUUUGAGCCGGUUAGGGUUUAGGGUUGGAAGGGUUAAAGGGUUUAGGCUUAGACUUUUAGGUGGGUUGGGUUUAGGUUUUUAAACUGAAAGGGUUGCUUUAACAUAUAAGGGCCAAUGGCCUUUAAAACCAAAACAAAUAAAAUAGAAAAUAAAAAGGGCUGGAGGGUUCUAGGCCCAAAGGCCUAAACUAAAAAAGGGUUUGGGGUUUAAAGUGUAUGGGCCCUAAGCCCUCACAGCAAUGGCCCAAAGGCCUUUAAUUAAACAAAAUAAAAUUAAAACAAAAUAAAAAGAGAAAUGGGUUUGGGUUGGGCUCGGCAGGAAAGGCCCGAAGGGCCUAUGUUUGAUGGGUCGCUAGACCCAAGGAAGAAGAAGGCUGGAAUUCGGCCGAAAGGUUCUCUAACUUUAAACGUUCAUAACUUUGUCAAUACUCAACGAAAUCAAGUGAUUCAAAAACAGAAAUCGUAGCCCUCGAAGAGACGAAGAGAAUGGUACCUUGCACGACGUCUAACUCAUCAUGGUUUGGCCGAAAAUUUCCUCGAAAGGGAUGAGUCCCUAGUCGGAAAAUCUAGGGAAAGCUCCCCAAGUUGUUUUCACGUCUAAACCUUCACCAAAUACCAUAUUUUAACAACCUCUAAGCCUUCUAGACUACUAUGAAGGAAGAUCGAAGGGUGUUUUUGACUUACCUUGUCAGAAAUCACGUGCACCGUGACUGUGCACAGUGCCUAGACGAGAGAGAGAUCGCAGGGUGGUGAGGAAGAGAACGAUGAAGGUCAGAUGAUGAAGAUGAUGGUGAAGUUCUCCUGUUGGCUGUGUGUAUGUAUGUAUGGGUGUGUGUGUGAUGAUACUCGGGGAAGGAAGGAGAGAGUGCAGAGAGAGUUGAGAGAAGAAAGAGGGAAAAAGAGAGAAAGAAGAGGAUCACGGGGAGGGAACACAAAUAAAGGGGUUGGGCUCACCAAUUAAGAACUAAAAUUCAUUUUUAAAUAAAAUGGGGGUGGGGUGUAACAUUUGGUACUACUAAAGAACCGUAUAUUUAUUCGUAGAUGAUCAAUUGAAACACCCCACGGAUCAAUUAAUUCAAAUCAUAAUUAAAUACUAAUAGUGGCUUUAAAGAAUGUGUUACAUAUACAGAUGAAAAAGAAGAUUCAACAUCGUUACCAUUCAAAUACAAACAUACAAGACAAUAACAUGUUUUAACUCUUUUUGCAGCCUUGUAAUAGAUUUGGAUGACUAAGAACUCCUACGCUCAAGCCUUUGGUACUACCAAAGAACUGUAGUUUUCUUCCUAGAUGAUCAAUUGAAACACCCCAGAGAUCAAUUAAUUCAAAUCGUAAUUAAAUUCUAAUAGUGGCUUUAAAGAGUAUAGGCGUGUUAUAUAUAUAGAUGAAAAAACAGAAUCAACCUAUCAUAUAUACAGGAUGGCAACUUGUUUGGUGAUAGAUUCAGAACAACAGAGAGAAUUUUUUUUUAAAGAUAAGAUACCUUAAUGGUGUUUGAGUAAUAACACAUACAGACAUUAAAGGUGAAACCUUUUCCAAGCAGAUGCAGACAUACAAAAAGAUAUUAAGCUUAAAGACCUUAAUAUCCAGCUUUGGGUAUUGGCAAGUAUCUGCUAACCUUCCCUUAUACGUAAAAAAUUCUGAUAACCACAAUCAAGGCAACAACAACAAAAACAAAAGCAAAAAUUCCAUGCCUUAAGUAGAAAAAGUUCACUUAUGUUGUAAAACCCAUUCAUAAAGAUUUAGUCAACCAUUAACAAUCAUUCACUGUUGUAUCAACAAAAAAAAAUAGAAGGAAACAAGUUCUUAUGAUUGAAAGAGAUGAUUGUGAAAGGGUUAGGAUAUACCUGCUGCUAUGAAUUAUAGAUUCCAGUGGAUGAGGCUCUCUGUUUUUGAAAAACGUGCGUAUGGUUGAACGGCAACGAUACAUGACAUAGCAAAAAAUUAGAGGGAAAAGGAGUUUGUAUUCAAACACAGUAAAGAGAUUUGUAUUAGAAAUUAGUUUGUAUAAAAGUUAACAAAACAUAACAAAAUUUAAAAAUGGAUAGACAAAUACCUCAGUGUUUGAAUGAAUGGUUGCUGUGUGAAUGAAUGGUUUGAUCUGUAUGCUUGUGUUGGAUCUACAUGCAUAUGAAAAAUUAAAUUAAAAAGUGCAUCACAGAGAAAUGGAAAAACAACCUAGCAACAUAGAGAUAUUCGAAUGAUGUGAAGUGGAAAAGGAACCUGAAGGUGAUUUGGUGAGAAGCAAAUAGUAGGAAAGCAUGAAGAAACACACAAAUGAGCACAGUGCAACCCCUUUAUUUAUAAAGACAGAAAUCUCACACUAACAAUGAACUAAACGGCCUAAACCCACUAAUUAAAAAAUAAUAAACUUAAAAAGGAGUCUAAAUUUUGUUUACUCAUAAACAAAGGAAAAAAAAUUCUGAAAAACACAAAUAUCAAGACAGUGUAGUCCCCUAAUUUACAAAGACUAAGAGCAAACUCUAAUAGUUAACUAAACAAUUUAAAAAUAUCUAUGACAACUUUAAUGAAGGGAAAAUUAGCCAUGACAAUUUAACAGUGUAGCCCCCUAAUUUACAAAGACUAAGAGCAAACUGUAAUACUUAACUAAACAAUUUUAAAAUAUGUAUAGCAGUUUUAAUGAAGGAAAAAUGAGCUAUGACAAUUUAAUGAAGGGAAUGGCAAAUCAAACAAUGAACAGCAAAUUGAAAACAAUAAAUUGUAUAAAUUUACAUAUGUUUUACUCAAUUUUUUUUUUCCAUUAAGCUUUCAUGUUGCUGUAAAUUUAGGCGUUUUCUCUCUGUGUUGGUGUAUCUGCCUAAACUUGUAAAAUGUUGGUUCAUCUUAUGCAAUUUUUGAUAUACUUAACAACCUACUGCCUAUGUGCAAUGGAGCACCACAAAUUUAUCUACAUUAUGGUUGUUAGGACAAUGGAUUAGGUUGUAGGAUAAAUUCGGACAUACAGCUAACCCUAGAGGUGAUCUAAACAAUCUACAAAAGACUAAGAGCAAACCCUAAUAGUUAAGUAAACAAUAUAAAAUAUAUAUGAUAGCAUUAAUGAUAGAAAAAAUAUCUAUGACAAUUUUAAUAAAUGGAAUGGCUAAUCAAACAGUAAACAACAAUUAAAAACAAUAAACUGAAAAAGAGUUAACCCUAAGGUGAGCUAAACAAUCUACAAAGAUAUAUGACAAAUUUAAUGAAGGAACAAAAUAUCUCUAACAAUUCUAAAACAAAAAAAAGGAUCAAUCACACAAAAAUUAAUCAAGAAACAAACAAAUUAAAUCAGUGGAAGACCCUAAUUGAAAAAAAUAGAGACAUAAUCCUAGCACCCAAUUGAACAAUUUAUAAACAUCCAUGACAAUUUGAAUGAAAGAACAAAAUAUAAAUGAAAAUUUUAACAAAGCAAAUGGCAAUUGGAUACUAAACAAUGAAAAAAAAAACAGUGCAUUACCUUUUGAAUCAAGGGAGAAAGUUGAAAACCCAGACCCUGCCAUUCGUCCCUCAGCCAUCCCCUCUUCACCGACUCUGUGCGUAACCCGUUAACCCUAAAGAAUACACACACCCAUGCUUUCCGCUCUGUAUCUAUCUCCCUGUCCAUCUCUCUCUCUAAAAUGGGAGAAAAUCCCAUAGAUCCUAGCAGAGGACCUAGCUAAAUCUAUCUCUCACUCAGUCCAAACCCAUAGCUCCCAUCUCUCUCCAAUCUGUCAGGCCUUGUGUCUCCCUCCUCUCUAGUCGCUCCGUCCCCCUUUCUCCGCUCGCCACAGCCACAACCACACCCAGCUGUCUCCGAGUAAAAAAUAGGAACGAUCGUCUCUCUCCAAUUUGUCAGCCGUGAUGUCCCCCUCCCCUUUCUCUCCCCGAGUCAAAGCUGAAAUGCAGCCAACGGCUGAUAAUCGGUUUUUAAGCCUGAGUGGCAUUUUUGUAAUAAAGCGAAAGUUGGUUAAAAGCACCCUGAGUGGCAAUCUUGUAAAUAAACUGAAAUGUCUUCCAAAACACUGCUCAAUUGUACAAUGCAAUUUCCCCUCCUUCAUUAGACUAAAGUAAUAAUAAUUCAGACAAUUUAUACCAAAAAUAAAAAAACAUCCCAAAGCAUAAAAAAAGAUAGCAUCUGUUACAAUAUCAUUAUGUUUGAAUUGUGUAUAUAGGUAAUUAUGGGGGAUUCGGGAAAGAUGGAAUAACUAUACAAAGAAGAGAAAUGAUUUGAAGUCUAUUGUUCGCUUUUCUUAUUAGCACAAAAUUCAAUCAAGCAAGGAUGAAUUCUUUCAUAAAUUACAGUUACGGAUCAUGACAUUCAACAAGCAGCAGCUGAAAUAGUUGUACAAACAUAAAAAAUCGAUGCUGACUGACAUCUUUAAUUAAAGAUUAAGGCCCUAGGACUGACAGGAUUUAUAAUAGUAAGGGUGUAAGAGACAUCCUCAUGUCAAUGGGAGAAUUGAUGAAUACUUGACAAGGUUAAGGCCUUUCAAAUAUGUAGUCAAAUUUUUCUGCAGUCUUAAAGCAUGCACAACACAUUCAAAUUUGAUGAAGUAUAUAUGAAACAACCAACAUGUCUUCGUUGAUUCUCAAUUUCCAACACAUGUUUGCAAAUUGAAACAUUCUCUCUAUGGUCUUAAACAAGCCUCAAGGGCGUGGUUUCAAUGUUUUUUCCAACCACCUAGAACAUCUCGAUUUUGUGUCUUCUUAAGCAGAUUCGUCUCUAUUUGUUUACUGUCAUGGUUUAGUUCGCAUUUAUUUACUAAUCUAUGUUGAUGACAUCCUUAUCACAGAAAAACAUGAACAUAAAUAACCAUGAAUCAGAAAGAUGAUCAAUAACCUGGGAGUAUAUAGAAAACGAAGUCACAGUGUUCGGGCGAAGAUUUCUCCGGAUAGGGCUCCUCGGCUCUCAGCACAGCUCUCCAAGGGAUUGGCCUUUUGGAUGUGUAGUUAAGCUCUUGCUUGUUGAUGUGUUGCAAGAAGAGGAUAGAGUUAGUUUUGAAAGGUGCCUUUGUAGGGCCUUAAGUGUAGGCCUUGAGACUCGCAAUCAAAACUAACUGAAUGCUAGGCGUGCCACUGCUAUCUCAGUAUAGCAGAUGUAGAACAAAUGUGUUUUAGUCGAUUACUUACCCCCCAAGUUACUCAGACUUCUUGUUAUCAAAAGAUUGUCGUGGAUGGGUUAAGUCCACAUUAAGUUCUUUUUCUUGCCUUAUGACCAAGGACUUUCAGUUCAUAGUCUUGUAUGUUCAAGUGAGGGAAGUCCAAAUCUCCUUAAGUCAUCUACUCGGUUCUUGAUUGGUUUUUAAUGAAGGCAUAUUCAUUUAGGUAACCAGAUGCGAGCACAAACGAGACUCUUAAAAUAGGAAAACAGAUGGAUAUGACUUGAAUACAUGAUGGAGAAUACAUUAAGUAGUAGAUUUAUUAACUUAUAAAACAAACAAAGAGCUUUGAGCAAGAUUUCACCUUGUCGGGCAAGGUUGAACUUCUUGCAAUCACUUCUCUUUUGAGUUUACAAGGUUUAUUUGCUAAGAAGGGAUGAAUGGUAAACAAGUUUACACAAGAGAAUCGAUACUACGCCACUAGGGGUGAUAACAGAGCUUCUAAACUAGACAAAAGAUGGCUUUUGUGGGGAAUGAUCAUGAAAAGAUGGCUAACUACAGCUUUUAGAUGCAAAUCCGGCUUGAGAUAAGAGUUUGUAUGAUUGGUUGAGUGUCAUUGUCUUUGGGGCCUCUUCUUCCUUUUAUACACAGAUUAGCCCGACUAUUGUAGCUUUGCUCUUGCCCAAAAGUAAUUGAAGGGUAGUGAGUCAUCAACUUUUUACUUGUAUUGCCAUUAAAAAGUGCUUUUUGGCUAAUUAUGGGUUAGUCCCCAUCACUUGACACUUAAAUCAUAGGCACAUGACCAAUGCAUUAAUGAGAAGGCGCCAAUUUAUCUCUGGGCUUGAUGCUGGGCUUUGGGCAAGUCUUCCUUUAAUUGGUGUUUUUGCUUCUACACACUUGCAGCCUAAAGUUCAAAUAUUAACCCAAACAAAACUUCUAACCCACGAUCAUAGUGGUCACUCCUCACACCCCAAGCCAGAUCCCUCGAUUGGAUGCAGCUAAUGAAUCUCUCUCUACAAAAGGGACUAGCAUCUUCCCUAAAAGCGUCAUGGAAGACCGAAGUUGUAGAGGGCAGAGAUGUCUCCGAGUUGCUUGGAGAUUUUGAGGACGAAGCCGAGCUUGUAGUUGAGUGUUGGCCUACAUGUCGGACUCCGGCAAUGGUGGUAGAAACUUCAGAGUCUGAGCCCGAAGCGUGGCUGGCUCCAACAAAGAAAAAGAUGCGGGCACAAACUUCCACAGCUUCAAAGUCUUCUACACCAGUGGCUGAGGUGGGUAGGGAGAAACGGAAAGCUUUUAGUAAGUAAUCAUUGCUUCAUUUUAUUCACAACUUCAUGAUGAGAGUUGACAACUCUCUUUUCUUUGAUUCCAAGGCCCCAAGUGACUAAAAAGCCUACCAUCGCUUCAAGGGAUGACCCAUUGCGGGCUGAGAUGUCUCAAAAAGCAAAAAAUCUGCAAGAUUUCACCCUGGAGGAACUUGAGGUACAUCUUGCAUAUUAAAUUUUAUUCCAUUGGGUUCUUCCCUUUUCCUUCUUACUCUCCUCCAUACUAUCUGCCUAUUUUCUGAUUUAGGCCAUAAGGGAAGGAAAGAUCUCUCCGCCCGAGGCCUCCUCACCUCCAGCCCGAAUGGUACAAACUUCUCCCCCUCAGGCUAAGUCUUCAAAGGUAUAUCUUUUCUCUUCUUUUAGACUUGUAUCUUUAACAAUCCCAGAGUUCUAACACUCGAUUUGUACUUUCGUAGGCCAAGGUUGGAGAGGUUGCUUCCUCACUGGGCAUAGUUUUACCUUCAUUCUUCCAGCCUCUCUUCCACUGGUGGUGGCUCCUACUUCCUAGUUUGAUCCAAGCACUGCAAAGUUGUUACACUUUGUAGAAGAUAAUAGUCGCCCAGUAAGUACUUCCAUUAUCCUUUUUAUGUUCAGAGUUCCUUUUUUUCUUCCUUACUUAUCAUCUGUUGCCAUUUGUAGCCUUCCUUAUCACAGACAUCUCACCAACCAGCCGUGUUUGCUUUUGGAGAACCCGUAGUCCCUGAGAUCCCUGUGGUUUCAGAGGUGACUAGCCUGAGGGCUUCUCGGGCAGAGUCUCUUGAUGUAGUUGUUUCUGAAUUACCUAUUUCUCAACUUCAAGUAUAUCAUUAUCUUAAACUUUCGCUUCUUGUUUUCUGCAAAUUGUCUUUUUGACACUUGUUCUCUUUGAUGUCUAAAGGCCUCAGGUAAAGGCCCAGGCAUUAUUCCUUCCUCCUUAACAACCAAAAAUGGUCCCUCUCCACAACUAAAGGAAACAACUCUUCCUCCAUCUCAUUCCUUGGCUCCGAGCUCAACCCAGGUAUAUUGUCCUUACUUGUCUCGCCUUCCGCCAUUCUGAAUCAUAAAUUAUUUCCUUAAUUUUUCUCCAUUGGUUGCAACAGGGCUUUGGGGAAGGCUCAGGCAAGUCUUCACCACGCUUGGUGCACAAAAUAGAACUCCCUCGACCUUCUUUAGCUUCUAGGGUCAUAGGGAUUCCUAUCCCAAGGCCGAAAAAGAAGACUAAGACCAUAACUGCUUCUAUCUCUCAGGUUCCUCCCUCGGUUGAAACUUCCUCCAUUGCUGCACCCUCUGAAGUAGCUGGAGUACGACCUUCUUCUCCUGUACCGGUUCCUUCAACAGUAUCUCUACCCGAGCUUUUUAAAGAAUUCGGGCAACUCAAGACAAAGUUAAGAUCUCCCAAGCAUCCAGGCAAUUCAAAACAAAGCUAAGAUCUCCCAAGCAUCCAUCUGAAUCUUCAGGCCUCCAAGAUCAACGCCGAGUCUUCCGAGAAUGGUUUAGAAGGGAUUUCUCAGCAUCCUUUAGCCUCAAGGCCCUCCAUGAUGUAGAGAAAGUAGUGACCGACAUUUUCAAGGCCGAUCAAUUAUCAAAAGUUCAGUAUGAGUCAUUUAUCUCAUAUUUUGAAAACUUGAAGGCUCUUAGAAAUCAGCAUAGUCGGGCUGAGAGGCAAACCAAUUGAGUAAGGUGCUUCAAGGAGAAACAAUCUAGUACUUUAACUCAAAUUUAGCAGCUAAUAAAUAAAGGCUCAGCCACGGAGGAGAAGAUCAAGAUGGUCUCUUCCAAUAUCCAGAAGUUAGAGGAGCAACUUGCUGUGUUGAAGGCUGAACAUGCGACUCUCAUUGGCAAGCUUCAGCAGCAAAUUGAAGGAGUAAAAAAGGCCAACAUGGAACUUGAAGACGCCGAAUCUCAACUUAUCAAUAGCAGCAUUGUUUUGACGGAGCCUACCAAAAUUUUCGCGCUCAUGUAGACUUAUUACUCCAGAAUAAUUACUCUGGGUGAAGAUGUACAUCUGUUAGGCUAUGAUCAAAUAUAAUCUUUUCUAAAAUAUACUUCUUUUCAUCUUGACUUGUAUCACUUUAAAUUGAAAUUCUUAUUGCCUUUUUUACUUCACCUCUUUUUUGAAAUCAUUAACUUUGUUUAAUAUAACGAUUUCUAACCCUCAAACAGUUGGAUGUCACCUCUUUAAACACUUAAUACUAACUGGAUGUCUUUGUAAGUUUUCUCUAAAUUGGUCGAUUAAUAUUUCCCUUUAUCUUGUGUUUUUCUCUCUUCCACACACCAAUAGUCUUUUGAUUAAGUACCUGACUGCAACUACCUGGUCAUUUCUUCUUUGUUCUGACAUUACUGGUGUUGGGAAAAUAUGGGGUCGGUCCCAUUCUUCCCUUGUAAGGAACAACCUUUGUUCCAAAAGCUUUUGGGCCGUCACCUUAGUCGGGCGGUCGUUCUCAUCAGCUCCUAAACACUGGAGAAUCUCAAUGCUAGGAUUAUAAAAAUUGACUUUUGCAACAUUGGUAGUGGGAAGGAAUGGCCGUGACUCGGCCUCUACCAUCUCCCAAAAUCCAGGUCCCAUAGCGCAUUCUUCGUGAUAAACUGCUACUUGUUGAUGUAGGGUGGAUGGCACCGAGAGACUUUGAUGAAUCCAAUCUCGGCCUAGUAAAGCUCCAUAUGUGGAAGUACUAUCCACAACGAAGAAAUCUAACAUGAUUUGCUUGAAACCCAAGUUAACCUCAAAGGGUCAUAUCCCAUGGGUUUUAAUGAUGGCUUCAGAGUAAGUGGAAACUGUUAAGUCCGUGGGGAUGAGGUCCUCCUCAUUUCUACAUACCCGCUUCAUCUGCUAAAGGGCAACACAUUGACCGCGGCUCAUCCAUCAAUCAAAACCCUCUUGAAGGGCACUCCCUCCAGAUGAGCAGUUACAUAAAUGGGCUUGAGAUGGUUGGCUAGGGUCAAACUCGGAUGACUGAAGACAAUCAUGUAUGUGUACACUCUCUCAGGCUUUCUCUUUGUGGGCUCGGGCACAUCUACUCUGCCCGAUUCCUCUUUUCCCACCUCUUCAACACUAACAUGUGCCAUCAUCGGUUCCGUUGCUAAGUAGUCAUCCUCCAUUAUGGCAGGUUGAUCAUGUUUCAGCACAAAACAUGGCGGAUAAAACAUAUUUUAUGUUUACGUGGAAGUUGCUAGGUUAAGAUAAGUUCUCAUUUUUGCCCCCAAUGCGGCUCAUGAACUCAUCUAACCAGGCCUGCGCUUCUUCUGGCAGCAUCAGCUCAGGCACCCUUUCUUCCCAGGUUAUGCUAAAGUUUGGGAUUUGUUGUGGAGCAUCGCAAAGAGUAUCAACCAACAAUGGUGCGGGCAACCCUCUCUCAGGUGAGAUAGUUCCAAAGCAUAUUGGUUCUAGGCUCCACCUUGGGGUUGGCAUCAUUACUAUAUCCUGUUGAGCUCUCUUAAAGAUUUUGUGUUUCCCAGGAUGGGGGUUCUAUGGCACAUGGUCUUCUUCCCUUUCGAUCUUGCUAUUAGACUUUUUCACCUCCUUCUUGGUUCUCCAAUGGAGUUGAUUUCUUCCAUCAACGAGUACUUUCUCAAACUUUACAUUCUCUGAGGUUUAUAAGGCAGUUGGGACUUUCAAUGAGUUCAUGUGGGCUUUAUGUUGCCUCUGGACUCUCCUAAUCAUGGAGGCUCUCAUUUCUUUAACGGGUCUCCCAUCAUUUCCGACCACAUACCAUUUCCUCCCGAGUCGGGCAUGAUUCUUCUUCGUGACUGGAUUCACAAUUCUACCCUUAACUCUGACAUCUCCACCAGCAUAGCUUGGUUGGGGUGGCCUCACAUCCACCCAUCUUGGCACCUUGGCCUCUUUGUCGUCCACCUCUUCAGAAGCUUCGUAAUUUCUGAAUACUUAUGACAAACCCUUUGGUUGGGAAUCUCCUUCCAACCUUUGGAAAACAUUCCUAGAGGUCUCUCAUUCAGCUGCCCACAUAACAUUUUUGCGUGCUUCCUGCUCUUAUUUCUUUCUUAUCUUGAUCAGCUCUUGAUCAAUAAUGGCUCCUAGUGCUGGGACUUCCAGCUCGUACUCACAUUGGCAUCUACUGCACAAUAUCACUCCCUUGAUUAUGGCCGCCUUGGGUUUCUCGGGCAACUUGAUGGCUCCAUUGGUUGGCCUAUCAACUUGCCUCCGUUAUGCUUUCACCUCACAUGUAGCUUUUCCUUUUCCCUUCUUAGCCCACGUCAAGUUGAUCAUGUUUAUUGGUACUUCUGGGAAGGGGUCAGAGUCAAUCAUCAUGUUGGCCUACGUUUCUCCAGCAACAACUUUCCUUUUAAUAUAAGGUCUUGUAUCCAAUCCCUGAUCUGGACAGAGUUGGUUAUAGAGUGAUUGAAAGUGUAAUGCAGCUUGCAAUAUUUUUUCCUUCUCAGUUCUCCGGCCUUGGGCAGUUUUUUGGCAUUGUCAGACACGAUGACUCUUGCUUGAACCAGCUCCUCAUAAAUCUCCGCUGCCUUGGUUAAAUUAAAGGAAUAACUCUGGUACUUGGGGGGUUUCAUGAGGAGCAAUCCACCAUCAUUCGUGACCACUUUCUAGUCUUUAAUUGGCUGUACUAACCCCUUUACAGUCAAAGGAUUAAAUGGGGUAGUCAUCUCUGCUGCGCAUACGUCCAUUCUCUCUCCUUCAUGACAUUAUUCUCUUCUGGCUUUCCUUCAAACUCCACUUGGUGAAUGGCAGCUUUGCUCUUAUAGAAAAGAGGCACCUUAGAUGAGUGCUUUACUUACUAUUCCUCCAGCAACAGCCUCUCAUACUUGUUGGUCGCAAUCACUAACUCAUUCAGCUCAUUGAAUUGUACAUCAUAAAACUUCUUCAUCAAAGACAAUCUUAACGCCCUCUGAGCAAUGGAUAUGAGAUGUGCAUGAUUUAUGGGGAACCGUCACCUCAUCCUCGUCUUCCUAAACCUCAUCAUGAAGUCUUCUGUAGACUCAUGCUCGUACUGCUUCGCCUUCACAAGGUCAUUGAUAACCAUCUCAGGUUUAACCCUGUAAAACUGCUCAUGGAAUGCCAUCUCCAUUUGCCCCCCAAUUGGCAAUAGAAUUAGAGGGCAACAAAGAAUACCACUGAGAUGCUAAGCCCACCAAGGAGUUCCCAAACAAUCUCAACUUGUAGUUGGGAUUGUCUUCAAAUGCCACACAGUGAUUAAAGAACUUGAAAAUAUGAUCUCUAGAAGACACAUUGCCAUCUUCUCCGCUGAAUGUUGGGAAUGCGGGCAUCUUGAAGUUGACUAGAAAAAGGUUUUGCUCGUCAACGUACUCAGGAUAAGGCUUCUGAUAAGUGCUCCUAAACAGCGGGCGAGCUUGUGGCUGAUCAUUCCGGGCCACCAUCCUCCUCAACUCGGCUAACUCAUCCCUGAGCUGUUAGUGAGUUGUAUUAUCAGGAAGAGUAUGAAGAGGUUCCUAUUUCGGGCUACGAUCAUUGCCCGAGAACGUCUUUUUUCUUGGCUCAGGCUUUCUCCACCUAGCAUCCCCUCCCUUACUGGCUAAUGACGAGGGCCUAUAAGGAAGAGGCUUGUCUGGCUUGGUAGGCUUGCCUUUUCCACUGGAUUUCCCAAUCAACUGGGGCCUCCCAUACUUCGUUCUUUCUUGCUCGCUCUACCCCUACUAUUAAGUGGAAAUAGUGAAGGGUCGGGCAACUCCACUUCUAGGAUUUCCUCCAAAACUGGCCCACUAGUGCCAGAUUCAUCAUUGUUUUUAUGUUUACCAUUCUUCCCCCUGACUUCUCAGAUGAGGUUGGGCUUCUCAAAACAGUUGGUCCUUGUAAAGAGGGAACGUUCUCUAGGCGGUCUGCCAUGUUUGAUUUUGGUAGUUAUUGGGGUAGCUUGUACUCUGUGUUCCACCUGAAGGUUUUCUCCUUCCUUCUUCUUCUUGACAUACAAGACUAAUGUGAUCUCACCGGGCAUGCCAAAACUAUGUUUGGGCGAAGAUUUCUUCGGAGAUGGCUCAUUGGCUCUCAGCACAGCUCCCCAAGGGAUUGGCACUUUGGAUAUGUAGUCGGGCUCUUGCUUGUAAGAAGAGGAUAGAGUUAGUUUUGAAAGGUGCCUUUGUAGGGCCUUACGUGUAAAACUUAAGGCUCGCAAUCAAAACUAACUAAAUGCUAGACGUGCCACUGUUAUCUCAAUAUAGCAGAUGUAGAACAAAUGUGUUUUAGUCGAUUACUUGCGCCCCAAGUUACUCGGACUUCUUGUUAUUAAAGGAUUGUCGUGGAUGGGUUAAAUCCACAUUAAGUUCUUUUUCUUGCCUUGUGACCAAGCACUUUCAGUUCAGUUUUGUAUAUUCAAGUAAGGGAAGUCCAAAUCUCCUUAAGUCAUCUACUCGGUUCUUGAUUGGUUUUUAAUGAAGGCAUAUUCAUUUAGGUAACCAGAUCCGGCACAAAUGAGACUCUUAAAGUAGGAAAACAGAUUGAUAUGACUUGAAUACAUGCUGGAGAAUACAUUAAGCAACAUAUCUAUUAACUUAUAAAACAAAGAAAGAGUUUUGAGCAAGAUUUCACCUUGUCGGGCAAGGUUGAACUUCUUGCAAUCACUUCUCUUUUGAGUUUACAAGGUUUAUAUGCUAAGAAGGGUUGGAUGGUAAACAAGUUUACAUGAGAGAAUCGAUACUACGCCACUAGGGGUGAUAGGGCUGAUUACAGCUUUUAGAUGCAAAUCUGGCUUGAGAGAAGAGUUUGUAUGUUUGUUUGUUUGAUUGGUUGAGUGUCAUUGUCUCUAAGGCAUCUUCCUCAUUUUAUAGGCAGAUUAGCCCGACUGUUGUAGCUUUGCUCUUGCCCGAAAGUAAUUGAAGGGUAGUGAGUCAUCAACUUUUUACUUGUAUUGCCACUGAAAAGUGCAUUUUGGCUGAUUAUGGGUUAGUCCCCAUCACUUGACACUUAAAUCAUAGGCACAUGGCCUAUGCAUUAAUGAGAAGGCGCCAAUUUGUCUCUGGGAUUGAUGCUAGGCUUCGGGCAACUCUUCCUUUAAUUGGUGUUUUUGAGCUUCCACACACUUGCAGCCCAAAGUUCAAAUAUUAACCCAAACACACUGUCUCACAGAUCAAGUCAGAUUGGGCAUGAGAAGGGCUGAAGGUCCAUCAGGAAAAAAAAAAAACCCCUUCAUCUCUGUGUGUUUGCUACAAGUCUGUCUGUAUGUCGUCAAGUCCAAUAAAAUGUUCAUCUUUUCCUGUAAAGAAACAGUGAAGAUGCCAAGCUUGAUGAGGGUUUUAACUUUGGGAAAAAUAAUCAUUAUUAUAAUAUUAUGACAUGGACACACUAGAUCUAUAGACUCUAGCAAACCACCAAUUAAAACACGACAUCUAAUUUGAGGUGCUAUUUCGGUUUCGGUGCGAUUUUCAAAAGCCAAAACCAAAACCAAAACCAAACUGUUUCCUACACUGCGGUUCGGUUUCCAAACCACAACCGUUUCAAAACUGCAAAACCGAACCAUUUGGUGCGGUCCGAUUUGGUUCAUGUUUGGGUUUUGGUUUUCGGUUUCAAGUGCCCACCCCUAGUACUAAGUGGCUUAUCACAUAAGUUUUAUGUAAAGUGAUUAAACAAUUUAGCAUGUGUCAGUUUACUAGAGAUUCUUUCGAAGGACUAUGAGAGAUACAACUCACGAUCCAGGAAGGAAGUCGAAUCUAAGACAGUGAAGAGGAAUAUUACUAGACCAUAUUAAGUGGCAUCAUAUCUUCUGAAUUUUUUAAAAUCGACUUUACUAGAAACAACAAACUCACUCAUAGUUUUGGCCUAUCAAUUACAUUCUUCAAUGUACAACCCCUCACUCCAACUUUCUCAGAAACCUGUUUGUAGCCUAACAGGGGUUCCUUCAGAAAAUCUGAAUUCAAAGGAAGGACAUUGCACCACUGCCCCGUCAACGUUUUUGAUGAUUCAAAUAUCCCUUAAAUUUUAGGGGUCCAUAUUUUUUUAUGGUCAACGUUAGGCGUCCAGAUGAUGGGCAAUUUAUCAAUUUGGAUAUCAUUGAGGACUGAAUUCGGAUGCAUAAGGUCUAAGCAAGAAGUACAGACAAAUCAUUCCAAUGCAAUUUACACUCAUUAAACAAAUACAGUUGAAUCUGAUUCUCACGGAUGCAUGGUUAAUUACCUUAACGCCUUUCAAGCAUUUCACUCAGAAAAAAGAAACAACUAUCAAAAUUGUGCAUGACGUCGAUUAAGAUAAGAUACAUGAGUUAAGAAAAGACACGUCCUAUUUGCAUAGUUCAUUUACCAGGUAAAGAAAGUACCUCAUCUCAUAACCGGUUUCCAGCUUCCUUGGAUAAACGGAUGUUCUUUGAGACUGCAUCGCACUCACUGGAGUUGCUUGUUUUUGCUUGUUUCCUCUAGAUGAAAGGAUAGUCAAAUUCAUGAUUGCACACAAGCGAUGUUUGGUCAAUAAGGUUGCUUUAAUCCAACCAAAUCUCUCUCGUAGAUGAGACGCACCCCACACCUCUUCACCUCCAAACCAGGGCCUAAGGUUUUAAAUGUAAACUCAAGGUGAUGACAACUGUCUUGCCAUGUUGUACCAAAGUAUUCACCAGAUACAACGGAUAGCCAAAUGUGCUCUUUCUCAAUUUGCCCUAAUUCUUCGCUGCAGGCGAAGGAAGGACACCAGCCACCUACACCCAAAUUCCCAGGCUUAACUUCGCAACGAAGACCAUGUGCAGUGGUAUGGGUUCCGUAGUUCCAUUUGCCAAGCAGAUUAGGUGGGAGUCGUCGACGGAGAGUGAAACAGCACACAAUGCAUAUCCCAUCCACUCGUUCUUGUACCAGUGUUGAGGGAGCUCCACGCUUACCACAGGCCUCUCACUUCGAUAACUAAACCACUCAGAAAUUUCACUGCCAGGAUAUAUAGCUUCAAAUUUAUUCCCUACGUAAGGGAUUCCCUAUAUAAUACAAAAUUACAAAUAGUGAAGUCAAACAAUUGAUACGACCGUCUUAUAAAUAAGUACAAAAUGCUUUUAGUUUAUUUUAUUUUUUCUGUGUGUGUGAGAGAGAGAGAGAGAGAGAACCUCAAGAAUAAAUCGCAAUAGGAGAACAAUAACUCUGUAGAAUACAAAACCCAACUAUUAGGUAGUAAAUCACCCCUGUUAGUAGCAGUAAGCAAAGAAAGACAUAAUGAAUUCCAAUAACUAGAAGGAAUAGAAUUAAAAGUAACCAUAGGUUCAUAAAUGCAAACCAAUCCGAAUGAUGGGAAAGGCAAACAUUGGAAAGCUCCAUAUGCGUAUCUGUUUGGGCCCAAAAUAAUAGUUUGGGCUGAGGGUAGGAUCACUCUCGGCCCAGGAGGCCGUGCGGCGAAAGGGCCAUGGAUCGUUCAGCUCAUGGGCUUCCAAGCCUAGGUCGGUUAAAUCAGAACGCAAGCCGAGUCCUAGUACAAUAGGGACUCUCGACAGGAUCAGUAAUCCAGAAAGCGAAUCCGGCUCAGUUAAGGACUAGAUUCGUAGUCCUAGUGGAGAUAGGAUUGGUCGAGGUGAUGUUGAUCCAGGGAGGGAAACCUAGUCCGAAUAGGAUUGUAACUCGGGCUCGAGGACCAGCACUAUAAAUAGAGGAAGCUGUGCAUUAAGGAAGGACCCCUGCAAAUCAAUACAAAAUUGCCCUGCGCAAAUUCUCACAACUUGUGAUUUUUCUUUUUCCUUUUUCGCUGACACAUCUUCCGUUGGCAUCAACAGCACUGUGGAAGCAACCGGUGAUAUCUUAAGUCGGCAUAGAUAGCUCUGUCACCGUAGAAUCAAUCGGUCUCGCAGUAUCUACCGUUGGCAUCAACAGCACUGCGGCGAGAACGGUUGAUUACCUAUCCAAGUCUCGGUCGAGAAGGGUUUCUGAACCCUUAUUGGUCGAGGUCAUCUCAUCAGCCUUCUCGGCGAAGUGAGGUGUUACACGUUAUUACAUUCAGCAUAUUGAAAGCCGAAUUUGAUAUUGAACUUCGUAAGAAUAGUAACCUUGUCUUCAGGUUCGAGAGCCCAAGAGGCCGAGACGUGUUCCUUUCUCGGCCGCAAUCGCAAGACGUAGAAGUCAGCCGCGCACCCAACGCAACAUCAACAAAUUUACUCCUCGGCCGAGCUCGGCUGACGAGUUGGCACGCCCCGCAUUCACCGAAGGACGUAGUUAGCUCAUUAAUUACUCGACCUGCGCGCCACGUAGGCUUUGUAGUUUUUAGGGUCAAUAUUUUGGCACGCCCAGUGGGACCCAGUGCUAAACUACGAAGUUCAUGCCAAUUGAAACAUGAUCGGUAAAAAAGAAAACAACUAUGGGAAAGUCGACAGCCGAUUUGCCGAAUCAAAGCCUGGGACAAAGUGUGCUGCAGGCGCAGAAUCCCCUUAGCGCUGUGACACCUGAGUCCAUGAGCGCGACUCGCCGAGAGAGAGAAGUUAAUCUCGGCAGUCAACUACGCGGUCUAGAAAUCCCUAACAGGAACACUUGCGUUCUCACUGAAGGGAUAGUAGAGGAGUGCGACGAGGAUGGUGGUGAAGGAUCUGAUCCACCAACAAGGUCGUUUCUUCGAAAACGACUAGACGAGCAGUCUCGGUCAGUCGAGCAGACGUUUAGUCGAGGCAUUGACAAGCUGCAUGAGGUGAUACUCAGUUCCAAUGAGCGACAAACCAGGCUGCUCGAGAUGUUGGUUAGUAAAGUCAGUGGCAGCAAGCCUUUUGACCUUCUUCAGCAUUCCACCAGGGAACAAUCCGAUACCAAUUGUACCGACCGAGCCUAUUCCUGCUCAGCUCAAACCAAUUGACUUGGAAAAAGAAGGAGGGUCGAAUAGUAGGUCAGACGGAACCGACCAGAGGGUCGAAGCAACACCUGUUGAUAUGACCGAAGUUCAGCGGAUGAUCGACUCGGCCAUGAAGAAAGGGCCGAAGUUUCCUAAGUUUAUUCAUCCGUACUCGGCUUACAUGGAAACGUUUGGAUACCCGAAAGGUUUCAAGAUCCCAGAUUUUAGUCUUUUUGCCGGUGAGUCGUCCCUGUCUUCGUUGGAACACGUGGCUCGUUUCACCGCGCAAUGCGGAGACGUUAAUAGUGAUUUCCAUAAAUUACGGUUGUUCAACUUUUCAUUGACCGGCUCAGCGUUUGCCUGGUAUAUCAAUCUCCCUCCUAAUUCCGUCCAAAACUGGGAGGAGUUGGUAGAGAAAUUCCACGAGCAGUUUUAUCGGCCAGGGAUGGAGAUGUCAGUUUCUUCGCUAGCACGGAUGGCUCAGGCAUCUGAUGAGUCACCAAUGGAUUAUCUUACCAGGUUUAAAUCGGCCAGGAAUUGGUGCCGGGUGUGAUAGGAGCAUUUUUAUGCAACUUAAUUGGCUUGUUCUCAUGCAUUUAUGUUGUUUUUCCUUAGUUAGUUUAGUGUUUAAAGUCAUUUCGUGCAAUUUCAGGUUUUAUUGUCAAAGUAUGCAAAAAUGAGCAUUUUGGAGCUUUUAGGAGCAAAAUUGGGCUUGGAAUGAAGUGCAUAUGCAUGGAGCAAGGAGUUUGGACGAAUUUGAAGUCAAAACAUCAAAUAAACAUGCUAAAAAUCUGGUGAAACAAAUACAAGUUGCAAGAAGGGAUAGGUUUCUAGAAGGAUUGACCAAAAUUCCACUCAAAACCAUGUUCACACCCCAGAAAUUCAUCUUUGCCGUGCAUCCUUGACUCACUUCCACCAGAUUUUUGAGUGGAUGAUUCAACACCUACUCUUUAUUGCUUUUACUUUGCCAUAUUUGCCAUGUUUGCUAGUUGUGUUAUUUGCUUGUUUUUAUGUGAGUCUAUGUUUGAAACAUUGAGGACAAUGUUUGGUUUAAGUGUGGGGGGGUGAACAAAGUGUUUUUGUUGCAAAAUUCGUGGGAUUUUACCACCUAACAUUUCAAAGGUUGUUUUUCAUUGUUUUUUUUAGUGUUUUUAGAAUGUUUUGAUGUGUUUUUAUGUGGCUUUACCAGAAAAUACGAAAAUUCAAGAAAAAAUUAGAAAAAUUUUGAAAAAACCCAAAAAGAGUUGUUUUUGUGUGUUUGUUUGUGUCUUAGGGUACCUUCCAACACAAUGAUGAGGAUUUGGUUUUUAAUUGCAUGACUGUUAAAGAGAGUUAUAAGCAUGGAUGAAAGUUUGAUUUACUCUUGGUUUAUGCUUGGUUGUGGUUAUAACUUAUGAAUUCACAUGCAAUCUUAAAGGAAAAAUCAGUUUUUGUUUGUAACAUGCUUGAAGGAAGCAACUCAAAUUAACACUACAACCUUGUGAGACUUGAGCCUAAACGUUUAUUUGGAGAGUUAUUAAUCUGUGCAUUCUUGUUUUCUAAAGUCGUUGCAUGAUCUCAUUAUUCUUUGCUUGGUUGCUACUUAGAAUGCGUUUCAUCACUUUAGUUCCAAAUGCUAGAACUCAUGCCAAUUUCAUUCAAAACAUGUUAUUGAAUUGCAUAACACAUAACAAGAUGAAGUUGUUUAGUAGUUACCACCAUAGCCAAAAAGCCUUCAUUCCAUACAUUUGUUUUUGUAGGUUUAACCCCGUUGAGCCUUAUUUAGCCUAUAUUGUUUGUUAACCCACGUUAUCCUUACCUAGCCUAGAUUAGGAUCAUCCAUACCCUUGUUCUUAAAGCAUAGUAAGCAUGACGUAAAAUGAAUUCCUUUUGAUUGAGGGUGUGCAGAAAACAAGUGUGGGGGAAGUGUUUUUCAUGAAGAAUUGUGUGCCAUAGGCACGGGUAGAAAGAAAGAAAGAAGAAAAGAAAAAUGUUGUGAAAAGUGAGAAAAAGAGUUGAAAGAGCAUGAAAAUGAGUUCUAAGGUGUGGAUUGUUGAAGAAGGGGUCCAAAACAUUGAAUUUGACCCUAAGUGUUGCAUGAAUUUCCCCUUUGAGUUUAAAAGUUGAUUCUUGCACCCAAAAGUGAAUUCUAAGUGUCAAUUUCAAUGCUUUGCUUACUAUUGUUUUAAGAACGUUUGUUUAUCCUUCACCUUUCUUAGCCAAUAUCCCAAGCCCCGUUACAACCCUCAACUUCUAUCUUGAGUGUUGUGUAUUUCAAUUUGUGGAGUUUGGGAUUGGUAUGAGCAUAUGGUGUCACUGGUUCUCGCGUCUAAGUAGUAGCAUUCUUUUCAUGUGAUCAUAUACAUUCUUAUCAAAUUCAGAAAAAACUUUCCUUGUUAUAACAUAUGUGAGCAUUCGUUUUCAUAUCUACAUCAAUCCUCUCACAUAUAACUAGCAUAGGGUGUGUAGUCAGAAAAUCUGUGCGAAAAUUGAGUGCAUAUCUAGUAAGGAAUUGAGCAAAUUCUCUAAGGCAUGUUGCUACAUUCAAAAUCAUGUUUUAAUUGGUUAGAUGCGAACGAGUACGUAGUGACUAUAAUUAAGUAUGUGCUUAAGUGUAAAGAUGGCUAAAAUCUGUGGGAAUGAUGAUCUUUAACAUGUUAUGUGCAUUGGAAAUCCCUAAGGCAAACGUUGGAAGGUUUAGGUUGUUUUUGUUUGUUUGGUUUCGUUUUGUUUUUCUUUUGUUUCUUUGUUUUGCUCGAGGACUAGCAAAAGCUAAGUGUGGGGGAAUUUGAUAGGAGCAUUUUUAUGCGACUUAAUUGGCUUGUUCUCAUGCAUUUAUGUUGUUUUUCCUUAGUUAGUUUAGUGUUUAAAGUCAUUUUCGUGCAAUUUCAGGUUUUAUUAUCAAAGUAUGCAAAAGGAGCAUUUUGGAGCUUUUAGGAGCAAAAUUGGGCUUGGAAUGAAGUGCAUAUGCAUGGAGCAAGGAGUUUGGACGAAUUUGAAGUCAAAACAUCAAAUAAACAUGCUAAAAAUCUGGUGAAACAAAUACAAGUUGCAAGAAAGGAUAGGUUUCUAGAAGGAUUGACCAAAAUUCCACUCAAAACCAUGUUCACACCCCAGAAAUUCAUCUUUGCCGUGCAUCCUUGACUCACUUCCACCAGAUUUUUGAGUGGAUGAUUCAACACCUAACAUCCACUUCUUGCUGUGCAUUCUUGAUUGUUUUCCCACCAGAAAAUUGAAUUAAACAAGUCCAUCCUCUCCCUAUAAAUACCCAUGGCAGCAACCUUAUUGAGGACAUCCAGAAAUUAACCAUUCUCCAAGCCUUGCCUUGCCUCUCCCUACAUAUCCAAACUCCUUCCCAUCCAUUCCUCCACCACAGCCGUGCCUUCCCACCACCAUCACCACCUUAUGCAGCCACCAUUGGAGGAGAAAGAAGUAGUGCCAUGCAGUCCAAAGGAGGAAGACACCUUGCACAUGCAAUCUGCCAUUAGUGGAGUGUUUGGAGUUCUUUCUUUUCUUGUUUCUGUUUUCAUGUUUAAUUUAACUUGCUUUCCAAUUAUGUUAAACAUGUGGAACUAAUUUCUUUUUAGUUAGAGGUGAAUUUGAAGCCAUGGACAUAUGUUGGUUAUGAUUUGAUUUACUCCAGUUAUGAAUUCAUGAACUUUAAAUGUGGUUUACUUUUCUGUUUUGAUUAAGAACUUGUUUAUGUAUGUAGGUUGAGGGUCGACACUUAAUUUGCAUGCCUAAACUUGAUACUAGGAUAUAAGGGAAUUUCACCUAAUCGUUAUGAACUUAUAUUCAUAAGUAGUAAAGAUCGCUAGUCACGAUUGUGUUAAGUAAACCCUAGGUUGGAUUAACAUGCGUAUUCCAUAGUUAUGAAUGCCUAGUCGAUGUUUAUGAUUUCCGUUGAACUUAAUGAUCUUUGUUGAAUGUCUCUAUCAUGCGUAUUCCAUAGUUAGGGAUUUUGAUGAGGAAUAAUUUGGUUGCGAUGCGUAUUCCAUUCAAUCCAAUGAAUCUAGGGAAAUCGGAAAGUUAAUUUAAGCGGACCUAAUUAACUUGGAGCAUUGUCAUUCAUCGUUUGUUGAAGUCAUAACUGGGAGUCAAAUUGUAUGCAUAUGUUCAUGUGUGGAUAAGGAACCCUCUAACUAGCUUCUCACCAUUCUAUUUAAUCAAAAUCUGUUUUAGUUUGCUUUGAUUUGCAAUUUGUUUAGUUUUAAUUCAAUUUCGUCAAAAAUCAAUCCCCCAUUUAUUUUAAAGUAUUAAAUUAGUUAGAAAUCAAUUUAGUGUUAGGUACUCAAAACUGCCCAGAAAGUGCUUUGAGUCAAGUUAUAGUCCAAAUUCGUCCAAAUUAGUGUUAGGUACUCAAAACUGCCCAGAAAGUGGUUUUAAGGCAGUUUUGAGCCUUUUAGUUGCUGUUUUGAGUUUUUAGUUUGUUUAGGUGUUUUAAACUCUAGUUUUACAUUAAUUAAGUCUAGUUUAGUGUUCUACAUUAUAUUUUUUAUGUUCUUGAGUCAGUUUUACAUUGAUUAGCAUCCCUAGUUAAUCCCCGGUCUAGAACGAUCCCUAUUUGCUCAUAUACUACAAUUGUCAUCCAUAGGGUUUAAUUUGUGUGUCAAGUUAAUUUUCACAUCAGGGUGCCUUUACCCGAAGUCGAAUUUGUCAGGCUUGCUUUGAACAGCCUCAACGUCGAAUACAAAAAGAAAUUCUUGGGGGCGAACUUUCGGGAUAUGUACGAAUUAGCCCAACAUGUCGAACAUUAUGAUUAUUUGCUCCGCGAGGAAAAGACUUCGAAAGCUCCAACUCGGGGGACGAUUUACAAGAAUCCUACUGUCAAUUAUGCAUCAGCCGAGGAUGAAUGUGUUAGUGUGGAUGCAGCUGAGAUAGUGAUCGAUAAGCCAUACGUUUGCAAGGCAUUGACUCAGGUUGAUUCUAGAAAAGCCAAAAGUCCCUCGGCCACUGAAGGAACAUCAAAAUCGUUAAAGGUUUACACUUUUGAUAUUACCAAGGCGGACGCAAUUUUUGACCAACUGUUAUCAGCAAGAAUCAUCAAGCUUCGGCCUGGUCACGACAUUUCUAAGGCCGAAGAACUUAAAGGAAAGGUAUAUUGCAAAUACCACAAUUCGAGCAAACAUACGACAAACAAUUGCGUCGUAUUUCGCGACAACGUCCAAAGCUGGAUUGAUAAUGGCAAACUGAAGUUUCCCGAGAAGAAGAUGAGUGUUGAAACUGAUUCGUUCCCCACGGCAACAGUAAAUAUGGUCGAUGCGUACCUACCCAAGGACAAAGGGAAAGGCAAGGCCGAAGUGGUUGAACGCCUGCGGAAUCAGAAUUCUCGGCCACGGUUCAUGGCCGAUUUUCGUUCAAACAAACCACCCACGGCUUUAACGGGGCCCGCUAUUGUCAAACCUAUGAUGGAUUAUAGCACCGAUGAAGACAGUGGAACGGUGGUUUUGUGCAGGAAAUGUAGAGAAAAGGUCGACAGUGAACCAGAGGAGAAGCCCUCUUCGCAACCUGUGGCCGCAACCCGGCAAAAGGUAGCCAAUAAAGGCCAACAUCAUGGGGUCUUUGAGAGGCUCGGUCCUAAAGUACAGAUGGAAGAGACACCCCCAGUCAGACGGCGCCUCGAUUUUGAUGCUUCAUUCUAUGACGAUGAUUACUAUAAGCGUAAUUCUAGCAGUUCAGAAUCAUUGCGGAGCAAAAAGACCUUCAAGCCUCCCGAGCCUAGAGAUCAACGUUGGUAUACAUAUCAUUCUUCGAGGGGGGUCUACAUCGCGUUGUCCAAAUCUCAGAAACACCGGCAUCAAAGGAUAGAUUGCAUGGCCCGUCGACGAGCAGCCCAAGAAACUUUGGCCCCGAAGUGGCGGUCGAAGAACAUAGUUGCCACUGAUGAUGAGCGACCACCUCCAGCAAUUAUGACAGAGUUGGCUCAAGGGAAACGGCUGGUCGACCAAGAUGUCGAGACCACGUUUGAAGAGGCUGAUAAAUGGAUCAAACUUCUUCUUCGACCAGGGGAGAUGAAGGCACGCCUCGAGCAUUUCAAGCAAGAGGCCGAAAGAAAAUUUCCUCCGCCAGCUAUACAAGAACCUUUGAUCAGAAUUCGACGGAAUUUGCAUCCACCAUUUCUUGGGGAGGCUUUAGAAUAUAUGCGAGAAUUUCAUAAGAAACAUUCGGCCAACGAUCUGUAUGGUUUGCCGAAGGCAUGCCAGGACACCAUUGAUCUAGUCCUGACUUGUCCGGAUGCCGAGCGAAUCAUUCAGAAGACCUCAGAUCCAGGAUUGAAAGUAAGGUUCUAGCAUAUACGAAAAGCUCGUGUCCUUGGAUUUGAAGUUGACCCGUACACCGAUAUCGAUGCAGCCGACCUUCCUUUCUCAACGGAUGACCUUCAGUAUUUACGAUAUCACUUCGAAGUAUUUUCAGCUGUUUCUCUCUUCGGCCUUACGGCCGAUGAAAUCGCACGUGUUGCACGUUUCGACGCUUAUCUCAACACCAGGGAUGCCCGAUUACAAUACCAAGAGCAGGUUCAGGUUCUGAUCCCAAGUGCACCGUCAAUCUCAACCUUACCUGAGGCGGUCACGCAGGACCAACAAAUCGUCGAUGCAGCACCGCCGAAUGAAGCCAUCAAAGAAGGAACAGAAGCGUCUCGUUGUCCGACUCUGACGGCAACGGAGUCCGUAAUCGCUGACCAACCGAGCGAGGAGGGUAUUGACCCAAUGGGCCCGUCAGUCCUGGAUAAUAUGGAAAUCAGUAUGGUCCAUGUGUUACCUGCCAAUUUUCAAUCAAGCACGGCUCAACCAAAUUUCCUCGACGAAGAUGUGGUGGCCGAAGAGGCCGGCCAUGUUGAUUUUGUAUUUGUUGCUGAAGUUGAGUUAGCAACAAAAGCUGACAAUCUAAAGGCGGCUUUGGCUGAAUUGUUUCCUCGUUCAUCAUCGGCCAAACUUCGCCAUUUAAAGCCUUUGUAUGUGACGGCCCAUAUCGAGGGGUAUCCAGUUUCUAAAGUUUUCGUCGACUGUGGAGCUACCGUCAAUAUCAUGCCUCUGAACAUCAUGAAGGCCUUACGUCGCUCGACUGACGAGCUUAUUCCUUCAGGGAUCACAAUGAGUAGUUUUGUCGGCGACAAAUCCCAAACCAAAGGUGUGCUUCCGUUAACUGUAAACAUUGCCGGUCGCACCGCCUUUUUCGUGGUUGAUUCCAGAACCGAGUAUAAUGCACUGCUCGGUCGAGACUGGAUUCAUCAAACCAACUGUAUUCCUUCAUCAUUGUAUCAAGUGCUUGUCUUUUGGGACGGUAACUCGGUCACUGUUCACCCGGCCGAUAGCCAGCCUUUCGAAGCUAACAUGAUCCAAGCACGGUAUUAUAAUGACCAUGUCGGCUACAUUACAUUGCAAGGCUUCAAUGAAGAAGGACGACCGACUCGGAUUUCGGUUCAUAAAGCUAUCGAGGUUGGCGCCGAAACUGUCCAGCAGGAUUCGGCGAGACUCGGAUUAGCCAAUUUCCUCCCCGAAGCUGAUGUUUGACACCGAUCGGGAAACACGUAGGGCCGCGGUUUCAUCUACUAUGGAACGACUGCUGGCCCAUUGGUAUACUAUAUCCAAACAACCAAAUUCGGGCGUUAACCUCGUCGAGUUCCUUGCCGAAGAAGAUAAUGGUCCUGUUUUGUCUCUUGAUAAAAUUCAAGCCGCCCCGGCCGAACUCGAAGAUCAUCGGCCCCAAGUUAAGGACCCCUUGGAAGAGAUUAAUGUUGGGACGGCCGAUGAUCCACGACCUUUGUUUGUUAGUGCGUUACUUCCCCAACAAAUGAAUGACGAGUUUCGUGCCUUGCUUACGGAGUUCAAAGAUUGUUUUGCUUGGAGCUAUCAUGAAAUGCCCGGCUUAGAGCGCACUCUGGUCGAGCAUGAAUUACAUAUUAAGCCCGGAUGCAAACCUUUCCGUCAGCCACCUCGUCGAUUCUCGACCGAAGUGCAACUCGGCAUCAAGGACGAAUUGGUUCGGCUUUUGAAAGCCGGGUUCAUUCGGACAGCUCGAUAUGUUGAAUGGUUGGCAAAUAUCGUGCCUGUUUUAAAGAAAAAUGGUGCCCUACACAUCUGUAUCGAUUUCAGAAAUCUGAAUCUGGCAACUCCCAAAGAUGAGUAUCCAAUGCCGAUCUCAGACCUCUUGAUCGAUGCUGCGGUGAGUCAUGCAAUCUUAUCCUUUAUGGAUGGACACGCCGGAUACAACCAAAUAUUCAUUGCCGAAGCCGAUGUGCACAAAACUGCUUUCCGUUGCCCGGGGGCACUCGGGACUUACGAAUGGGUUGUUAUGCCGUUCGGCCUCAAGAAUAACGCCGCCACAUACCAACGGGCGAUGAAUACCAUCUUCCAUGAUUUAAUUGGAACCAUCGUCGAAGUUUAAAUCGACGAUGUUGUCAUCAAAUCUAAACGCCGACAGACACAUCUGGACGAUCUCCGACAGGCUUUCUUCCGCAUGCGUUGGCACAACCUCAAGAUGAAUCCCGCCAAGUGUGCUUUCGACGUAUCGGCCGGAAAUUUUCUUGGCUUCCUCGUGCAUCACCGUGGGAUUGAAGUCGAUGAGAAUAAGGCCCGCGCAAUCAUCAAUGCCCCACCCCCAACAACGAAGAAACAACUCCAGUCCUUACUCGGCCAGAUCAAUUUCCUCCGCCAAUUUAUUGCCAACUCUGCAGGUAAAAUGAAAGCGUUCUCCACGCUUUUGAAACUCAAGGACUCCGAUAAAUUUGUGUGGAACGAUGAGCAUCAGGCGGCGUUUAUGCAAAUCAAAGUCUCCCUCAUGAACCCACAUGUCCUGGUUCCUCCUCGGCGCGGUAAGCCUCUUAAGCUCUACAUCUCGGCGGUCGAAGAGUCCAUCGGCUGCCUCUUUGCACAAGACAGCGACGCCGGCCGAGAACAGGCUAUUUUUUAUCUCAACCGCAAUCUCAGUCAACCGGAGAUCAAUUAUCCAGCCGUCGAGAAGCUGUGUCUGGCCGUGUUUUUCGCCGCUUCCAAGCUUCGGCAUUAUAUGCUCCCAUCGGUCACCCAAGUUAUUGCUCAGACCGACGUCAUCCGCUACAUGCUCACCCGACCAAUCGUAAAAGGCCGCAUUGGGAAAUGGACCAUGGCACUAUCCGAAUUUAGCUUGCAGUAUGUAGCCCAGAAAACUGUCAAGGGCCAGGCACUGGCUGAUUUCCUUGCUCAACAUCCUUCCCCAUACGGGUGUGGGGGCAACGACGUUGAAAUCGGCAUGGUUCAGACGCGCAACAACCACUGGACGAUGUACUUUGACGGCUCCAGUACGUCAUCUUCGGCGGGUGUGGGAAUUGUCAUUCAAUCCCCGAACCACGAUCGCUGGUUAUUUUCGCUUAAGUUGGAUUUCGAAUGCACCAACAAUCAGGCCGAAUACGAAGCCCUAAUUGUCGGCCUUGGAAUCCUUCAUGACCUGCGGGCGACCCGCGCCCUCGUCCUCGGCAACUCCGAACUUGUGAUUAACCAACUCAAUGGUUCUUUUCGUUGCAUGAGUUGUACCCUGGCGCCUUACCACACGAUCGCCAGCUAUUUGGCCAAGUCCUUCGACGGUAUUACAUUUAAACAUAUUUCCCGGAGUCAUAAUACCGACGCAGACGAAUUGGCUCAAAUUGCCUUCGGCGCACAUCUCUUGGGGGGCAAGCUAGGCCGAGAAAUACCCAUGUUGUGACAGCUAUACCCAGCCUUGGUUAACCAACAAGUCCUCCAGCGCGACAACGUGAUACGUACAAGAGUCAUGUCCUUACCUUCGUUGUUAGAUCGAGACGACCCUGUGGAGAUUUGCACGACCGAGGCAAUACCAGAUGAUUGGAGAAAGCCCAUUAUGCAGUACCUCGACAAUCCCAAUGGUAAAUAUGAUCGCAAGACAAGAGUUCACACCACGAACUAUGUCAUGUAUCAGAACGAGUUAUACCGAAAAGGCGAAGAUGAUUUAUUAUUACUAUGCCUCGGCCCCCAAGAGAGUGCUCAGGCGAUUACAAAAGUCCAUGAAGGGAUAUGCGGAGCUCAUCAAUCUGGACGGAAAAUGCGAUGGCUACUUCGACGGCACGACUAUUUUUGGCCAAGGAUACUAAAGGAUUGUAUCGAGUUUGCACAAGGAUGUGUACAAUGCCAAAUCCACGGGCCUAUACAAAGGGUCCCGGCCGAAUCUUUGCAUUCGGUCAUAAAGCCAUGGCCAUUUAAAGGAUGGGCCAUGGACGUAAUCGGCAAAAUCACGCCGUCUUCUGGAGCUGCUAAGCACGCAUGGGUAAUAGUCGCAACCGAUUACUUUACUAAGUGGGUCGAAGCGAAAUCAUAUGUCGAACUAACAUCUAAAGAAGUUUGAGAUUUCGUGGAGGAACACAUCGUGACCAGAUUUGGUGUACCAGAAAUGAUCAUAACUGACAAUGGAACAAUCUUCACAGCCGAGAGGUUUAAAGAGUAUACGGCAAAUUUAAAAAUUCAGCUUGAACAGUCUACACCGUAUUAUCCACAGGCGAAUGGGCAGGCCGAGGCAAGUAAUAAAGUGUUGAUCGGCAUCCUUGAAAAAAUGAUAAAAGAAAGGCCUGGCAUGUGGCAUUUGAAGUUGAACGAGGCAUUAUGGGCAUACCGAACGACGCCCCGGUCGGCGACCACGACAACCCCAUACGCAUUAACCUACAGACACGAUGCAAUGUUACCAGUCGAGUUAAGCAUAAAUUCGUUGCGAUUAAUUGAACAAAGUAGUUUGUUUAGCGCCGAAUACAAUCAGUCCAUGAGACAAGAAUUAGAAGAUUUGGAAGAAGUGCGACUUGACGCUUAUAACUUACUGGUGGCACAGAAACGGAUUGCCGAACGAGCAUACAAUCAAAAGGUGCGACGGAAAACAUUCGGUGAAGGCGAAUUGGUUUGGCAAACGGUGUUACCCGUAGGACUAAAAGACCCUAGGUUCGGCAAGUGGUCGCCAAAUUGGGAAGGACCGUUCGUUGUACAUAAGGUAUACGAAAAAGGGGCGUAUCAUCUUCAAGACCGGACCGGUUCAGUUCACAAAUUACCAAUCAACGGGAAGUUUUUUAAAAAGUACUACCCGGUAACGUGGGAAAUGUGAGAAUAAACAAAACCAUCUCAUUAAGAUUGAUGAGCAUGUACAAGCUAAGUAAGUCAUUCAGGUUAAAACUAAGUACAUUCAAGGGGAAGAAGGUAAGAGGGUGCCGAGAAGGGCCUUCAAUUCCAACCACCGCACCUCGGCCAUGAUAACUUCAGCUUGCCGAUUCUUCUUGUCCAGCUUCAACCGCUCGACCCGCUUUGUUGUCGCUGCGUACUCAGUUAGGCGAUCCUUUCCACCCGACUCGAAGUCUCUAGCAAGCUCGGACGCGAUGGCCGAUCGACGUUUUGCUAGUUCAGCCAUCUGACGGUCGAGCUCGGCUAAUACUUCUCCUUUUGCCCUUAGAGCGUCGAUUUUCGGACGGAGAGUGUCUUGAACGGCCGUGGCAGCUUGCAGGUCCUGUUUGGCCUUUAGAGCGGUCUGGAAGACACUAAAUGUCUCCUGAACCCGCUCCAAAGCAGACGAUGCCCAAACGAUGGCAUUUCCGCUCAGGCGACCGUCGGCCCCAAGAUCGUUCAGACACACGCCAAGCAGAUCAAGACCGUUGCGCUCGAGUACUUGCGGUGCUGAAAGCGACAGAACUUCUCGCAACUGGGUUAGAGCGGUUGGAUCGGCAGCCUCAAUCGGAGCAGCCGAAGGCCCGGACUCGGCAGUUGUGCUGGAGAUGAGGGCUUUGAAUUCGACCUCCCACGAAGCAUGGACAUAUAAAUCAGUUUAGGCUUAAAGGAAGGCAGUGCAAGAAUAGCAAGAAGGUUUCAUUUUUUAACCUGCCGAGAGGAGACCUCGGCCAUGUCCCCAAGAUCGUUGCUCGAACCUAAAGAACUCAACGGCCGAGCCCAGUGUCUCAGAUUGCUUCUCAGUUCACGCGGUCGAUGGAGGUUAUCUACGUUUGAUGGCCACUGAGGCGGCCAAGAAAUAUAGAUAACGCCCUUCGGCGCGUAGAAUUGUCGGUGAAAAGAAUGUACAGGCACCUGACAUUUAGUAUUUUCCUCGUUUAGAAUUCUAAAGCGGAAAAGCAAUCAAGGAAAGACGGUGGAAGAUACUUACGAAGGCCGAAGUAGCCUCCUGCGGAGGAAUGUGGAAGCCCUGGUCUUGAGGAUGAACGAGCGAUUCCGCCGUUGCCUCGGGUUCCUCGACUGGUCGUUUGCCACGGUCGGCUGUGGAGGGGCCGACCGGGACAGCUGCUUCUGAGGAAGGAACACCCUGGUCCUAAGAAGGAGCAAGGGGUUCGGACACCGCCGUUGGUUCCUCGACCGGACGCUUGUCACGAUCGACCGUGGAGGGGCCGGCUUGAACUGCCAUCUCGGACACUGGAGGAGGUUGUCGGCGAGUAUGAGGACGAUGUGCCAGCGGGACCUCGUCGCUCCCCUCACUCUCUUUCAGAACGAAGACCGAGGGCUUUGGAUUUUUGGGAGAGGUGCCCUCGGUCGCAGAAACCGCCUUCUGUGGGACAGGUGCCUCCUCGACGGAGGGAGGCAUGACUGGUGUGCCGGCCCCAGAGACAGGCUGCGCUUGAACUAUCUCUGCGACCGAAGCUGGCGGUUUCUCGACCAAGGAAUGGCCGACGGCGGGAGAAGGGGAAGCACUGGGAGUCGUCAUCCCCGUAGUAUGACUGGAGAUGACGUGGAUGUCUCGUGCACCUUUCUUCGCCAGUGUUUUUACCCGCUUGCAGGCGGGGGAGACUCGACAGCCGGCUCGACCUCUGGGCAAGGCCGUUUGAUCAGCACGGCCCGACCAGCAGUUUUGUUCUUCUUGGCCACGACCGAUUUUUUCUCGGCCGUAGCAGCGGCAACUGCAUCCGUUUUUCUUGAAGGCCGACUACCUGAGAAGAUAAAAGCAAUUCAGCAAGGCAAAUCAGUAUGCAGAGUUGAAAGAAAAGAGGAGAAAUGAACAAUUACCUUGAGAUUGGGGGGCCGAGGCCUUCUUCGGUCGGUCACCGAAGAGUUUGUUCAGCACCUCUUCGACCGGAGCACCAAAGAACUCUUGGGUCUAAUUUUCCCACCAUUCACCGAAGGUGUCGGUGCAAAGGGUUUCUGGGGUGGCCGGUCGAAGGCGGAAUUUUUUGCAGUACUCUUGGAACUCCCUCGCGACAGUUUUACAUUCCUUCUCCGAGGAACGAGGUUCACGUCCACGGCUUAGGACUGUUCGGGAGGAGAGAAGGGGAACAGGGCAGCCCUGAAGAUAGCCGAGCUGUCGGGCAAGGAAGUUCGGAUGGUACACUUCCCAACCCGACCAUUUCCCAUCGCAGCCAAGAGGGAGGUCGCGAGCGAGCACAAACGACCCCCAAGUCUGACGAAGCUCGGCAUCCUCCUCCGCGCCCCACACAGAGGUAGGUAGUCUGAUGGAGGAAGGAUAGUCCCGAUGACGACAUAUCAAGAAUUCAUCGUUGGAGAGAUCAUCAAGAGCGAAGAGGUACCGAAAUACCUCUUCGGCUUGGUGAGGAGGUGUCGGUCGGGAGGCCAGCUGAGGUCCAAGAGCCUCCGUUGGCGAGAAGUCAGCUAUGGCCGGCCGAAGGGAGGCGAAGUACACUUGUAACCAGAGCUGGAAGACCCAGAGGGGACCAUUCUGGUGUGGGUCGACCUUGUGGAGGGUCGUCUCGGCCAGGCAACGGAAGAGAUGGGCGAGAAUGUUGGAACUCAGUGCCAGGACGUGACCACUAGCCAGGGCUUCGGCUACCAGCAUGUUCUCGACCAAACACUUGUUCGACUUGGUACAACAAAUGUAUUUGUUGUACCAAUAGAAGAGGAAGGCUUCAUGCUCUUCCUCUCGCAGGUCCUCUUCUCAUCGGCCGGCGAAAUGAAGAUAGAGGGUGUUGUAAUUAAAGAAGUUCUUGUGGAGCUUCUGAAUGUCUUCCUUCGACGGGAUUUGACCGUCACGGUUCAAGGUCUCGAAGGCUCGUCGAUCGAAAAGCGUCUUCAGAUCAAUAUUCGAUGGGUGCCCAGAGAGGGCCGCGUCGAUAGGGAUCCCGGUUGCCGAAGUCCCCAGAAUGGCGGUGACAUCAAGGAUGGUAGGACCGAGGGGACCAAGAGGAAGAACCAGGGUGUUGGUGGCCGAGCACCAGAAGCACAAGGCGGCUAGGAGAAGCUCCUUGUCGAGAAUGACAUCCAUUGACGAGAGAAUGAUGGCGUCGUAAAUGCCGAGGGCUCUCCAUUGCUCGCCGAAGAACCAUUCCAGGCUGCCCAGGUUGUGGUCGUCGAGGGCCAGGAGCCUUGGGGUUUCGCCGCAUCCCAUCUUGACCAUUCAAACCCUUGGAACAAGGGUGUUAGGCAGUGCUCCUGGAGAAGGCCAGUAAUGGUCGACGGUAUUGCAGCCUUGAAGAGAGGACCCAAGAUUUGGUGGACAGUGCUCAUGUCACUUUCAAACCGUAUGGUUUUGAUCGAGCUCCGAUCAAGGAUUUUCUGGUGCUGUUCACAUUCCCUGGAAAGCUUGGAGAUGAAAGACGCCAUUAUAGGAAGGAAGCACGGCGUAAAAGGUUUUCUGGGUUGGGGGAUUUGAAGAUGAAGACCUGGAACAAGAAAUGUGCUGGAGAAGAAGGGCAAGAGAUUUCAGAAAAUUUUGAGAGCAUAAAGUGCAAAUGAGAGAAUUCGGUAUUUAUAGAGUUGUGGAGGGAAGAGCAAUCGUUCGAAAUUCAAAACAAAGGGCAAAAUCAACCGAAGGAAUCGUUGAUCAUGAUGAACAUUUGGGAAAUGCAGUUGAGAAGACCGAAGGUUUCAGGUUUUGGGGGCGCACGAUCGCGUGUGAUGGCGAAAUUAAUGGCAGAAGACAUUUCGACGCUUGCACGAUGACAGGUGGACUCACGGAUUGAGAAAGCGGCUCGUGAAUUGAGGUAAUGGUUAAGUUGACGGUUCAGGUAGCCGCACGCCUUAGACGUCAUCAUUGGGGUUGGCCGUGUUGGAGAACGCCACGUGGCGAGUUUGGUUAGCAGGAUCAAGAUCGUGCAAUCAUGUUCAAUAAAUGCGCCUUGGAACUUGGGCAUUAGGGUUCUGAGUGGUAGAUUCGCUUCUUCAAGGCCGAAACUCGGCCAAAGAAUUCAGGCCGAGGACCUCAGAAGCGAGGGGGCAAUGUUUGGGCCCAAAAUAAUAGUUUGGGCCGAGGGUAGGAUCACUCUCGGCUCAAGAGGCCGUGCGGCGAAAGGGCCAUGGAUCGUUCAGCUCAUGGGCUUCCAAGCCUAGGUUGGUUAAAUCAGAACGCAAGCCGAGUCCUAGUACAAUAGGGACUCUCGACAGGAUCAGUAAUCCAGAAAGAGAAUCCAGCUCAGUUAAGGACUAGAUUCGUAGUCCUAGUGGAGAUAGGAUUGGUCGAGGUGAUGUUGAUCUAGGGAGGGAAACCUAGUCCGAAUAGGAUUGUAACUCGGGCUCGAGGACCAGCGCUAUAAAUAGGGGAAGUUGUGCAUUAACGAAGGACCCCUGCAAAUCAAUACAAAAUUGCCCUUCGCAAAUUCUCACAACUUGUGAUUUUUCUUUUUCCUUUUUCGCUGACACAUCUUCCGUUGGCAUCAACAGCACUGUGGAAGCAACCGGUGAUAUCUUAAGUCGGCAUAGAUAGCUCUGUCACCGUAGAAUCAAUCGGUCUCGCAGUAUCUUCCGUUGGCAUCAACAGCACUGCGGUGAGAACGGUUGAUUACCUAUCCAAGUCUCGGUCGAGAAGGGUUUCUGAACCCUUAUUGGUCAAGGUUAUCUCAUCAGCCUUCUCGGCGAAGUGAGGUGUUACACGUUAUUACGUUCGGCAUAUUGAAAGCCGAAUUUGAUAUUGAACUUCGUAAGAAUAGUAACCUUGUCUUCAGGUUCAAGAGCCCAAGAGGCCGAGACGUGUUCCUUUCUCGACCGCAAUCGCAAGACGCAGAAGUCAGCCGCGCACCCAACGCAACAUCAACAAAUUUACUCCUCGGUCGAGCUCGGCCGACGAGUUGGCAAGCCCCGCAUUCACCGAAUGACGUAGUUAGCUCAUUAAUUACUCGGCCUGCGUGCCACAUAGGCUUUGUAGUUUUUAGGGUCAACAGUAUCAGAAUUAACAAUACCGCGAAAUAUUCCAGUAAACUAGCUUCAUUUGGAGGUUGAAAUAACUUGUCUUCCUGCCCUAGUAACAUAGGGUUCUUCUUGCCUAUCUGCGUUAGCUAAGCUUUCCCAUAACUGUAGGAUUACAUCAAGGCUCAUCCUUAAGUCCUUACCUUUUUGCGUUGGUAAUGGAUGACUUAACAGGACAUAUUCAAGAUGAUAUUCCUUGGUGUAUGUUUCGCAAACGAUAUAGUGUUGAUAGAUGAAACUCAGGAAGGGGUAAAUGCAAAGCUUAACCUUUGGAGAGAAGUGUUGGAAUCUAAAGGUCUUCGCCAAAGCCGAUCAAAGACAGAAUAUAUGGAGUGCAAGUUCAGUGCAAAUGGAGGCCAAAACGAAUUAGGGGUGAGGAUCGGAGAUCAAGAAAUACCAAAGAGCGACCGUUUUCGUUACCUAGGAUCUAUCUUGCAAAAGAACGGAGAAUUAGAUGGAGAUCUCAACCAUAGAAUACAAGCUGGAUGGAUGAAGUGGAAGAGUGCAUCCGGCGUGUUGUGUGACCGCCGUAUGCCACUGAAGCUCAAGGGAAAAUUUUAUAGGACGGCAAUAAGGUCGGCGAUGCUGUAUGGCACAGAAUGUUGGGCAGUGAAGCAUCAACACGUACACAAAAUGGGUGUAGUGGAGAUGGGGAUGCUUCGUUGGAUGUGUGGGCACACGAGAAAGGAUAAGAUUAGGAAUGAGGAUAUCCGGGGUAAAGUAGGAGUAGCUGAAAUUGAAGGAAAGAUGAGAGAAAAUCGGUUACGAUGGUUUGGACAUGUGCAAAGAAGGCCUACUGACGCUCCGAUUAGAAGAUACGACUAUGGGACAAAGGUUCAGGGCCGAAGGGGUAGAGGAAGACCUAGGAAAACUUUGGAAGAGACCCUAAGAAAAGACUUAGAGUACUUGGAUCUAACGGAGGACAUGACAAAUGACAGAACAUAAUGGCGUUCUAAGAUUCAUAUAGCCGAUCCCACUCAAUGACUUGGAUUUUCCAAGUCUCCAACCGAGAAGUUUUCCUCACUCGGGAAAUUAAGGGAACACUACCUCAACCUACAUGCUCCACUCACAAAGCUUCAACAUGCAAGUUUUAACAAAAGAAAAUUCAAAGAACUUAGCGAAGAAAGCUUUGGUGUAUUUAACACAAUACGUUGAAAUGAAGGAAAACUUAUUUAUUGAUAUCCCCGAUAAGUUACAAAUAUGUACAUAUACAUGAGUCAAAAUAAACAAACAAGAGGGAGCCUUCACAAAGGUUGUUUAGGAGAAGUCUCAGCAGUCGGUAGAGCCCCAGAAAGAGAAGGCACCGGAGGGGGAUCAUUCGGAGCCUCAGUACUGGACAGAACCCUAGAAGGAUGAGGCAUCAGAGGUUGAUCAUUUGGAGCUUCAUUACGCGGUACAACCCUAGAAGACGAAGGCAAUAAAUGCCUUUGGAACAAACCCACAAAUCUCUGAUGAUCAAGUAAAACCUGACCAUCAGAUUCCUUCAUUACGCGCCAUAUGUUGUCUGGAGAAGGCGGGGCUGCCUCUUCAACAAGGUUCAAGUCAAAACGACAGUCGGAGGGGCCAGACAUUUUCAAAGGUGUUGAAGAGAGAAGAGGUCGGACAAAGCAAGAUCUUAGAAGUGCAAGAAUGGAACUUCUACUGGUGGAGAUUCAAGUGUGUUUUGGAACUUAAUGCCAGCCCUAUAAAAAUCUGCACUCGACGAAGCUUCAAAAAUCGAAGAGGCGUCUGCUCAGAAAUCGAAGAGGCGUUUGCUUUCUCAAAAGAUGGGCUGCUCAAAGACCACGAAGGCCGAUCUCAGAAAUCGAAGAGGCUUGCUUUCUCAAAAGCUGGGCUGCUCAGAGACCACGAGGGCCGAUCUCAGAAAUCGAAGAGGCACAUACUUUUCCAGCCUUGUCAGCACUUGUCACACGCACACUCAGCUUUGCGGAAAUUAUGAGCAUUCUGUCGAAGAUUUCUGGUGAAGUAGAAAUCACAUGAAUCGUACUGUUUAAUCACCCACUUCCCACACGCAACAGUAGCUCAUGGGUACCACAGAUAACUUUGCCAAAGUUCUCUGACAAAGUUGAGACACGUGAAGCUUGCAGCUCCCACUACCUUGCUCUGACCAAGAAGGGUAAAAGAAUAGCAAAGAAACAACACUAACAAAGUUUAGACACGUAAAUUUUCAAGGUCUAGCUACCAUAUUAUUACCCACAAGGGUAAAGGAACAGUACCACUGUUGGAUAAUUGGAAGGUCCCGGUGUGUCAACCUCUGUACUUCGUGGCAAGGUAGACUAGCAAACAUGCCCAACCUUUACUCACAUUCGAGAAAAUACUCCCAACAAGAUUGCUUGCUCCAAAAUUGAAGAGGCACCGUCUUCCAAAUCUCGAGAGCCAGACUCCCAACAUGAUUACUUUCUCAAAAUCGAAGAGAGGGUAAAGGAACAGUACCACUGCUGGAUAAUUGGAAAGUCCCUGUGUGUCAACCUCUGUGCUUCGUGGCAAGGUAGACUAGCAAACAUGCCCAACCUUUACUCACAUUCGAGAAAACACUCCCAACAAGAUUGCUUGCUCCAAAAUCGAAGAGGCACCGCCCUCCGAAUCUCGAGAGCCAGACUCCCAACAUGAUUACUUUCUCAAAAUCGAAGAGAGGGUAAAGGAUCAGUACCACUGCUGGAUAAUUGGAAAGUCCCUGUGUGUCAACCUCUGUGCUUCGUGGCAAUGUAGACUAGCAAACUUGCCCAACCUUUACUCACAUUCAAGAAAACACUCCCAACAAGAUUGCUUGCUCCAAAAUCGAAGAGGCACCGCCCUCCAAAUCUCGAGAGCCAGACUCCCAACAUGAUUACUUUCUGAAAAAUCGAAGAGACGCCGCUCUCCGAAUCUCGAGAGCCAGACCCCCAGCAGGAUUGCUUUCUCAAAAAAAUCGAAGAGGCAUCGUUCUCCGAAUCUCGAGAGCCAGAUCCCCGACAGGAUUGCUUGUUCGAAAACCGAAGAGGCACCACUUUCCCAACUUCAAGAGCUGAAUCUCCUUGGAUAAAGCUUGUCUGUAAUCUUCACAUGCAACAUCAGCUUUCCAGAUACCACAUACCACUUUUUCAAAGUGCUCUGACAGAGUUAAAACAUGUGAAGCUGGCAGCUCCCACUACCGUGCUAUGACCAAGCAGGGUAAAGGAAUAGCAUUAUUACUUGAUGUUAGGGAAACUUCUAUAUAUGUCGACCUUCAUCCCCAACGGACAGGCAGACCUGUAAAAAUGCUCAACCCUUCCUCUUAUCUGAAAGGGACGAAGCCUUUCGAAAUAUUCAGCUUUCUUUCCCCCCGAUAAUACCUCUGCAAACAAGCUAUACUAGAGCAAGAAUAUCUCAUAUCAUCAGGGUUAAAAGCAAGAGUAUCCCAUAUCAUGCUUUUUCCCUGUCUUUUCCUUUGGCCUUGUUCUUACCUGCAAGACAAUGAGAAAGAGAGCAAUCAGUCAGCACUUGGAAUCAAGCUUCCAGCCAGGAACUGACUGCCUGGAACCCCUUACCUGAGUACUUACCUGGCAUUGCUCUCGAGUACUCAUCUUCAACAUCUUAUGCUUCCAGGGAAGAUACCGCAUCUGCCUGAGGAACAGAUAGGGCAAGUGAGAAGGAUACAAAGAAGCAUGUGGAGACAAGCGUAACAGCACACGUGCCGAUACAUCCACUACUCUGUCAAAAGCAAAAGUAUCCCAUAUCAGCAGGGUCGAACGUACUCUAGAUUUGAUGGACUUGUUUUUACCCUCAAAUUCUUCAGUCGGCCUUAUACUCUGGAGGAAACCAGAAAACCCUCCAGCCCAGUUCAAGAAUAAGCAUGUGGAAAGUUAUUUAUUCAAAAGCAAAAGUAUCCCAUAUCAUCUCUUCUCAUUUUUCUUCUCUUUAUCCUUCAUGCUGCCUGCAAGAUAGGGAGAAUGUGAACAAUCAGCCAGAGCUCUGGUUGCUUACCUUGUCUGUCACCUCUUUCAACAGAUCCCCUAGCUCGGCGACUUGGGGGACUCCUACUACAUGGUUUGUAUCGCGCUUGAUCAAGCCUGAAAUUGAUACAUUACCUUGUGCAUCUCCACCAGUUAAAGAUACCACCCCUGGAUGGAGGAAGAGUACUUCCAGAGAAGAUGCCACAUCUACCUAUGAGACAGAUAAGGCAAGUCAAGACGAUACCACACUCCGGUACUUAGAAGUUUCGUGAUUACGAGAUCAUUCUCCCAAAAUAUUUCCUAAUGUCAUUUGUACUAAAUCAUUCACUUGUACUCACUAAAGGAGAGCUUGAACCUAUGUACUUGUGUAAACCCUUCACAAUUAAUGAGAACUCCUCUAUUCCGUGGACGUAGCCAAUCUGGGUGAACCACGUACAUCUUGUGUUUGCUUCCCUAUCUCUAUCCAUUUAUAUACUUAUCCACACUAAUGACUGGAGCAAUCUAGCGAAGAUCACAAAAAGCGACCGUUUUCGCUACCUAGGAUCUAUCUUGCAAGAGAACGGAGAAUUAGAUGGAGAUCUCAACCAUAGAAUACAAGCUGGAUGGAUGAAGUGUAAAAGUGCAUCCGGCGUGUUGUGUGACCGUCGUAGGCCACUGAAGCUCAAGGGAAAAUUUUAUAGGACGGCAAUAAGGCCAGCGAUGUUGUAUGGCACAGAAUUGUUGGGGUGUGAAGCAUCAACACGUACACAAAAUGGGGUGUGGCGGAGAUGAGGAUGCUUCGUGGGAUGUGUGGGCACACGAGAAAGGAUAAGAUUGGGAAUGAGGAUAUCCGAGGUAAAGUAGGAGUAGUCGAAAUUGAAGGAAAUAUGAGAGAAAAUCAGUUCCGGUGGUUUGGACAUGUGGCAAAGAAGGCCUAAGACUCUGACGCCCGGUUCGAAAAUGUGACUAGGGGACAGAGGUUCAGGGCCGAAGGGGUAAAGGAAAAGACCUAGGAAAAAACUUUGGAAAGAGACCCUAAGAAAAGACUUGAGUACUUGGAUCUAACGGAGGACAUGACACAAAACCGAGCGCAAUGGCGUUCUAGGAUUCAUAUAGCCGACCCCACUUAGUGGGAAAAGGCUUUGUUGUUGUUUGUUUGUUUGUUGAGAUUUACUAAGAACGAGAGUAAAGUCAUUGGAUCCUACAUGCAUCCACAACAUUGACCUCUUUCGUCGUGCCAAAACUAGGUGGGACAUCCUCAUCAUCAUCAUAUUCAACAUACGUAUUACCUUUUCCGAUGUAGUUUUGAAGCCAAAACCGAAAUGAAACCAAACCAUUUGGUUUGGUUCGGUGCCGUUUCAAACGGUUUUGGUUCGGUUUUAGAAAAGAAAAAAAUUUACAAUUUAAAAUUUAUACCUAUAUACGCAUAACACGGUCUCAUUUUUCACACAAUAUAUUAAUUAAUCAACCCAUAUGAGAAUUCUUUUCUUUACUGCUCUCUCUAUUCUCUAAUGUACAUUUGAUCACAACAAGAAAAUGGUACGGGAGAAUGAUAUAUAAACAACUAGCUUAGCAUAGCUAGCUAAUUGCACGAAUGAUGGACUCUGUGACUGAGCAGGAAAAAGCACCCAAAUGGAGUGAUGUGGCUAGGGAUGGGCAAAAUACCAUGGAUUUGGGUAACCGCGGUUACCCAUCCAUUUAAAGUUCACGGUUACGGUUAUGGGUAACCGUUUAGACGAACAAACGGUUAUGGGUAUAAACGUUUAUCCAUGAAAUUUAAAUGGGCGGUUAUGGGUAUUAUCCAUGGUUAUAACGGGUAUCCAUCGAUUAUGGGUAUUACUAGCGGUUAUAACAGGUAUCCAUUUACCCAUUUAAUUUAAUAUAUGUAAAAUUUAAAAAAAAAAUUUAAAUCCUAAAUUUUCAAUCACUCCGCCAAACUCAGAGUCUUAAACGCCUUGUCCCCCGCUCAUCUCUCCCUCCUCACUGCCCUUUGUCUCAUCUUCGCCAUUGUGAGGCGAAAACAAUUCAAGUAAACAGUUAAGUGCUAAAUCACCUUGUCCAUGUAACGAUUGAUGAGAGCAGGGAUAUCCGAUUUAGGUUCGAGUCCUCCAAAUAAGGAUCCCAUGAGGGUUUUGCCGCUGUGAAGGAUAUCAUGAAAGGGAAGGCUCGCCUUUGAGGCUCUGACCCUGGCUUGUCGACACCUACCAUAACUGUCUCUCCCCAACCCUGAAGUUCAAAAGAACGAUAAUAUUUCAAUGCGUAGUGCAGACAAAUUAUAGUUGCCUAGGUUCAUCAUGAUGGUUGAUCAGUACGAUGCAGAGCAUAUUCUUGUUUUGUAAUUUUCAAGUUGUUAAAAAAAAACAUGUAGAUGGAUGAAAAAAAUGGGUAAAUAGGUAAAAAAAAGAUAAACAGAUUCAAAAACGGAUAAAUAGUUAUGGUUAAAUGGGUAAACGGUUAUGGUUAAAUGGGUACACAGUUAUGGGUAUGGUUAACCGUUUAUAAACGGUUAUGGGUAUGGGUAUAACCGUUUAUGCAAUUACCCAACGGGUAAACAGUUAUGCGAGUAUGAACAUAAACGGUUAUGGGUAAAUAACUGCAGUUACCCAUCCGCUAUAAUCGUUGCCCAUCCCUAGAUGUGGCUUAUUAUUUGAUCAGAGAUUGGUCUUUGUAUCUCUCAUUUUGUGACUAACUCUUACUUGAAAAUUAGGAUUCUGAGGUGCUUUUACUGGUAAUAAAAUGUUCAUCUUUUCCUGUAAAGAAACAGUGAAGAUGCCAAGCUUGAUAAGGGUUAUAACUUUGGGAAAAAUAAUCAUUAUUAUGAAAUGUAAACACUAGAUCUAUGGACUCUAACAAACCACCAAUUAAAACACGACAUCUAAUUUGAGGUGCGAUUUCGGUUUCGGUGCGAUUUUCAAAAGCCAAAACCGAAACCAAACCGUUUCAUACACUGCAGUUCGGUUUCAAAACCACAACCAUUUCAAAACCGCAAAACCAAACCAUUCAGUGCGGUUCAAUUUGGUUCAUGUUUGGGUUUCGGUUUUGGGUUUCAAGUGCCCACCCCUAGCACUAAGUGGCUUAUCACACAAGUUUUAUGUAAAGUGAUUAAACAACUUAGCAUGAGUCAAUUUACUAGAGAUUCUUGCGAAGGACAAUGAGAGAUACAACUCACCGUCUAGCAAGGAAGUCGAAUCUAAAAUAGUGAAGAGGAAUAUUACUGGACCAUAUUAAGUGGCAUCAUAUCUUCUGAAUCUUUUAAAAUCGCCUUGACUAGAAACAACAAACUCACUCAUAGUUUUAGCCUAUCAAUUACAUUCUUCAAUGUACAACCCCUCACUCCAACUUUCUCAGAAACCUGUUUGUAGCCUAACAUGGGUUCCUUCAGAAAAUCUGAAUUAAAAGGAAGGACAUUGCACCACUGCCCCGUCAAAGUUUUUGAUGAUUCAAAUACCCCUUAAAUUUUGGGGUCAAUAUUUUUUUAUGGUCAACGUUAGGCGUCCAGAUGAUGGGCAAUUUAUCAAUUUGGAUAUCAUUGAGGACUGAAUUCGGAUGCAUAAGGUCUAAGCAAGAAGUACAGACAGAUCAUUCCAAUGCAUUUUACACUCGUUAAUCAAAUACAGUUGAAUCUGAUUCUCACGGAUGCAUUGUUAAUUACCAUAACGCCUUUCAAGCAUUUCACUCAGAAAAAAGAAACUAUAAUAAAAUUGUGCAUGACGUCGAUCAAGAUAAUAUAAGGAUUCGACGUAAUCAUGGAGUGCCGGCUGUCGACUACCUGACGUCCUCCCCCUCCUCCUUUAUCCGGGCUUGGGACCGGCAAUGUAAGAUAAACUUACACGGCGGAGUUCAUUUACCAGGUAAAGAAAGUACCUCAUCUCAUAACCGGUUUCCAGCUUCCUUGAAUAAACAGAUGUUCUUUGAGACUGCAUCGUACUCACUGGAGUUGCUUGUUUUGCUUGUUUCCUCUAGAUGAAGGUUGCUUUAAUCCAACCAAAUCACUCUCGUAGAUGAGACGGACUCCGCACCUCUUCACCUCCAAACCAGAGCCUAAGGUUUAAAUGUAAACUCAAG